GAAAAUCUUCACUUUGUAACCUACUUCUCUGCUGGCACAUGUCAUGGGAGAAAGAAGAAGCAUUUUUAACCUCCACAGUUUGUCUAUUCAAUCCAUCAUCCAAAGAAUCAGACCCAGAAUCCGAGUAAGAAGCGGACUCGAUGAAGGAGACAUGGUUAAAUGAUGACAUGACAAAGCAAGAAGGCCGGACAUUGUGAACAACAAUUCCCUGUGAAUGUGCCACAUUUACAAUUUCGACUAUUUGCCUAAAUAUGUGCAAACAUUCAAAUUCAUCAACAGACCGUUCUGGUUUGUUCAACCAAUGCCUCAAGCUAACAUCGUUCCACUCCAUGUUUUGGACAAAAUGGUCAACUGCAGCUUCAUCCUCACAAACCCCAGAUAAAGUACCAGCCUGGUUUUUUAGGUUUUGACGAGCCAGAACAACCCUAUCAGUCUCCUUUCUAAACCCAGAGUUGUAAGAUGCGGAUCUUAGAUUCCUGUUGGUGACUACUGAAGUAUUAAAUCCCCUAUAACUACCAGACUUCUGCCAAGCAGACUCAGAUGAGCCCUCCAUGGUUACCCCCCUUGGGCUGCAUGUAAGCCAGAACAAACGCAUCCAAGAAAUGGAGGAAUUCGCCUGCUACUACCACAUUCGCUAACUUCCACCAUUACCAUCUUCAAUCAAUACCUUAUUUCACAGAAAUAGCAAAAAGAACCUUGCUUCUGAUCAAGCCAAAGCUCAAUAACUCAGCUCCUCGAAUAAAAAUACUAACCCUUGCAGGGCAGCGGACACUAGAAAAUAAGAUGAAAUCUUUUAGCAAGCACACUUCUCCUGAGACAACCGCAACCAGCCUAACAUCAAUAAACCAAUAAGAAAAUUUAAAAAAAGUAGAGAAAAAUCAACACUUACAUUAUACCACACACAUUUUUCCUUUCCUUUCUUCAUCCACCGGAAUUAUAAAACUAAGUCCUCACACGUGCACUGUUCAACACCAAAACAACACAAGCACCAGCACAAAAAAAAAAAUCAAAGACAAGUACAAUAAUAUCCAGAAAAGGAGAGAAACUGAAGAUACCCUUUUUACAAUAUAGAAUUAGAAACACGUACCCAGAGGUUUCAUCAAAAAAACAACACAUGCAUCAGAACCAACAAAAGCCCACACACAAUAAUAUUAUAUACAGCCAUUUAAAAGAAGAGCUAGAGAGAAGGAGGGAGGGAUAAGUACCUGUAGCAGCACCAAGAAUGGAUAUUUCUGAUCCUGCUAGACCAAAAGAGAACCACACAACACAACAAGACUUUAGUUACUACACUCCACUAAACACUACAGCCUCAUAAAUUCCCUCAUUUUUCCCUCACAACUUCAAAAAUAAAAUCAAACAAAACCCCUCCACAAAAGAAAAAAUCAACAUGUUUCAAAUAAAAAAAGGAAAAAAAUACCUCUCUCUCUCUCUCUCUCUCUCAUGCUCUGUUUCACUCUAUAUAUUAUAUAGUUCUUCAUGAAAUUAUUAUGAUAUUCUUUCUUUUUUAAGCCACAAGCUCAUGGUUCGCUCUUUGGCUCAUCUCCCCGCUUUAUUCCAUUUGAGUUACGUGGCACCACCAUAGCCUCAACCUUGUUUGUUUAUUUCUUUGCAAAGAAGCCAAAAGGGAUGGUAAAUUUGAAAACUUUGUGGGCCAUCAGUGCCAAAAAAAAAAAAAAACUGUUCUUGAUGAAAAUAAAGAUCUUGGCUUUCUAGAAUUGGAAACUCAAGGUGAGAACAUGAAAAGCAAAUAAGAGCAUGCCUUACAGGUGUGAAUCAUUAAACUAAUCUGAUGAUGUGAUUCUUGUUAGAACAGCACGUAAGAAACAAUUAAGAAUACUAUAGUGGGCAGUUCUUGUUUCUUUAAUCCGAUUAGUGACACUAAAAAUAAUAUUUUACAAGAAACACUCACAUGAUAAAAAAGAAGCUAAUAAACUAUUGAUUAAUGUAAUGAAGCACAAACAAUGAAGCUAAAAAAAACAAAUAAUGGUGAUAAAAUCAACCUUAAAAUGUGGGUUUGAGUUUUGUGGGGCCCGGGCAUAAAAGUAUACAAGGAAGGAAGGGAAGAGGAUAAUAAUAAUAAUAAUUAAGGAUUGAUAAGAGAGGAUGUGGACUAGUGUCAGGUAGGACUAAUUAUUUUUGGUUUGGUUCGGUUUUUAUCUAUAAAAAUCAAUCAAAUCAUAAAAAAAUAGACCUGGAAUCAAACCGAAACCGGCCCAAACCGACCGGUUUCGAUUUGAUUUUUGCUAGCCAAAACCAAAAAACCUAUGUUAUUUUUUGGCUUUGUAAUGAGCUUCGUAAUUGGUUUUUAACGGAUUUCUGAUGGGCUUGCAAUUAAUGUUGAUAUUGUCUAAUUUUCAUUGAAGAUUCAAAAGCAUAUUUAAUUUUUUUACCACUAAAUAUUAAUUUGUAUUAAAUUGUUAUUGUCAAUCUUAUGUAUAUUGAGUUUUUUUACCACUGAAUAUUCAUUUAUAUGAAAUUAUUAAUGUCAAUCUUGUGUUCAAUAUAUUUUUUACCUUCCUAAUAUUUUUAUGCUUCUGAAAAGUUUAAAUAACACACUCACAAUCACACACCAAUAAGUUAAAAUUCAAAUUACAAAUCAUUGCCUUUAAAGGGCUUAAAGAAAAAAUAACAAAUAAAACUAUCAUAAAACACUCCAAGCCAAAAAAAAAAAAAUCUUCAUUUGCACAUCGUCUCAAUAAAAAAAAACUUCAAGACCAUUGCAUUUUGAUUCCUGAAAUUCAUAAUCUAGAAUUAUAACAUGAUAAAUUAAAUUAGAAAAUAAAAAAAAUAAUAUUUUUACCAUAUGUUUUCAAUAAAUGCAUCACAAUUUGUGAACUAAUUAUCAUCCGUUGCUAGAUGUAACUUUCCAUCAAAUUCUACAAAAUAAAAAAUUAAACAUGUUAGAAUAAAAAUGUGUUAAUUAUUAAUAAAUCAUAAAACAAAAGAUGUAAGUUUUUAAAAAACAUUACCUGAUCCAAGGUUUUUGUAGGUUUCAAAAUCAUUCAUCAAGGUUGUAUUAUCAAUUGGAAUUGGACCAUGAUGCAACCAAUUUUGACAACAAAUAAGUGUUUGAACUGUUGCUAGAGAUAGAGAACUUCGAAAUUGGUUGAGUAUACGACCACCUGUGCUAAAGGCUGAUUUAGAAGCCACUAUGGAUAUAAAAAUAGCCAGAACAUGUUGUGCAACUUUUGAAAGUAUCUUAUAUUUUGAAGAAACAUUAAUCUUCCACUAACCUAAAAUAUCUAAUUUAUCAUUAUUAGGAUCCUCACAACCAUCAACCAAAUACGUCUCAACCUCAUUUCUAUUUUUCACACUAUCUUCCUCCUGUAAGUGCCUUUUGAAUCGAGGUAAAGUGUUAACAUCUACCUCCACAUCAUCAAUAGCAUCAUUAACAUCUUAUUUAUGCCUAUUAUCAUCCACCACUUCAUCAGCUUUCAAAUAAAACUCAUACAAGCUCACCAAAUUAUCUUUCAUUUUUUUUUGUUAGCAAUUGUGCUUUGUUAUAAUCAUACAACUCACCAAAAAAAAAUUUCACAUAUGUUAACUUAAGACGUGGAUCCAAAACAUUAGCCACAUACAAUAAAAAAUUUUGAUUUGCUUCACAACCCCAAUACUUCUCAAACUUACUCAUCAUGUUCAUCGUCAUUCCACUCAAAAGAUUAUCUCUACUUUUACAUAAUUGCAACAAGUUUGUAUGCAUGUAAAUCAAUUCAUUGAAGAAUGAAUUUGAUGUGACAUGCAAUGAGCCAGAAAAUUUCAAUGUAAUCAUGUAAAAGAUCUUUAAAAACUUCAGCAAAGUUCUAACAUUUUUCCAAUCCUCCAAACUAGGUGGUCCUAUGUUUUUUUUAUUCUCCUUUGAAUCAACCUCCAAAAAGUAACUCAUAUACAUAGGUUCACUUUGACCUAACCUCACAAACACCUUUUCAAACUUUUCAGCAGCUUCUAGCAUAAGAUAAGUUGAAUUCCAUCGAGUUGCAACAUCCAAAUACAAUGAUUUCUUACACUCUAUAUGCAACUUUUCUGCACACUUCUUAAAUGCAAGUAGCCUAGAAGAUAAAGAUCUCACAAACCUAAUUGCAUUUCGAAUCUUAACAACCAAAACAUCAAUCUCUUUCAAACCAUCACACACAAUGAGGUUUACAAUGUGUGCACAACAUCUAACAUGCAAAUGUUCAUUUGACAAUAUAUUAGUUAGCCAAUCUUUCAUCACAUUCUUUAAAUAUAAAAUAGUAACACUAUUAGAGCUUACAUUGUCUACUGUAACAGUUAAAAGUUUAUCAAUCCCCCAAUCUAACAAACAAUUCUCAAUAACUUGACCAAUUGUUUCACUCAUAUGAUUGGAAACUUGACAAAAAUUCAGAAUUUUUUUAUGCAAAUUCCACUCACUAUCAAUCCAAUGAGUCGUUAAGGACAUAUAGUUAAUGUUUUGGAUUGAUGUCCAUGUAUAUGUUGUUAAGCAUAAUCGUUGACCCUUAAGAGCUCUCUUUAAUCUUUCCUUCUCUUCAACAUAAAGUUUUAAAUAAUCUCUCAUAAUAGUGAAACGAGAAGGAAUGUCAAAUCUAGGCUGCAAGGUCCUAAAAAAUAAUCUAAAUCCCUUACCCUCAACAAAAUUAAAAGGCAACUCAUCAAUUAUAACCAUUUUUACUAGUGCAUGUCUACAUUUAUCAUAAUCAUAACCUAUUGCCUUAAGAGUUCCCACACUUCGAUCUCCUGAUUCACCCCCCGCUUUAUUAGGUUCUAAUACCAAAAGUUUUUGCUUCUUAUCAACCACAAAAGGAAACUUUUUGUAUACUUUUAAAUGACUCCGCAUAUUACUUGUCCCAUUAAUAAUAGUAUGACAUGCAUAACCCUUUUCACAAUAAUUACAUUCAGCUCUAGGGAUUGUAGGAUCACCAUCAAGUUUGGUAAAAUGAUAUGCUUGGCAAUCAGACUAUAGUUUACCUCACCCCCACUCCCAUCAAAAUUCAAAUGAGAAGCAUGUUAUUCUGCAUAUGAUCUGCUUGGAAAACCGUAAAUAGAAGUGUUACCCCUGUUCAGGGAGCUAUUGCUACAUCAUACAACAUGUUUACUAUUUGCUAAGGAGCUUCACCAUUUAAAAAAAAAACAGUAAAACCUAUAUCAUCCAUUCAUUUCAGAAGCAGUGGAAUGGUAAGUGAUAUUAUCACACUACAAACCAGAACUAGGGCAUAAAACCAACACAGAUAAACAUAAAAAGGAAAUCUCAAAACUGAUAAAAAAAAUACUAAAUGAAUAACAUAAAAAAAAGCUGACCAAAAACUGGUAGAUGAUAUGGAAAAUGGAAAUGCAAGUUUUAGCUGCUAGAUUUCUAUGUUAUACUUAUUUCAGGUUUUAACUUAUAAUCAUAGGUUCUUUAGACAGCAGGUACAAAUUGUCGAAAAAGGUGUUUGACUCAUUUUUUAUUUUCUAUCAAUUCUUAAAAUUUGUGUCCAAGCUAAUUGACAGCUUCUGUAGAGCUUAUUUGAGUUAUUUUUGUUUUCAUUUUUUGCAGAUUAUGUUUUAUGAAGCCUUGAAAGAUUUGGCAGGUUAUCUUAAAGACUUAAACAUCAUUUUUCUUGUGAUGAAACUAAUUUCGUUCACAGAAUCACAGUAAUAAUAGCCAUGAGGAGACACAACACUAAGCAGGCAUGAAUAAACAUUGAACAUAAAAAAAAACCAAUACUAAAUACGGAUGAUUAUACACUAUCAAUAAUUAAAUAGAAAUUCCUAACAAAUUAGUAAAGCAAUUUGAUAAUCAGUAAUUUCAACAAUUUUUUUUUUCUAACAAUAUUGAAUCAAAGAAGGUCAGUAAUCAGUAUCCAAAUUAACUUGAAUAAUCUAAAAAACACAUGAAUAAAUUCUGACAUAUAUGAAACAACAAGCAGAAUGCCUUCAACAGAAUCAGCACAACAACUGUAUCCUUAUUCUUUGACCUCUACAUUGAAAAAAAAAACAAAUACAAUAAAUUAAAUAGAUGAUAAACAGAUAAAUCUAGGCAAAAUAUGAGCAGCCAUUAGUUAAUUAAUUAAAACGGAAAAAACAAAAUUAAAACUCACUGCUAUAGAACUUAUUCGGUUUCGGAGUAAUGGAGAUUGUGGAGUACCAUGUGAUAUUGUGUAGAUGAAGAGGAACGUCAAUCUAUUUAUGAGAGGCUUGACUGGUUUCAAAUGAUGGAAACACAAACUAUUUUGGAUCUGUGUAACCGUGUUUCUAUUUUCUAAGUCUAAAGAGACUAAAAAGGGAGAGGCGAGAGGGUGCGGGUGCUCUGGUUAGGGUUAGUGGCCAGGGAGAGGGGAGACGGUGAGGGCGAGGGAGAGUGUUACUAUGUUAGGGAAUUAGGGUUAGCGGAGAGAGGCGAGAGUGGCAUCGUUUUCUAUUUAUAUCGUCAACACAAAACACUGGUUAGAGACCUUUUUUUGAACCGGUUCGGUUCGGUCCGGGUUAACCGAUUCCUGCAUUACAAAACCGAACCGAAUCGGGAUUUUUUCUAACUAUUCUAAUCGGUUUAAUCAGUUUUUUUUCUCGGUUCGGUUUUUUUUUGCUCGGUUUAUUCGAUUUUCUGUUUUUUUUGCACACCUCUAGUGUCAGGUAAUCUAAAAGGAUGUUCGGCGCAGUUUUUGUUUUUAAAUGUUUUUAAAAAAACAAUUUAUUCAAAAAAAUAUUAAAUUAAUAUUUUUUAAUGUAUUAAUAAAAAAAUAAAAAUAAAAAUAUUUUAAUAAAUUUUCAAAAUAAAAUUAUUUUAAAAAAUACAUUACAUACCCAUCUCAAUUUGAUGUAAAAUUAGGAGCAAGCGAUUUUUUUAUUUUUUUUUUCAAUGUAAAAUUAGGAGCAUGCGAUCCUUCCUCAUAACAAUUAACAGUGGUAAUGUUUGUGGUCCCUACAUCUGGCGGCUAUUAGCACGAUACUAACCAAGUACUCGAAUUCGCUGCUGGGAGGAUUCCAUUCCAAUAACAUGCAAACAUUAUGAAUGCAUUUUCUAGAAUAAUUAAAAAAACAAAUUAGAAAUUAAGAAGUUAAUAUAUGCGACGAAUCACUUUUUUAUCGGUAUAUUUUUAUUAAAAAAUUUCGGAUAAAAAAUAAUUACAAAUAUAAUUUUUUAGGAAAACAAAGCUUGGCAUAAAUAAAUUCAGGAAAAAAGUUAUCAAUGUGAAAAUAAAAUUAAGAAGAAAAGUUAUAAUUAUAAUUGUUAAUAUAAAUUCAUUUUUUUUCUAUUAAUGCAUUUUUAAAAAAAUAUUUUUUUUUUGUUAUAUAUAUAUUGUUUAUUGCAUACAAACUGCAAGCAAUUAAAUUCAAUAUUUAAAAAAUAUUAAUGAUUUAAAAAAAUAUAUUAAAAAAAAUCUUUUUAAUAUUGCAUGGAAAGUGAAAGCAAUUAAAUUCAAUAUUUAAAAAAAAAUAUUUUAAUCAAAAUCUCUUUCCAUUAAAAGAUUUAAUGAUUUAAAAAAAAGACUUCUUUUUUACAAAUUUUUUUUAUAAGAAGUAAUGUUUUUUAAAUAAGAACUUAUUAUAAUCUUAAUAAUAAGUGUUAAUAAAAAAUAAUAAAUUUAUAAUUUUGACAUGAAUGUAUUAAAAAAUAAUAAUAAUAAUAAUAAUAAUAACAAACUUGAAAACAUAUAUAAAACAAAUAGAUAUUUCAUUUAUAUUUAGAAAAUCAUGCACAUUAAAUUUAUAUAUAAUUAUUCUGAGAUAAAUUAUUAAUAUUAUAAUAUAAUAUACUAAUAUUAUUUGAAAAUAAUGAUAUAAUUGGAUUAUUAUUUAAACAUCAUUUAAAUAAAUUUAUUUUAAAAUAAUCUAAUUAUAAAAUGCUAAAAGAGAUAAAAAAAAUACAAGGCUAAGCAAGCACGGGCUAGAAGAAUAAGCCUACAUGUUCGGCCUACAUGAAAACCUAUAGGUUCUGGGGUCUAGAAACUCAAGUUCGCAUGUCUGAUUUUUCUAAAAAAAAACACGAUGUUCACUUUUAUUUUUAAAAAAUUAGACAAAAAAUAUGUUUUUUGACAGUCAAAUUACACAUUAUUUGUCUACUAUUUUUUCUAGUCAUAAAAAAUGUCUUCGUGAUUGAAAAAUUAGGAUUCAAAAACUUGAACCCCAAAAACCUAGAAUCCAACCAUUUUCCAUCCAAAAAUAUAAAGAAAAAAAAACAUUUAAUGAACCUCCAUUACCUCGAUUUUAAUAAUAAAAUAUAUUUUAAUUAGUUUAAAAAUUCUAAAUUAAAUCAAAUUAAAAAAAAAAAACUCAUGCACUGAAAAUGGCCACGCUUCUUAGGGUUUGGACUAGGAUUUGAGACUCAUGGUUUCUUGUUGGUCCACUUUGAGUAUGAGUUCUCAUAUUUUGUAGCUUCCCUUCCCUUGAACAUUCAUUCUUGGUAAAACAUGUCAUGAAUUUAUAUAAUAAAAACAAUUUUUAUUUUUUAUUUUAUUUUUUAUCUGUCACGUAACUAAGUUUCAUCCUCUUUCUCGUCUCGUCCGUUCACCAAACGCCUCCAUGGUUAUUUCCAUGAUCAAUAAUCCAUUGUCUUUUAAACAACCAUUAAUUUUAUUUGUGGUGGGCAGUUACUGCUAAACAUUCAGUGAACUUGAAAUGUGUUUUCAAGUUUAAGUUUAUUUAGGCCGUCUCUGGACCACUGGUCCACCUUCCUAAAUAUAGACCAAAUUAACAUGAUGUGAAGAACAGAUCCCAUUGUGAACAUGAUAAUCAAAUCCACUUUGAAGGUCCCCCUCAAAGUUUUGUGAUUUUCGAUAAGAUUCCCAGUAGAUGCACAGAAACCCAGAAACCCACAUACAUUUCAUCAAGAAAUACCUUAGAAAGGUCUAGAGGAACAUUAAUCAGUGGCCUCACUGUGUGUGUGUGUGAAGGAGCCAUGGUUACGCUCAACUCUUGGAAAGACCAAUUAGUCUUGCUUCGAUCGUUCUUUGCAUAAGACCAAUAUCCGGCUUCCUUGGCAACCAAAGAAGAGAGUGCGCGUUCAUGACAUGUUUAUCAUUAAUAUCAUUGAAUUCUUGAACGUCGAAUUCAAUGCCUAAAACAUGGUUGUUGGGGGUAACCAUCAUUGGUGCUGUUCAAGAAACCAAGAUGCCGUUGUCAAGAGGCACCUUCAAUACCUAGAGAAGGCACGAGAAUGAAUGCAAAACCAUGACCAGGGGGGGAAUUGUUGUAAGGGGUGAUGGAGAAGGUGAAAGAGGACGAGAAUGACAGGAGCUUUGAGGAGUUCGGGUAUCUUAUGGGAAUCCUUGUAGAGGCCUCUACCACCAGAAAAUGUGAUGUCUCCGGUGAGGGAAAGCGUGCCAGAUUGUAGCUCUGCAGUGCCAUAAAGUAACAAGCUCGAAGAGCUGAAACUGUAACUCGACUGCUAUUGUAAAUUGGAGAAAGGAGUUAUUUAAGAAGAAUAGUAGCACAUGGUGGAGCCCGAAGCUUCAAGAACUGGGUUCGUUACUGUCAAGUGCCAUCCAUCACCGGUCUUGUAAUUGCAACUUAGUGCAUGCACCUCCUUGUUUUGGAAGGAUAAUAACGCACUCAGCAGAUACUCUACAUCUUGGGUAUGGUGGAUGCAACAUUUGUCUUUCCACACCGUGGAAUAAUUUCACAUCAUCCAGAUACUCUACAUCUUAUGGCUAAUACAAAUGCUCUCCAAGAAUGGUCAAUAAUUUUGAGAUUGCAGUGAUAGUGGAAAGUAAAUACAUGUGAUAAAUUGCAGAGGGGAGAUUUAUCAGUGAGCUAUAAUCUUGUAGCUAAAAUGGCCACUAGCUAUCUUUCUAAGAACAUAUACAAAAACCCCAACCAACGGUUUUUAACUCAUAUUUCACAUAAGGAAACCACCAAUCAAAUUACUCUUAAGAGUCCCAGCAAUACUUCUCAUGUGGGGCUUACCUCAUCGACCUGAAACAAAUAAUGAAUUGGCUGAUAUUUGGUAGCUUUCAGCCUGGACUUUUCUAACCCUUGCCUUGUCAAAGCGUGCUCGUCUAACAGCUUCUUGGAUCUGGCGAUCAUGAUCCUUCAGCAUCUGAUCCAUGUUCCCCGAUGGAACUAUCAAUGGACCAGAAUAGUGGAUUUUGUGAGCCUUUGACCCAUAGCCAAGCUGGAUCCAAAUUAACAAGAACCAUGAAUCAGGAAACACACAAAAAAAAGGCUCCUCAGAAUUCAGGAAACAUGAAAUUGUAAAUCAAUCAACUUAGAAAAGACGGUUUAUAAACAACUUGCAUGAUAUGAUGCAGACCAGGACAAAGCAGCCAAGUGGUUAAAAAAUUCACUGAAAGGUUAAGCAAAAAAGCAAAAAAAAAUAAACAAACAACGAAAUAAAAGAAAACUGAAUUGUGAAGUGACUUACAAGGACAGGAUCUUUACUGUUAUUUCUCCCAUCUUCCUUUUGGUGGGAACCUGCAACACCCUGUGACAGACGCUGUGGAUCCUGUUGGGCAAAGGAUUCUGAGGUUUCCUUGAAGGAUCCUGGAAACCGUGCCAUUAGUUUUGGAACUUCCGGUUGUGAUAGGCCAGACCUUUCUCUGUGAUCUUCAGAUAAUAAACUCCUCCGCGCCGCCUCUAAGCUUGAAAUUGUUGACAGGUCAGCCCCCGUGUAAAUCUUAGGAGCAUCAUCGGGGUUUCUGCCAGCCUUUGCCCAUCCAGAACGGUGAGACAGUGGCCCAGAAUGUGAGGCUCUCUUAUGCUGAUGACCCUGAGGAUCCAUGUUUGAUUCUGCAGCUUGUGAUGGUCUAGGGGGAUCAAUUGGAAAGCCAGAAGCAACUUCCUCAGGAUGGGGAUUAAACUUCUCACUCCGGCUCUUGGAAUUUGGACGACCAUGUCUUUUCUGUAAUUAGAGCGCAAUCCAUUGAUAUAAAUUUCAUUAGUAAAAUCAAAUUUAAUCAAAUGGAGUGCCAAAAAAUAAAGGGAGUCAACAGUAAAAGAGAUAAUUCAUGAAAAUAGAACAGCAAGAAACAAUCAAUUGUUUAGGUAAUAAUGCUUAAAAGAGGGCUGGAGCAGCUCAAAAGGACAGUAGUCAGAUGUAGUUUGAUAAAAAAAAAAAGUAUGACUUGCUGCUUUCAAGGCAUAAGGAAGAUGGAGAGUGCGAGAGAGAGGACAAAAGAAAGAAACUAGAUAAGAUUUCUUGUGUCUCACAAAGUGCCUUUUGUACAAAGCUGUUUUCUGUAGUGGAGAAUUGCAAUUUCCAUGUGAUCAGAAUGGCAAGAUGGCACAUUACUUUAUACUUCAUUGUUCUGAGAAGAGUGCAAUAAGAAGUGUUCUAAGACUUCGUGUUAUGACUGGCUUGUUUACUAGUUUCAUCUAUAACAGAGCUAGCUUUAAAAAUAACUUCCUUUCUCUUCUGACCAAUCUUUCAACUCAGCAAUUCUCUGAACCUCACCACAUGGCCCAGCAAGCCUACAUACCCAUCUCCUAAUCACAAUACUUCCCCAACCGCACACACACACAUGCAAAAAAGUGUCCUGAGAGAGCUAAGGUUAUCUUAAAGAAAUCACCUGCAUUGAUAAAACUAGCUCAGCAUUGGCAUCAGGUGCUGGAACAGCUCGAGAUUCUCUUUGCCCUCUUCUUUCCAUGUCAGGUUUCUGGCCCUUGCUUCCUGCUGCUCCUUGUCUGUUUGUGUGAACAAAAAAUGGGAUUGUUAGCAAACUACACUACAUUUACAAGUCAAGGAUUCCAUCAGUGAUAGAAGCACGAAGGAUAGUUUAGUGGAUCAGUAAGAAACACACAAUAAGCAAUAUGAGCAAGGGCACUAAGGCAACUGUCACAACCAAAAUACAAAAUUAUGUAAACAGACACUGCAUUCAUCUGAUUCAAAUUGAUUCCUACUUCAACUAUUUUUUCUCUUUUCUCAACUAGUGCACGCAACUUCUAUAUUUUAACAAUGCCAUUAACUGCGGCCAACAUGCCAAAAACGAAAUCUUUUAAAGCUUUUUUUCCGGGCCUUUGCCAGAAGCCUUCCAACAAAAGAUUAAAUGAACAAUAAAUUGGAGAAAAACUUUUUUUCUGUUCUUUUACAAUGUUUACCUUCUAGCUUCUUCAUCUCGCAUUUUUGCAUCAAACUCUUUGCUAGGAGGAUAAUCAGGCAAACUUGAAGGAUCACAAGGAAGCGGCUUGGUCGUAAAGAACUUUAAACAAAACUAAACAAGUCAAAUACAAAUUAACAGAAAGCAAGAGAGAGAAUUGUAAAAUAGAACUAUAAAUACUAGAGCCAACCUCAGCCAGCCAUGAAGAUUAUACUCAUCUUAUGAUUUAUUUAUUUGUCUAAAAAGAAAAGGUUAAAUGAACACUUGCUACCAACUGCUUUGGACCAAUAUGUUACAUUAAAUGGAUGGUAUUUCUCCAAAAUUAUGUUAAGAUUACAAAAAAAAUAGCUGUGCUGCAUAAGAAGCUAUAAUAUCAAAUAAGGAACUCAAAAAUAAAAAUAUACGAUCAGUUACCAGAGCUACAUCAAAAAGGUUGACAAAUUGCAUGGUGAAAAGAAAACACAAAAAGAACAUACACACUCUUGUACAAGAUGCAGUUUUUUUUUCAAAGAACAUGUUACAUAGAAGGAAGCAUAGGGAAAUGAAGGACGGUUCUCUUUUAAUUGAUCACAGAAAAAAGAAGACAUACACAAAAAGAAGAAAUAACAUAUAUAAGAAAACAUACACAGAAAGAAAACAUCACAGAAAAAAUAAAUAUAUAAGAUCAGUUAACUGAGCUACGUCAAAAAGGUUGACAAAUAGCAAGGUGAAAAGAAAACACAAAAAGAACAUGCACACUCUUGUAUAAGAUGCAAUUUUUUUUUUCAAAGAGCAUGUUACAUAGAAGGAAGCAUAGGGAAAUGAAGGACAGUUCUCUUUUAAUUGAUCACAGAAAAAAGAAAACACUCAUCAACCACCAACUAAAAUUCAAAACUGUUCAUGGUUGUCGAAAAUUCACAAACUAAAUGUGAUACACCAAAAUAUACAAAGUGCAUAAAAGAGUGAAAUUGUAGGAGUCUUCGAGUGAGAUCAAGGGACAGAAAAUAAAUCCUAAAAGCAACACAGCAUUUGGCGACAGAUUAUUGAUGAAAACUCAACCCCGUAUAGUUGCAGGCUAGCAGUGACAAAAUGUGAUUAACAGAAACACAAUCACCAUUGAGAAAACUGGGCUUGGGUGCUUUUGUGAAGAAACAAAGUGGAAUGAAUCAAAGGAGCAGCCACAAAAGUUUGGUAAAGUUGAUUAGUUGUGGAAAAAUACAAUGAAGCAUAAUAGAGAGAUCUGAAACCUAAUAUAUGCAACGAGAUGGCUAAAGACCUGUCACAAUCUAAACCCCUUAUGAUACAACUUCAGAGUGGUGUGAAUUGCCUGCUAUUGUGUCUUUGCUGAUGGCACCAGGUGAACUUGAAUGUUUAACAGGAUUUACCUCCGUCCAAUUACAUAAACACAAACUCUUCCAGUGACUUUUAGAUUGCAACAACAUGGUAUCACAUGAGUUGGAAGGAAAACAGACUUCAGUCUCAAAAUGUAUUUCAGUGACAAUAAUAACAAAAAUCCUAGACAAAAUUAUUAGAAAGAUCGAAUUAAAAAUGAAAGAAAUGUUAAUGAGUGAUUUACUUAUUAGGUAAAAAGAAUUGAAAUAUAUGCACUAUCAUGUGUAGCAAUAUAGAUCUUCUAAUUGAAGCCAAUAUGUAUCUCUGAAUCAAAAAAUACCAAGAAGACCAUAAACCACUUUCCAAUGUAACACCAAAUCCCCCCACCCCCAAAGGGACAAAAAACACUCACAAAAAGGGAAGGGGAAUUUGAGAUACAUAGUUCAUGGAUACCUCAUACCUCACUCCUCAGAGCAGAAGCUGCAGAUCCACGAUCUACAGGAUCAAUGGCGAGCAGGGUCUCCAUAAGAGCUAAAGCUGGUGCUGGGAAUUCCUUAAAUGUUUCUGCAACACAGCGUCUAUAAGGCUGCUGAGGCUUAAAGAUAGUCGCAUGAGGCAACUUUGAUUUUCUCCAAUAAUCUUCAGAAGGUGAGCCACACAGCUUGAAAAUUUUAUGCAGCUGCUCCACCUACAAGGCAGAGGCAUGCAAACUAAUCAUCAACAUUUUAAGUAGCUGCACUAAUGUUUUUUAUGACACUUACAUAGAUUAUAAGAAAGCAGAAAAGGGAUACGGCAUCUUGUGAUAAUUAUUCUCUCUUUCAAUCUUUUCUUUUUGAUAAAUCCUUUUUCUUUUUCAUAUUAUAAGAAUUUUGCAAAAGGAUAAAGAAAUUCAGACAUAUCAGACUCUGUUAGGUCUUUGCUUGAGGUCUCUUUUUAAAUAAACUUUUACAAUAGCUUGCAACACUGCUAAAACAUAUUCUUACUCGAGUUCCCUUAUUUUUACCUUUGACCAAAUUUAUAGAAAAAAUAAGGCACCCUCCAAGGUUAAAGUAAACAUCAAGACACGGUUACCUAUGAUCAACACCCAUGAUUUGUCAAAGGUGAGAACUCAUAAGGUAUUAUCACCUAGUGUUUGUGUUAAGUGUUAUAGUAGUAGAAAGUGCAUGACUAUGUUUCUUGCAUUGCCCAACAGCUUGGAAUGUGGAGUUGAGUUUCUAAAUGCUGAAAAGAAUUAGGCACUUCUGCGUAGGGUGGAGAAGAUGUUAAUGAUCCAUUUAGUGGGUUUUUUGCUGACAGGAUGUAAUUCGACAAUCUUCAAAGCAAUAACUAUCUAGAAGUUAGCACGGGAUAAAAUUUGUAUCUGGCAAUAAUUAGUUCAACAUUGUACUUGGAAUGAUGGCCCAUGAAAAAUAAUCUGCAUUGCAGUAUAUUAUAACAUGAAAUAGCAAGCAUCUAAGAGAAACACUCUGUUUGGUGGAGAACCCUAAAAGACAUUUUUUUUUCUCGAGAAUAGAAAAGGAGAGCACCUCAGUUCUCCCUGGCAUAAUAGGCUUGCCAGCAUACAAUUCCGCAAGUAUGCAACCUGUACUCCAUAAAUCAACAGCUAUCCCAUAGUAGGUAGCUCCAAGUAGAAGCUCUGGAGGACGGUACCAAAGAGUCACUACUCGGCUUGUCAGUGGCUGAACCUGGGCAGGAUCAUAAAAACUUGCUAGUCCAAAGUCUGCAAUUUUCAAGAUACCAUUGUUGUCAAUUAAUAGGUUGGAACCCUUUAUAUCACGGUGUAGAACACCACGGCUGUGACAGUGAUCAAGUCCUCGUAAAAGUUGUUGCAUGUAACAUUUCACCUGCCAGCAUAUACAUAUUAGACCACAACAUCCAAAGCAUACAAGCAUGAGUCAAAUAUCAAACCUGUUCUACCUUUUAAGAUUGACAAUUUACACAUGGAUGAUCUUGGAGGAUAAGGAGCAUGUAAAACUAGCAGAUGUUAACAAUAAAAUACGUAUGAAUUUCAUAGUUAGCAGCUGAUAGCCUGUCACGGCAAAAUGCAAACACCCAUUGAAUUAGAAUCUAUUAGAACCAAACUGCCAAAAUUACCUGGGCUUCUGUAAAAUUCAGACCAGGGUGUGAGGCAAGCCCAGCCAAAUCAUGCUCCAUGUACUCAAACACAAGGUACAAGCUGCAUGACAUCCUUGAUGUAACUAGGCCUUCUAACUUUAUUACAUUAGGAUGGUCAAGCCUGCGCAAGAUGUGAAUUUCCCUGGCCAUGAAGCGAACACUCUCAGGUUCCAGGUUAUCAAACCUUACUUUCUUCAAAGCAACAAUCUUCUUCUGAUCAAGGUCACGAGCCCUAUAAACAUUACUGUAGGUUCCCUGGCCAAUCUGCAUUAUAAUAGAAAUCAUCAGAUGAGGGAACCAAAUCCCAAAAGCAGGUCAUUUCAGUUCAAAGAGGACAGCAGCAGAUAAAAAUAACAGGGCAAACCAUUCUACAAGAACUUGUGGGACCUGAAUAGAAUGAUCUGCUGUUGUCAACUACUCAAAAAUUAUACACAAAAAAGUGCAAAUAGAAGUCCAUGAUAUCCAAACAAGAAAUGCUCAACAGCAAACCUGGCCCCUUGGCCCUAGCUUAAAGAGUAAGAAAAUAGUAAAAUACAAUGGUCAGGGACACAGGAUACAGAUUUGCACAUUCAGACCAGCCUAUUCAUGCAAAUCGCUUCAUCCUUCAAGACUAGAAGUUUGAAAAAAUUCAGCCAAAUUAACCAAAACGGAAUACCAAAAGCAGGGAGCAGGAAAUUCCAGCUACUGAAGUUGUUAACAAGCAUCCAUUUCUUGAAUUAUGCGGUAAAAUUAACAAUACAUGUUCAACUAAAAGUUAUAAGCUAUCUGUCCAUAUAAUAGCAGCUCCCUCACACAUCUUUAAAUGCUAUUGUAAAAUUUAAGUUUUUUUCUUUAGGUGAGAGGGGCAAGACAUGAACUCGAGAUCCUGCCGCCUCUCCCCUGAUUCUUGUGGAUUAGAGCUUUUGGGCUAAACUAUCUCAACAAAAUUGAAAAAGACCUGUUACAAACAAUGUUGAUACAUAGCACUCAUCUUCAUGGACCCAACUACAAUUCAGAUAUCACAUACACACAAUGCAAGUUGAAGAUUAUACCACACUUUUAAUAUUCUGCACUUUGUUUACUGUUCUUCCCCCACCAUAUUUGUUUCAAAGUUCCCUCCUUCCUCAGCACACUAACGCUAAUUGACUGGCAGCUUAUCAAAAUUGGAUUCAUUUUAGACCCAUUGUAUCUAUUUUGAUGGAUAAUUAUCUAAAUGUUAUGGGUAUUCCACUAACUAUAAUAAAAAGGGCACAUUAUCAAAGAAUGGUGCUUCUCGAAUAUUCCCCAAUACUAAAUAGCUCUUAAAUUCUCUUAAUAGCCUCUUACAUUUUCUCAAAGCUCUUGGACUCGAACAUGGAUACUUCCUAUUUUCUGAUAUGGUAAUCUCUCUAACCAAAUAAAAAGGUCUAACUACAAGAAAAUCAUUCAAACCUUUAAAGCAUCACUAAUUCCUACACUGUGAUUGCAGAAACAUGGAUCUUUCUCUGGUGUAAUCAGUAUAAGCCAUUCAAAUUCAAACUCUUUCAUAUCCAUACUGUCUCAAGCCUCUCAAAACUCUAUGCUUCUCAAGCCUCCAGGCUCUGACAAGUAAACUGAACUUCUAGCUAACAUUUAUUUAGAAGUUAUCAGGUUCAAAGAAUCCGUCAUUACUCUUAGCAUGUAAAAAUGAGUUAUGCAGAGCUCUUAUGCAUGUUAUAAAUGAGCCUUCCUAAAUGUAUUUUUCACCACCUUGCUUAUUUAUAAAUAUAAAUAUAACAAGCAUACAUACAACACAAAUCUCAAGGAAAAGUCACUUAAUAGCACCAAAAAAAAGUUCCAUAAUUUUGCUAACUGAAUUCAAGCUAAAGCUAUAAAAUUUGACAACACACCAUAUCCAAUGCGUGCACAAAUGAAAAUGCUAAAAAAUGUAACAGUCCAAAAAGGUUCUAAUUCUAAUUAGCAAUCGUCACUUUGUUCAUUGCAUUAUGAACCAAUCGAGGUGUCAUAAGCAUGUUCUUCAACCAUUAAGUUUGAAUUGCUAAAUUUUGAAAAUCAUAAACAGAAUCUUGCUUGCAAUGGAGCAGAGCUUACAAUAACACAUGUCAACGUUGAGCUUAGAGAUUUUUUAUGAAGUUACUUUAAAAGUGGAAAAAACGAUCAUCAGUAAUUGCAGGACGUGUUCUAAACAAAAGCACAUGUCAACGUUGAGCUUAGAGAUUUUUUAUAAAGUUACUUUACAAAAUGGAAAAAGGGAUCAUCAGUAAUUGCAGGACGGGUUCUAAUGAUUAAAAAUGAGAUAUAACAACAAAAACAAAACGAAAAAAAGGGCAUACCUUGUCCAGCUUCUCAAAUGAAUCCGCACGCCGUGGCAACCAACCUUUGAUUGCCUCUCCAGCCACAGCAGCUAGCCAGGAAGGCCACCCAGCUGCAACCUGCUCCCCUUCAGUGGCUUUCGGUAUGCUGCCCAUACCUGGGUGGUGAAGAACUGCAUACUCUGACUUGUCCCUCUUCCUAUCAACAUGCUCAACCCCAUGCACUCUAAGAGACCCAUUCACUUGCUUGUCAAUCAACAUUGUCCUACCAUCAUUACUAUCAUAUUGAUCUUUCGCUCUAUAUGCUUCCUCUCUCCUUGAAGAGGUAGCCCUUGAUACCCUCAAGUCAGACGAGGGCUUACUUGAAAGUCUCUCUCUUGGGCUCUCCUUGCUAUCCUCAAUUGCAGAGGGUUUACAACACAUGCAACCCAUUAUGUACCUAAACCACCUCCAAAAACACCCUUCUCCUUUAGAAUCAAUAAUUACCCUUCAAAAAUCUCAUCUUUACACUUCUAUCCUCUUCUUCCAUUCCCAUUUUCACACAACCAAACUAUACUUCAUCGAAAAUAAGCAAUUAAACUAUGUAUCUCAAAAUCAAUCACCGGAAGAGCAUAAGCAAUUCCCACUCAAGAUUGAAACUUUAAAAUAACCGAACACUAGAACCACACAAUUUUGCACAAUAACUUAACUGUGACUCAAUGACUGCUCUUUUACUGUGAAACUUCCAUUUCCUUAUCAAACCCACCGACUCCUAAUCCAAAAAAGGAAACCAAUUUCCUCAACCUACAACGCUAAAAAUGAAAAAACUAACAACAACCACCACCUUUACUCCAACAACAAAUUAAGAAUCACAACCUGAAAACUAAAUACCUUUAAAAUGUCAUGCCUAAUCUUUUCAGCUAUCGAAUCAGGUGAUUGAAAACCCUCCACCAAACUCACAAUUCCACUACAAAACAAACCCUAAAAACCCAAUAAAAAAAUAUAGAACCCAAAUUACCAAAACAAACAAACAAAAUCUAAAGAAAGUAAAGAACUGGAAACACUUCAAUAUAAAGCAUGCACCUUGAAAAUGGAAACCAAAAUGGUAAUAAACAAUAUUGUGAAAUGAGAAUUGAAGGACCUCCUAGAGAUGGAGAGAUCUAGGGAAAGAGAGAGAGAGAGUGGAGUAGUGUAGAGAAGAUGACAAGAAAAUGAAAAAUGAGAAUAAAUAUGUAAUACAAUAAAUAAAUAAAUAAAUGUGAAAGUUAUUACUAUAUAUUAAUAUUAUUAAAUUAAUUAAUUAAUGAGAUGGCGCGUAAGAACAGACAGGCUUUUAGAGAAGACUGAGAACUGAAGAGUGAGUGAAGACCCCAAUGCGUAAAGACAUUCUUGGUUUGUGUCUUCUUCUAUCCCCACGCGCUCUGUUUAUAUUGACACGUGUAUAUUUUUUCUUUGCCUUCGUUUUUUUUUAAACAAAACAUUAUUUAUCAUUUGAUGAAUAAUCUCUCUUUAGAUUUUUUACUGCCAGUUUAUACCUGACUGAAUAAAGUAAAAAAAAAAACUAAAUAGAAUAAUUUAACAAAAAAAUAUUAAAACCUAUUUCAUUAAUUUAUUUAACUUGUAGUUUAACCGAAUAAAAACUGAAUGUUACUGUAUUAUUUUCAAUAAAAAAAAACUUGUGUAUAUCAUAAAAUUUUCUCAACUUUAUAUAAUAUUAUGAUAAUACAUAAUUAUAUAAUAUAUGUGUCAAAUAUUAAUGUUGUUUUAUGAAUUAAACCCUAGUCAAUAUUCAUAAUAAAAACAUAUCUUAUAAUGGUAUUGUAGCUUCACAGGAUCCGUUUUCAUCUAUGGUAAAAUUUCUGUGUUUCAUUUUUUACCAUGCUUUAUUAAAAGAAAAACUAAAAAACGUGAGAGUUUCAAUGUAACUCUAUAUAUAAAUUAUUGUAAAUUAUUAUAGUAAAAUUAUUCUUUUACCUUUAAAUAGAAAAAACUUAAGUCCUGAAGUUGGGGUUUUUUCCACUUACCUAUUAGUUAUUGAAAAUUUUUUUGGGGAUAUAUGUGUUUUUUCUAAUUUUUUAUACAGUAAAAUACUUUUUUUAUUAAGAGUCAACAAUAUUUAUAAAUAUUGACCAAGGGCUUUCUUGAUUUUUCUCAAAUUUUUUAACAGCAAAAAUAUUUUUUUGCCCCCGAUAUCAAAAAUUUAUGGAGUUGUUGGGCAAAGGUGUUUAUGGUUUUUUCAUGAUCUAUAUACAGAAAGCAUAUUUUUAACCUUAUAAAAGACCAAAAAAAAAUAAGUUUUUCCUUUAAGGGUGUUUUAAUAUUUUCAUAUGAGUAUUCUGUGUAAUUAACAUGUUCAUGAGGGUGUUUUGGUAUUUUUCACAUUUUCUUUUCAAUUUUUUAUUCUAAGAUCUGUUGAAUGCGUGUUCCAAACAUGCUGAAGAGUGGAUGGCGUUCGUGUCAUUCAGGUGAUGAUGAUGGUGAUAAUUGUGGUAGUGAUAUUUAUAAUGAUGAUGAUGUCAUCGUCGUCGUCAUCAUAAUAAUAAUAACAAUUUCAUACUCACAUUUUUUCAUACUCACAUUUUAUUCAAAAAAUAAUAAUAAUAAUUUAUUAUGAUAGUUGUAGUGAUUAUGAUAUCAAUAACUAUGGUGAUGAUGGUAAUAAUAUUAAGAAUUAUUAUAAUAAUGAUAUUGAUGGUGGUGAUAUUAUAAUUAUAAUAGUAAUAAUAAUAAUGAUAAGAAUAAAAAUAAUAGUAAUAUUAAUUGUGAUGGUGGUGAUAAUAAUUAUAAAAAUAGUAUUAACAAUAAUAAUAAUAAUAAUAAUAAUAAUAAUAAUAAUAAUAACAACAACGAUAAUAAUAACAAUAAUAAUGGUAACAAUAAUAAUGAUAGUAAUCACGAUAAUAAUACUAAUAAUAACGAUAAUGAUAUUACUUAUUGAUAAUAGUAGUGAUGAUGACAGCUGUAAUGUUAGUGAUAGAAGUAUUGAUGAUGAUAAUAACGAUAGAAUACUAAUGGUGAUAAUUCAUCAUUCGAUGUUAGAUUUGUUAGGAAUUGAGUUUCACCACUUUUCCAUGUAUGGAAUUUCCGGUCUAAUAUUCUGGGUUACUAGUUUGAAAAGUGUAAUUGGAAACUCGUUUUAGGAAAAGAUCCAAGAUAAGAGAUUUCAAGAUUCAUCUUAUUGUCCGGGUUUAUAGCAUUGCAAAAAAAUCUUUGUGCUCUUGAUAAUUUUUUUCUACAUUUUUUAAAACAUGGUUUGGCUCGUGGUGGAGCGCAAAAAAAUGAACGAGUACACUUUCUAUGUAUUGUUGUUUAUCGUUGUUUAGAGAGCACUUUUUUUAUCUAUUGUUAUUGAAUUAUUUUUAAAUUAAAAUUAAAAUUAAAAAUAAUAUGGAUCAAACACCUUUAUUCAAACUUACUAAAUUUAUGUAACGAUCACUUUCUUUAUUUUAUCAAAAUUUCUAAAAACCAACAAAUCUUGAUAUUUAGAAAUUUUCCUAAACAAAUAUAUACCAAAUGUAUUUGUGAUUUGAGUAUUUUUUUUAAACAUAGAAAUUGACGAAGUCAUGAAAUCUUCAUAUUGGAUUAUGCUUUCCACGGGUUGUGAUUUUAGGCUAGAGAAGUGACCGAUUUCACCACUAAUCAAUAAGAUUUUCCUACAAAACAAUCUCAUGUUGGAACAAGAGGUCUUCUAAAAAUUAAUUUAAUAAAAAACAUGAGGGAAAUAAUAUACAUGAAAGUAAAGAAUGUAGGAGAGUGUAUUUGUGAAUGUUGGAUUGGGUGCAUUGUGUAAACUUGUUGAAUAGUUGUUCGUGAUUUCUAAAAUUGUUGUCUGGUUGCUUGUGUGUUUCUGGAAGUGUUGGGUGGUUGCUCAUGGUUAUUGGAAGUGUUGGCUGAUUUCUUGUGAUUACUAGAUCGAGACCCAAAUAAUUUUUCAAGGUCGAGCCAGCCAAAAUAAACUGAAAAGCAAUUUGUUUGGGUUGUGGCCUAAAGGGAUUGAAGGUAGUCAUUUUGGUUUGCUGGCCUAAACAUGUUAUUUAAUUAUUAUUAUUUUAAAUUUUAACAAAUUUAUCGUGCCAUCAUAUGUCCCCCAAGUCUUUAAAAAACAUGUUUGGAAGACUUUACCGAAAAAAAGUAGGGGAUAUAAAAUACUUAUUGUUUUUAUACUGGUGAUGUUACUUGCUUUUGUUAAUGUACAUACAUGAGAGUUCUCUUAAUUGUUUUUCAUCAUUUCUGUGAAGAGAAGAGAAUUUAGUCAAUUUUAUGUGUUCUUCCUAGAAUAGAGAACAUUAUUACUUAAAAGUGGAGAAUAUUUCAUGUGAAAACAACUUUAAAGUAUUAUAAUAUUGGAGAAGUGGAGAUUUCAUUAGAGAUCUCAAGUUGAGAUCUUUAUUGGAGACAUUAGAAACACAUUUAGAGACAUAGAAACUUCGCUUGGAGAUGUGGAGAUUUCAAUAAAGAUAUGAAGAUCUCAUCAUGAAGAUUUUUUAUUGAAGACAUGAAGAUAUGUUUUGGAGACACGAAGAUCUUACUUUGGAGAUUUUUAUUAAAGACAUGGAGAAAUAUUACUACUUUUAUUCAAAAGUUAAUGGAGAUAUAAUUUCUAAAAAUUAUUUGAUCUUGGACAGUCCAUCAUAUGAAUUUUUUUCAGUUUGUUCAGAUUCUUUUUUUUUUCUUCAUAAAUUAUUAGAGGUAUCCUUUAAAGAUCAAUUUUCCCUCUUCUUUUUCAAGGUAUGACAUUCCUCAAUGUCGUGAUCAUGGUCAUGGUAAAAGUGACAGGAUUUAUUAGGGUUCUUUGUAUUUGCGCUGCUUUUCUUAGGGCCAGGUAUCAUUUCCUUGAUUGGUAGCCAACACUUUAGUAUAUGUAGUGAUAAAAGGUGUGUUCAGGAGCUCGAAGAAUGUUAGGCGAUCAAGAAAUGAUCUCUCAGUGCUCUUUUUCGAUGCCCUGGUAGGAGAUCGAUAACAUUACAGAGAUUUUGCUCUCUCUAAAAACGAUGAUGUCCCUAUUUGGCAACAUUGGCUUCUUAAACGAUAAUAAGAAUAGACAUAAACAUUAAAUUGAUUGAAUAAAAUAAAGGAAAAAAAUAUUAUGCUAGGUUGCACAUAUUAGAAAUAUUAUCUAAAAAUAAAAAAACUUAUUUUAAAAAAUAAAAUUCAUCUAUACAAAAGAUAAAAAAAAAAUUAUAGAUAAAUAAGAAAAACCUCGUAAAAAAUUAAAUGCAUAACAAAAAAAAUCAUCAAUUAAAAGAGGCUCUUUAAACAAAAUAAAAGAAAGAAGAGGUAUUAAUCUAAAUAUAAAUAUUUAAAAAUGUAUAAAAAGAAGCAUUAAUUAAAAAAAAAAAAAGGUCAGGUGCAGUAGCUAACCUGUCUAGCCUUUUUGUUGGGGCUCGCGCGACUAGGCCCUUAUUUGUUUUCGCAUUUAGGGUGGUGUCGCCCCAAAUGUUUUUGAAAAAAUAAAUCAGACGACACGUCGUUUGUUUUUGCCCAGAUUCCAACCAUUGCAGUGACCAAAAAAUCAAGGCUUAGGGUUUUUUACCCAGAAACACAUUUUUCAACAUAUUUUUGACCAAAAACACCUAUAAAACACCUUAAAAACCGUAACAAACCUAUUUAUAGCCUAAAAAACCAAAAAACCAUCUCAAAAAUCAAAAUCAACCCGAGCUCAUAUAUGUUUUUUCAUGAAUUUUAAAGGUAAAAAAAUCUAGUAUGAACUCCCCUCAUCAAAUAGAAUUAUUUGACACAAAUAUCGACCGUUUUAGUGGUCUAAAUUGGUAUUAACGGCAUCUCUCUCUCUACCGCUAGAAUCCAGCGACCUCUCUCUCUCAUCUCUCAACCAGAGACUAAAAGUAACAAAAAUAAAUUUUUAUACCGAAAUUGAAUUGAAAAAAUAUUAAGACACCAAAAUUGUAUAAUUUGUUUUAUUUUUAAAGUGCGAUGACCAAAGUAUAUCUAGAUCUACGGUGUUUUAUUUGUGUAUAAAUAGUGUCGGCUCUACAGCUAAAAUCACAUGCCUUUUUAGAUUUUUACUUCAAUUAGUUUUCUUUCUCCAAUUUGAAGGAUAGUAGAUAGGCAUUUUAUUUGUGUAUGAAUCCAAAAAAUAAAUACUCUAGUUUUGUUAACGAAUCACAUCAUGUGCUAGGACACGGCAACAAUUGCAGGGAAAACUUGAUAAUAAAGGAUGGAUUGAUUUGCUGGAUUUUCUUUUCCUUUUGCCUUUUUAGCAUUCUUUCUAUAACUUGAUAAUAAAUAUCGUUAGGUGGGUGAAUUGGAUGGAAACUCUUGCCCCUCAUUUGAAGGCCCCACUCAAAAUAAUCAUGAUCCUAAUCUUAGUAAGUUGAAUAAUCAUGUGGCUGUUCAAUGAUUGAUUUUUUUUGGGUAAUGCUGAUUUUAAUAUCAUUUUCAUCUAUCAAUUUGAUUAGGUGGGUCCUUGUCGCUGACAUUUUUCUUUGGAUGAUUGGAGACUUUUUUGACCUUCAUCCAUGUAUGUAUGGGUUUUAACCAGCAGUGAGAAAAAUAGUUGACAUUUUUCUGCUUUUGACAUUAAAAAUAUAAAGUUAAAAGGUUUUGGAAUACACUAUUUUUAUAUAUCCACUAACAUUGUGGAUAAUAAUAGUAAUUUAUAGUAUUGGUUUUUUUUUUUAGCAUUUUGACCUUUUUUUCCUUUUAAGUAUUGGUUUUUUUUUUUAAAUUUAUUCCUCAUAUGAUAUGUUUAUAGAGAUUUAGAGUAAAUAAUUUAUUUUAAUUUGUUUUUUAUAUAGUUAUCACAAUACUAAAAAAAUAUCAUAGCAUCGAGUUGGUAUCGGAAAAAAAUUUCAGUAUUACAGUAUGAUCUAUUUUUAAAAAAGUUUAGUGAAACAAAAAAUAAUUUAGAAAAAAAAACUAAGUUAUUAAACUUUGUGGAGUCAAUGACCCUGUUUCCGAGUUUGGCGAGAUAAUCCUGAUUGCCUCGGUUCGCGGGUUUUGUUGGGUACUUUUUUUUUCUAAUUGAACUUGAUUAUAUGAUCAUAUAUAUUUUUUUAUCAUAUAAUUAAAAAAUAGUUUAAAAAAAACAUGUUACUAUAUUUUAGAAAGUCCAUGGGCCUAUUGACGAGUUUAACUUUUCUGUUUUUCUUUUUUAAAAAAAAUUAUUUUUUUUAUUUCAUCCUUUGAUGUUAGGUUGAUUGAGAAUUGAGUUUCAUAAUUUAUUUCGUUUUGCUUUUUAAGAGGUUAUUAUAUUCUUAAAAAAAAAGUCUUAGAAUUGGUUUGAUGCUUAAUUUUGCGAUCAUCUAUUUUUGUUAUCAUAUAGUUAAAUAAACAAUAAUUUAUAUAAAAAAACAAGUUAUUAAUCCCAAUGGAGUCCAUUAUCAGGUUUGCGAGUUUGAAAUGUUGACCCGGGUUACCCGAUUCACGAGUUUAGCCAUCAAGCCUGAUAUUUUUUUUUUUAGAUUUUGGUCCUUUAAUUUUUCUAAUUGUCUUUUUUUUUUAUUUCACUCUUCUUUAAUAUUGGAUUGUUUGGGAAAUGAAAUUCAUGGUUUAUUUUUUUCUACUUUUUAUAAGGUUAUCACGAUCUCAAAUAAAAUGUCUUUUUUAUGGUUACUGCUCAAUUUUUCAAGUAUCUAAUGUUAUCAUAAAAUUAAAUAAAAAUAAUUUAUAAAAACAACAAAUUUAAUAAACUCAUUGAACUUCAUGACCUAGGUUACAAGAUGACCGAGGUCGAUCUCAUCUGGUAUCAUCUCAAUAUUAAAAAAAAAUUAUUGUCUUAAAGUUUUUUUAAAAGAUAUGUCAUGUUUUUAUUGGUCAUCUAAGUUGUAUUUAGACCCAUUAAAUUGAAUGAUUCACUUUGGAUCAACUCUUACGCGAUUUAAUUCAAAACUCGAGUAAGGAAAAGAGUCGAGUUGGCAGGUUUCAAGAUCAAACCGCUUGAUUGGAUUUAAUGAUACUACAAAAAAAUAUCACCAUACUCUUAACAUUUUUUUAUGUUUAGAAAAAGAAUAGUCUGACUCACAGUGAAAUGCAAGCAAAUGUAUUAAAACAAGAAUGUGUGACAUAAGCUCGUAUAUUUACAUUGCUCAUAGUUAGAUUAUUGGGGAAUUACAAAAUUGUCAAGAAGAGUGAUAAAUUGAUAGUUGGAGGCAAGGUUGUCAAAAACGCAUUUUUGACACGACAUGAAAAAUACAAAAUAAACUCGGAUCGUAAAAACGGAUCGUAAAAUCGUAAGGAAUUUUUUCAAGAGAAGCCUAUUGUCCCAAAUUCAAAGAAGAUGAUACAAAUAAAACAAUGUUCUGGAAAGGAAUAAACAUUACCAGCAAUGCUUUCAUAAUCACAAAGACACCAUAACACCAUCCCACGCAAAUUCAAAGAAAAUCAAUACAAACAAAACAAUGUUCUGGAAGGAAACAGACAUUACCAGUAAUGCUUUCAUGGACAGGGACAUUGGUGACCAGUUCCUUCACACUCAAACGUUUGCACAACAACGUUGUAAAAUUCAUAAUGUUCAAUCACCAAAUAGUUAAAAAACCUGCAAAGAAAAAAACAUCGCAUCAAAAGUUUGAACCAUCAAUAACAAAAGACACGCUGAAAUGCAGAGAGAAAAGAGGACACGAAGCAAAGCAAAACCAAGGUUUUUAUUUUUUUUCUUCGAAUACAUAAACCUGUUCAAACUGUCCACAUAGCAAAACAACAACAUUGAGACCUGCCAACAUUACAGGUAACCUCCAUAUGCAAUCUGUGAUUGUUCCUGCACAAACACACUAAUCAGUUCUACCCCAUAGAUUGAUCCCUGAAGCUUUUUCUUCAGAAAUGAAUCCUUUGCUCUUUAAACUUUAAACUGCAUCCUUGAUAAUUUGCUCCAUGGGAAUAAAUUCUAAACCCAAGUCCAUCAGCUUCUUGGCUCCAUUCUUUGCCCUUAACAACCCAGGUUGGGUAUCCUUCAGCAACCUACACCAAUAGGCACAUUAAGGAUCAAGCAGUAAUGAUUCAUACCAUCAAACAACCAGAAAGAAGUUUUAAGAUCUCAAUGAAGCAGGGGUGGCAAUGGACAGAAGUUUGAUCCACAACACAACAACAAGCACAACUUUGUAUGAGAAUAAAGAGCAAGACUAGUUAAAUUUAAUGUUCCCAAAUUCAAAACCCACAAACCACACUUAUCAAGAAAAUCUAAAUUCACCUCAAAUCAGCCUAUAUACUGAUUUUGCGAAAGAAAUUAUCAUAAGAAAAAUUGGUCUCAUUUCACAAGUUCGAUUACCAAACUUUGCUUUUACUGUAAUGACACCUAACCUAGCAAUAAUAAUCUACUACAAUUUGCUCCAAUAAGAGUUCAAACAUUCUGACAGCUUAACCAAUUAUAUAGACCGACCUCCAGAUAUGAGAAUAUUCAAGAAAUUGGUAAAAGCUAAACAAACAGCUGAAAUAUUCUUCUGAUUUGGGGUUUCAAUCUAUAAUCAGUGUUGUCUUUAGGGUUUUUGCUUUCCAGCUAGCAAGCUAAAGCAAAGCUUAACAUAUAUGAGGACAAAGUGAUAGUAUGCUUGCACGGUUUCACCAUUAUCGUCCAGACUUCCAUAAACAAGUGCACUAACAAGAAAAAAAAAAGAACAAAAAUUGGUUGUUGUUUGAGUUUUGCCUAUGCAGAGACAAGACUCGGUGAGUUGUGGAGGCAGAGCAGUAGAGGUGAGUUGUGGAAAAAGAGGCGAGACUGCGAGAACCCUUGAGAUUUGAGAAAGGGGAAAGGGGAAAAGGGAAAGGGGAAAGGGGAGGGUGACGGUGUGUCGGGGAGGGGAGACAGAGUCAGUUUAUUUUUUUCACUCUCUAUCAAACUCGUUAACUCGGUCCGUUUUUACCGAGUUGACCGAGUUUGGUCGAGUUUGACCGAGUUUGACCAUUUUCGAGUUUUUAACUCGAUUUUACAGGUUAUAUGGGAGUUGACUCGUAAAAUCGUACGAUUUUACGAGUCAACUCGCGAUUUUGACAACAAUGGUUGAAGGGUUAGACUUCAGUUUUUAUCUGAAAAAUAACAUUAACUAAAUAAUUAACUCACAUUAAAUAACUGGUUGGGGAAAAAAUUAAACUUAAAAAAAUUUCAAGUUUGUAAAGAAUUUCUAGGCAGUGUCAUUAAAUUUAGCCUAAGUCAAUUUUAAAAUCUCCUGAUCAAACUCAUCUCUUAGUCCAGGUUUUAAAUUAAACCGUAUGAAAGUUGUCCCGGUAUGACUCAAUUGACCUAAUGAGUUUAAAGUGACCCAAAUAACCAGUAAAAAGUGUAAUUUAACUUUUUUUAAAAAUUUCAAGAUAACAUAAUUUUUUUAAAAAAUAUUGAUACGACAAUAUAUUGUAUUGACCUGAGUUUUGCGGCUUAACCCACCAAAACCAUUACUCGGGUUAUGGACUCCACUUUUAAUAAAAAAAAUUUAAACUACUUUUUAUCUAAUUAUAUGAUAACAAAAAUAGAUGUUUGUAAAAUCAACCACUAACUUGAUGUUGGGAAAAAUCAUGGUGUUUGUUUGAGACCAAAAUAAAUUAUGAAGGUCAAUUCAAAAUCAACCAAAAUUUAAAGGAAAAAAUUGAAAAAAAAUCUGUCAAUAAAUAUCCAAUAUUGAAUGAUGACAUUGGGAAAAAUCAAAGGAAAAAAACCAAAAAAUAGGCUAAACAGACUGGCCUAUAUGGUCCAAUACGCCUCUACCUUCUUUAUUUAUUUUUCUUUUUUAUCAUCCACCCUUUGUUUUUUGAAAACAUAUAUAGUAGGCAAUAUGUUGUAUGUUUUUAUAGAUUCUGACCACCACAUGUGGCUGGAAAGUCAAGCUUCUAACUUAUAGGUAAAAAAAAAAAACAAUUUCAAAUAGUUUUCAAUUGAAAACACCUAAGAAACACCCUAGGGAUCUCAAUAAAUCCAUUUUUUUUAAUCUUAAAUUAGCAUUUAAUCAGUUAUAAAUGAAAAAUCAUUUUAAUCCAUUUUUUAAAAUGUGAUCUACUUUUUUUCAACAAAAUAAAUAAAUAAAAAAGAUCUAAAGAGAACUCUCAUUGUCAAAUGGAACCGAUUAACAAAAAUUAGUCAUUCACUAACUCUUUUUUUUGUGUUUUUAGCGACUUUCCCUUUUCUCUCACAAUUACAUGGUCUAAAUAUGAACAAAAUAAAAUUUAGAACAAAACCUCUCAAUUCCCAAACCAAAUAGACCACAAAGAAAAUUAGACAAAAUCCUAAGGCACAAAGGUGCUAACAUGAUUUUUUUAACGGAAGAUCCUUUUUUAUUUUUUUAAUUGUGGUCCCUUGAUUUUUUUAUUUUUCUUAAAUAAUAAAAUUGGAUUCAUUUUCAUGAAAUUGAGUACCAACCUAAUAGCAAGACUUUUUUAAAAUAGAGAUAACAAAAAAAAUUUGAAACAAAUUAUUAACCUUAAAUCUCAAUAAACACAACAUUGAAGCAUCAAAUUGAAAAGAAAAAAUUGAUGAUCAAAGGCAUAAAAAAAAUAAAGAUGACCAAAGUUAAAACCAUAUAUUUUUUUUAAAUGCCUUAUAUUGUUUUUUUCAAUUUUGGUCCCCUCAUUUUUAAUCUCUUGCAAACAAUAAAAUCAAAUAUAUUUUUUUGUGAAACUUGGCACUAACACCAUGUGAGGAUGUUUUUCUAAGAUAGCGCUAAGCAUAUAAAAAGCGAAUCAAAAUAAAUUAUCAAUCCUAAAUCCCAAUCAACACAACAUUGAAUGAUAAAAUUCAAAAAAAUAAUAACAAAAAAAGGUGUAAAAAAAAAAUGAAGCAACAUUGUGUGAAUAUAUGGUGUUUUGCCUUGUAAUCCACAAUGAUUGUAUGAUGCUUUUUCAGUUUUUAACUAGAUGUAGACUUGUACUACACCACAUGGCCAUAUUAUUAUUAUUAUUGCUUAAAAUGAUGUUCAGGUGAUACGAACAUUUUAAAGAAUGGAGAAAAAUGUGUGACACGAGUCAUAGACCCAACUGGGUUAAAUAAAUUGAUUUUAUUUUAAUUAGAUAAUAAAACAAAUAGGCAAUGACAACAGAUGGACCGAAAAACAUUAUCACGAUAACUUGAAGAAAAAACUUUUUCUAAAAAGGUGAAAAACGAUGUAGCUCAUUUAUCAACCAAUUAAAUACAAGAUGAUAAAAUUAGGUGAAAAUAGAACAAAGAAAAUUGACAUAAGUCAACUCAAGUUAGCAUGACAAACCUAUAACCCGGGUAAUAUAGACCAAGUCAACACGGGUUAGCCCGCCAAACUCUUGGCAUAAGUUAUGAGAUUAUGAUAACUUAAUAGAAAAGAAAAUGAAGAAAAUUACAAUGCCUAUUUUUUUUAAGAGGAAAACAAUGUCGAAUGAUGAAAUAAAAAAAAUAAGUAAGAAAAUGUCAACCCACUUUAACUUCUCAAACUCCUGAUCCGGAUCAUUAGAUCAAAAGCACCCUAUCUUAAAAAACCAUGAUGUCUGAUUCCUAACCAAUCAAAUAUUGAAUGAUGAAAUUAUAAAAAAAAAUCAAUUAAACAAAAGAAUCCAAAAUAGAAAAUAGCAAUUAAACAAUGAAGAACUAGAUUGAAAUAAAAAUAAAUUAGAAAACAACUACAAUUUUUUUAUUGAAGGGUGAAAUUGUAAAUAUAAAUCAAUUUAACAAAAGGACCAAAAAACAAUUAAAAGAAUGAGAAUCAAAUUGAAAAAAAAUAGCUUAUCACAAAUUAGGAUUGAAUGAUGAAAUUGAAAACAAAUUAAAAUUUAACAAAAGGGCAAAGAACAAAAAUUAAAAAUCAAAAGAAUACAGACCAAAGUUGAAGUCUCAAUAAAUAAGAGGACAAGUCUGAAAUUUUGAAUGCUCAAUAUGAAUUUCAAGGGGAGGAGGGAGAAAAGAGAAAAAUAGAAAGAAAGCAUUAUUGUUAACAAACCGCCCCCACUACUGCUGCCUUAUGCGGCCCCAAUAAGGAGAAGAUAUCACGAUGACUCAAUAAACACGUAGAAGGAAAUGUUUUGUUAUCGAGAGACGCCGUAUGCGCCGUUAGAACACUAUGGGAACCUCCUAUAUGCUAACCAUGUUUUUUAUUAUUAUAUUUUAUAUUUAUUAAAAUAUCAAAUUACCCCCAAUCAACUUAAUUAUAACUAAUAAACUAGGUUGAGAAUUCAAAAAAGCCCUCAAAUGCUAGUUUUAGAAUUUUUGCUUUUAAAGAUAUUGUAGUUAUUUUACUGCACUUUAAAAAUAUGAAAUGACCAAGUUAUUUCUGAUCAAUUUGAUAAUGACUAGUGAACCUUGUGAAAAGACUGCAUUACCUCUAAUAGUCAGUUUAAAGAUUUUUGGCGGGAAGAGCAAAAUCAUCAUUACAUUGUUAUAAUUAACAAUGUUUUUCCCUCCCAAAUUAGCUUUUGUUAAUUUUAAUUUUAAUUUAAUUAUAAUUUUCCAUAGCAGUAGACUUUUGGCCUAUAACAAGUUAACUCGAUAUUAUUUGUGGCAAAGGAUAAUAAGAUCCUAAGCAAAAAAAUAAAAUAAAAAAGUUCAAUUGAGUCCUUGAUAUUACUCUUUUUUAAUUUUCUACUUUAAAAAUAAUAAAACGAGGACUUAUAUGUCUUAAAAUGGUACUUGUUUUGGCAUGAGUUUUAAUCGUGGACUUAAUUGGAUAACGUAUGAUAGAUAUAAUGAAAUUUAACUUUUAAAGUUAUUCUAAACAUUACACUAUGUAAAUAAAAUGUUAAAAGAUAGUUCUACUCCAUUCAAUCUUGUAAUGACAAAUAAGUUCUGUAAAAAGAUAAUUUUACCUUGUACGGUUUAAAUUGUGAAAGGAGAAAUAAUAAUUUUAUAAUUUUAUUGUGAGGAUCCACAAUAAAUUAUUAUCUAUUAGUAUAACAGCCCGGCCCAACUUGUCAUAUAUUGUCCACUUUGGGCCUUACUGUCCUCAUGGUUUUGUUCAUGGUGACGCGAGCCCACAUCUGAGCCUGACGCCCCAAAACGCGUAUGACAAGUUGGCAACUAGCACUUGCUAUAUAUUGUCUGCUUUGGGCUUUACCGCCCUCACGGUUUUGUUCCUGGCGACGCGAACCCACAUAUGAGCCUGACGUCCCAAAAAGCGUAUGACAAGUUGGCAACCAGCACUCAUAAUAAGACCAACUACCACUCCCUCACCCGCCGAUGUGGGAUAUUACAAUCCACACACCUUAAGGAGCCUGACGACCCCGUCGGCACAACCGGACAAACAGUGAGGUCGGUUCUGAUACCAAAUGUGACAGCCCCGCCCAACUUGCCAUAUAUUGUUCGCUUUGGGCCUUACCGCCCUCACAGUUUUGUUCCUGAUGAUGCGAGUCCACAUCUGAGCUUGACGUCCCAAAACACGUAUGACAUGUUGGCAACCAGCACUAUUAAUAAGGCCAGCUACCACUCCUUCACCUGCCGAUGUGGGAUAUUACAAUUAGUGUGUGUAAUGUAUUCUUGAUUAAUUUUUUUAGCUUUUGCUUUAAUGGGUUUAAGUUUUAAAGUUUCAUUUAAAAGUCUCCCAAUCAUGCAAUUUGAAAUUCCUACAAUUCAAAUUGUUAGAUUAAUUUAAUUUCAGCAUGAAUUUAUCCCGUUAGGAAUAUAUUGGUUGGGACUUUGAUAUGCUUUGAUAUUACCAUGAUGUUACAUGGAAUCAAAGAUUUCUAAACACAUUUUUUCUUUCCCUCUCAUUAAUUAUAACUUAUAAGUGAAUGGUUAAAAAUACCAGUUUCAUAAAAACAAAAUGAUAAAAAGAAUUGAAAAGAGAUUAUGCAAGAAGGUCCUCUUGUCCUAUAUGCCAAAGAUUUUAUGAUGUUUUAUCAAAAUAUGAAACAUAGAUUAUAUUGGAAAGUUAGGGGUAAAUAUUUUCAGUUCAGUUCGGUUUUUACUUAAAAAAAAUAACCAAAUUAAAAUUUAAAACAAAAAUAAAAAGACUCAGGAUCGGCUCAUGAAAGAAAGCAGGAACUUAUGGAGGCCAUUGAACGUUGGAAUAUAAUGAAAAUUCCAACUUGAUUCAAUGUUGUUGGAACCGGUUUGGCUCGGUCUAAUUCAAUUAGUUUUAAACUCUUAAAUCAAAACCAAACCAACAUAAUUUUUUUGUUUUUCUAAUAUUUAAUUCAGGUUUUUUAGUUAAUUUUUAUUUUAUUUUAUUAAUUUUUCGGUUUUUUUCUCCCCUCUAAAGAAAGUAAUAGAACAUAAUGAAAUUACCAUGAUGCAAGUCUUGGUCGGUCCAUUGAACGUGCACAAUACCUACCAAUACCAUCUCACCUGUUAGCGAACAGUAGCUGUCAAUGUCCAAUAAAUAAUGAAUAGUUUAUCCAUUUGAUAAGGCAUUCAUGAAAUUUAUGGCAGUGUCUUCUGAAAUCGAGACAAGAAACAAGUCAAUGGGACCCCUUCAAGCUCAAGCAUGGUGGCCUCUGAGUUCUUCAUGCUCCACGUAGUUCAACACUUUGUAUUCUAGUUACAAAACUGUAUUAUUAUAUUUCGCCAGCUUUGAUUAAAUAAUCAAGUGAAUUCACAUUAAUAUAUCUGUUUUGUAAUCAACUGCAAGUUAUUUUUUUAAGUUUAUAUAUAUAUAUAUAUAUAUAUAUAUCAACACAUCAAAACUAUUAAAAGAUACUUAAAAAACAUUAAUUUAAUUAUUUUUAAAAUAAAAAAAAUCUAAAAAACACUUUAAAAAACAGGUUGAACCACAUUAUCAAAUACAUCAUUUUCGGAUAUGUUUGGAAUUGUGGUUGUGAUUCAAAAUGUUUUGCGCUUAGAAACGCAUCAAAAUGAUGUUUUUUUAAAAAAAAAAAUUAUUUUUAAAAUCAGCACAUCAAAACGAUCUGAAAACAUAAAAAAUUUAAUUCUUAAUAAAAAAAAUUAAAUUUUUUAAAAACACGGGUUGGAUCUCGUUUCCAAAUGAUCCAUUCAUGGUUGUUCCGAGUAAUUAGCUUUUCAUUAGUACAACGUAAAAUCAAAACUUCUUUUAAAUUGUAGGGGUAACAUUGAAAACAUUUAAAAUAUAAGGGUAGAAGUGAAACAUUUAUGAAUCUCUAGGAGCAGUAUUGAAAUUUACCCUUGUUUUUCUACUGGGGAAACCUCAAUUUAGUCCUCAUAUUUACUUCAACGUCAAUUGAGCCCCAAUCCUUAUGAUUUUGUUAAGUUUACCCCAAGCACAAUUUUAACAUCAAAUCAUUAUAAAUUUUACUUUAUACAAACCAGUUAUUCUCCAAAACAUGAAAGCAAAAGAAAAGAUCAAAGACUAAAACCAGAAUCAAUGAAAUCAGCCAAGAGGAAACAGACCUAAAAGCAUUGUUAUUAAAAUAUAUUUAUGCUUCAUACCUUGCAAGAUAUAUUUAUACUAUAGUACAUACAAGUAUCCAAAGUCAUCUUUUAUUUCUUUUAAUAUAAAUGUUUUAAUAUAAGAGUAAGAGAAAUAAAAUAUAAAAUCUAGAAAAUUUUCUAUGAAAUACCAUACAAAAAGUAACAAUCUUUUAAGGGAACGGGUAUAAUAAAAUUCAAAAAAUUCUUCUAAUGUGUAUUCCCACAUAAAUGAUCCUUUUUAUUUGACCUACAAAAACAAAAAAUAAUUAAUUAUAAUAAAUUAAUAAACCCGGCAUAACUCGGGUGAGACCCGACCUUUUUUUUAUAUAUUUUUUAAUAAACCCAAAAAAUGUAAAGUUAAUGUGUGAAUACUUUAACUUUUUCAUGUGGGAUAACUAUAUUUAUAGUCUAUAUCCUCAUAGAAUAUUUCUUAACCUACACUCACAUGAGAUAACAUACACUCACAUGAAAUGUUUCAGAUAGCUAUAUAUAGCCUAAAACCACAUGAAAUGUUUCUUAACUUUUUUAUAUGAGAUAGCUAUAUAUAGCCUAAAACCACAUGAAAUGUUUCUUUUCCAUGUGGAAUAUUAAAACCUCAAAAUAUUUUUUAAAUUUUUUACCGGGUUGACCCGUUUUGACCCGGGUAACUCGUAUGACCUGGACCCGGCCCCUUGGUCGGGUCAACCCUCAGGCCAGGUUUAAUAACUAUGGUGUACACACUGUCAUUUUAAUGUGGAUUUACACAAUGAAAUGAUCAUUUUGUUAUUUUUAAACAAAAUCAUUUAACUUGCUAUUGGAGGUAAAACAGUCUUUUUCAUGGGAUCCAUCUAUCAAUGUCAUAUUGAUUUGGGAGGUCCUGAUCUUUUUACAUUUUAGGUGCAUAUUAAAAUGACUUAAAUACCAUUAAAAGCAAAAAAUAAAUAAAACUGGGGACAUGGAGCUUUUUGAUUUUUUAAUAUUUUGAUUGCACAAUGAAAUGACUAUAUUUUUCUUAAAAGAAAAAAAAACUGAUAUAAAAAAGUAUUUUAGUCGCUUCAUUAUGGUUUUUAAGUCAUUAUCAAUUUUAAUAAGGGGCAUUUUAGUCUUUUAACAAAUAUAAAUAUAAUAAAAAAUUAAAAGAUGGUAAGCGCGUGCCACGUACACACUAGAGAGAGAAGGGCACUAAUGCCUUUUGAAUUGUGUCUGGCACCUCCUAGCGAUCAAAUGCCGCUAAUAUUUUUCUUUUCCUCCCUCCUCUUUCUCCUCGUCUUAGAUUUCACGCCAACCAUUUCAAAUAUCAAACAUGUCUUGUUAGUUUGUAUUUAUAUCAAUUUUGGUCUUCAUUCUUUUGAUUGCUAUUUGUUUUGUUUUUACGGCUUUUUGAAGUUGAUUUUUUAUUUAUUUUGUCCCCCAAUAUUUUACUUCAUUUAAUUUUUGUAUCUAAUUUGGUCUUUAUUCUUAUGAUUACUAUUUUGUUUUUGUUUUUAAUCCUUUUCUUGAUUUGUUUUUUUAAUUUUAUCCCUUAACAUUUUAUUUCAUUUAAUUUUUGUAUCUUAUUUGUAUCUUAUUUUUUUUAUUGCUAUUUUUUGUUUCUAAUCGUUUUCUUGAUUUAAUUUUUUUUUCAAUUUUGUUUCUCAACAUUAUAUUUCAUUUAAAUCUUGUAUUGAACUUGGUACUCAUUUUUUUUAUUGCUAUUUGUUUUUUUUUUAAUGGAUGAUUAGGAUUUAGGAAUUUUGCUUCAUAAUUUUUUUUGUGUUUGCCUUCUAAAGGGCAAUUAUGGUCUCAUGACAUAGGUCACGGAUUUUAAAAAUUAGCCCGGUUUAACUUCGGUCUUUUUUAGGCCAUUGAUUGCUUUUAUGUGGGGUUAUCCCGAUCUUAGAUUUUAGAUCAUAAGUUGGUCGAGUUAACCCGAGUUGACCCAAGUUUUUUUUUUCAUUUUUUAAAUUGAUUUUUUUAGAUUAGUCUUUCAUCAUUUAGUUUGCUUAAGAGUUGACCUUCAUCGUUUUAUUCAAUUUUUUAUGUGUGAGUUUAUCCAUAUCUCAUGACCAGGUCGUGAAUUUGGUAUGCUGACACGGUUUUUUUUAUCCUUUUUAAAAUUGAUUUUCUUUCUAGAUCGUCCUUAAAUGUUUGCUUUGCUGAUAAUUGAGCUUCAUAUUUCUUUUAUUUUUUUAUGAGGUUAUCCCGUUCUCAUUCGAUUUUGUUUUGUUAUCAAAUAAGAUCGUUAAGACUUUUUAAUAAUAUUUAGAAGGUCUAUUUUUGUAAUAUUUAUAAGCAUUUAUUUUUUUAUUAGUCAUUAUCAUUUUUUAUUGUUAUUUGAUUUUUUUAAUAAUCAAAUUAUUAAAUUAAGAAACUUUAUUGAAUCCAUUCAAAUCAUUGAUCUGUCUCAAAUUUUUCUUUCUCUUUUAAAAACACUAUCAUUGUCUGGACAUUUUUUUUUAACAAUAGAAAACAUUUUGUUAGGCCCGCGUCACAGGGUGGGCUACGUUUCCUAUUUUCUUAAGAGAUAUUCAUAAAAGAAGGGUAGUAUUUGGAAUUUGAUGUUAGUUUAUGUAAAGUUUUUGUUUUUUUUAAUAUAUAUAUUGGGAAUGUAGUUUACAGGAAGUUGUAAAUGUAUCGAUGCUGAGGCUAUUUAUCCUAAACCAAAGCAUAUUUGUUUUACAUGUAAGGCUCCGUUUGUUUGCAGGAAAGUUGUUUCCUUUUGGAAAGUGAAUUCCGGGGAAAGUGAAUUCCGAGAAAGUAUUUUCCGAUGUUUGGUAGUGUUAUGGAAAAUGAACUGGAAAACACUUUCCAGUGUUUGGUUAUGUUAUGGAAAAUGAACUGGAAAAUAAUUUAUUAAUGAAUUAAUUUUUUUUCAAGUUUAUCUAAUAUAUAUUAAAUAUUUAAUAUAAAUAUUUAAUCACUUACAAUAAAAGAAUGAAAUCUAAAAAGUAUAAUGAUGAAUUUUUUUAUUAUAUCUUAUAUUCAUACAUAGCUUAUUUUAUAAAAUAUAACUAUAUAUGUCAUAUCAUAUUAUAGAGAAAUAAGCUUGUGAAAUAUUUUUUAAGUUAAAUAUAUUUUUUUUCAAUUUUAAAAGCUUAAAAUAAGUUUUUUUUUUUAUAUGAAGAAAGCCAAAUUAGUUUAUGGUAAGAGUUAUAUAUUACAUUAGAUUAACAACUAUUUUAAUUUUAAUUUUUCGUCACUGGGAACCAAUUAAAUUUAAUUUAGAAACAAAAAUGUCUUGUAAUUACAAUAAAAUGAUUUAUAAAAUCCUUAUGUUUGGAUGCUGGGCCACCCACCCCCCUAAAAAAACGUUCACAUGUUUGUUCACAUGUUUUGUGAACAAAAGAAAGGAAAAUGUUUUCCUUAAAAUAAGGAAAGGAAAACACUUUCCUGGCUUAAAGUGUAUUAUCUUCCUUUGACCGGAAUUUGAAUUCCUUUGACUAGUUUUCCUUAUAGUUGUCAAACAUUGGAAAGUGGGGAAAAUGGUUUCCAGGAAAAUGAAUUCCUGGAAACAAACAAGGCAUAAGGUUGAAGUGUGAUUAUAAACCCUUUUGAUUUGUACUAGAUUUUUUUUACCUGCGCUACGUUGUGGGAUGGGUUUAUUUUUUUAAUAUAAAAAAGAUAUUCAAAUAAUGAUAACAUGAGUGAAUUCAGAUUAACUUAACUAACCUGCGAUUCAAGUUAACCCUAGAGAAAUGAAAGGGAAAAAAUAGAAAGCUCAAGGCCUAAUAAAUCUAAUUUCAAAGGAUAAAAUUAAAAAAAAAGAAACAUGAAAGAAAAAAAACCCGAGUUAACCCAACUUUACUCUAUUAACCUACCACCCAUGACAUGAGAUUGGGAUAAGAAAUUUAAUUUUUUAAAAAUGACUUAGAAAAAAGGAUCAAAGCUAAAUAAAUAAAAAAACAUUGAAGAAAAACCAAGUCACCCUAGGUUAACCUAACAAACCUGUAACUUGAGAUAACCCUAUAGAAAGAAAUAAUAUAUAAAAUCAAAACCUAAUAGCCCUGCGUAAAAGGAUGAAAAAAAAAGAAAAAAAAAUCCAAUGCAACUUGUGUUAACUUAACUAACCCAUGACUCAGGAUAACCCUAGAUAAGGAAAGGAAAAAAAAAUAGAAAGCUCAAGACUCAAUACCCUAAAGUCAAAGGAUGAAAUUAAAAAAAUAAAACAAAUCAAAGUUAAAAUCAGGCUAAUCUUUAAAACCAUCAACUCUUGUCAUGAGACCAAGAUAACCUUACAAAAGACAAACAAAACUCUUCACCAUAAUAUUUUUUUUUAAAAAAUAGUAAUACAAUUAAUGAGGACCUAAUUUGAUCUAAAAACUAAUGAAAGAAAAUAAUAAGGGACUUAAUAAAAAAAUAAAAGGAUAAAAAAAUUUAAAAGAAUUAGGGCUAAAACUAGAUAAAAAAUGAAAUAAAAUGUUGAAGGACAAAUUGACAGAAAAAACAAAUUAAGAAAAGGAUAAAAAAAAAGCAAUUAUAAGAAUAAAGACCAAAAUUUGAUUAAAAAAAUAAAAUGUUAAGGGAAUAAUUGAAAGAAAAAAAGAAACUAAGAAAAAGGAUAAAAAAAAAGCAAUUAAAAGAAUGAGGAAUCAAUUUGAAAAAAAAAAGUGAAAUAAAAUGUUAAGGGACAAAAUUAAAAGAAAACAAAACAGGCCAUGAUAUGGAAAAAAAAUAGUAAAGAGAAUGAGUACUAUAUUUGAUAUAAAAACAAAACAAAAUCAAAUGAAAAAAGGAUGAAAUUGAAAAAAAAUCUAAAAAAAAAUCUAAAACAAUGAAAGACCAAUCAAAAGAAAGAGGAUUAUAAUUGAAAGACAAAAUGUAUUAGAGGACAACUUUGAUUUUUGGCUGACGUAGCACAAAUUUCAAGAAUUGAAAAGAGAAAACAAGGGGACGAAAAGAAAAGUCAACUGUCGACAAACCACCAUGAUUUGAGCAACACGCGCUACCCCAUAAGCUUUGCCUCCACCGGACACUUUAGACAAAAUCUUGGUUGGGAAAUUUUGGUCACUGCUUGACGAGCGCAGAUAGCGUCCACUCCCUAACACGCGUUGUUCACGGGCUAGUAGCCUUUUUUAAUUUAUGAAAAUAAUAAUUUGCCCUAAUCCAAAUAGAGUAUAAGAAAAACUAUAAUAAAAAUAGUAAAAUAUCCUUUGACCAUCUUUUUAUUUUAUUUUUACUUUGAAGUCGAUGAGGUAAUUGUACUAUUUGUAAAAAAAAAGAAAUUAUACAAAAGCUUUCUUAGCCUUUCAUAUUUUUUUUUUGUCUUUUAAAGGCAUUUAUUUAAUUCAAUUAUACUAAAACAAUGUAAACUACUAAACUUUCCCCAAUAAAAUUGCAAAUGAUCUUUGGGUUUUAUGGAAAAUACCAUUCUAGCACCACAAGUAAGGCAAAAACUUUAUACAAAGAAGGGCAAAAUAGUAAUUAUGCUGUCCAAGUCCAUAGUGAAUUACCUCAACAUCCACAACGAAACAAUGAUCAGUUUUAGAGUUUUUUUUUUAUAAUAUUUAUAAGAUAAUAUAUUUUAUGGCCUCACAUAGAAUUCAAAUGCUUAAUGAUAACUCAAAGAAAAAACUCAUUUGUCGACAAACUAAGCCUGCAAUAUUGUAAUUCUUUUGUUUCCUAAAUUAAGUGUAAAAGAUAAUUUUGUCCGUGAUCUAUUACACCACUUUAAAUAUGAUCCUUAAAAACAAAAAAAAAAUCCUACCAGGUCCCUCAUCUAUAGGAUAUUUACUUAUCAAUUCUCAAUUUAAUUUUUCCCCUUUAAAAUCAUAAAAAAAACUUAGUCAUUUUUUUCAAUGCAAUUGGAGCAAAUGAUCUCUUUUUUUCAUCUCUAUUUUUUUCUAGCGACUAUCUCUCAUCUCUCAUACAUAGAGACUAAAAUGUUGAAAAAAAAUAUCAAAGGACUAAAUCAAGUCGACAUUUGUUUGACAACGCAAUAACUCAAUGGUAAUCAAAUUGAUACAAAUUAUGAAACCUGGUCUAUAAUAAACACAAUGUCAAAAGAUUAAAUAAAAAAAUAAAAAAAAAAAUGAAAUCAAGAGCCACUCUAGAUUCCUUCUUAAUGUUUGCCCUUCAUGGUAUGUUGUUCUCACUAAAAUGGAUUUUAUGAAAUUUAUUAUGUUUUGCCUUAUAAAUGCAUGAAUUGAAGUUUAAUAAUCACAUUAAAACCUUACACACGAAAAACAACUUACCUGUAAUAAUAAUGGUAUCAGAAACUCUUUUGGUAAGCGAAUGGUUAUGGAUGUUAAGUCAUGACUUCGUCAUAGUAGAGCACCCUGUAGCUUUUUAAAAGAAAAAAACAAGGGACCUGUAAUGUUUAUGUUUGUUUGUUGCUGUGUCUAACAUAUACCACCAAUCGAUCUUGAAUCUGUGUUUAUAAUCACAGCUGAAAUUAUGUUUUUUUUUAAUUUUCUAUUUUUUUUAAUUUUUUUAUGUUUUUGAAUUGUUUUGAUGUACUGAUAUCAAAAAUAAUUUUUAAAAAAUAAAAAAUAUAUUAUUUUGAUAUAUUUCUGAGUAAAAACAUUUUAAUAAACAACCACUAAUAAACUUUCAAAUAUCAUCUUAACCAUACAUUUGAAUGGUCAUUCAAUAUUUCUAGUGUUCUUACUUAUUGGUGAAUUGAUGAUGCACAUGUUAUCAUCAAUAUUUGUAAUUUCAAAAUCACUUAUGUUGCUUCUACAAAAAAACCAAAAAACUAAUAAGGUUUUUUUUUAUCAUAAUUUUUUUUUCUUAUUUAGACUAUUUAUGAUAAGUGUUUUUUUAUUCAUUUUACGCUUUAAUUAAGAUUAAAAAUUUCUUUUAAACAAUUUUAAAGAUGCACUUCCAAUAUCCUGAUUACUAAAACAUAAAUCAAUCUUAAAAAAUAAUUUUUUAGCAUGCAUAAAAUGUAACUCAUUAAUUGUUUUUUCAAUUUUGAUUUAGUAUUGAAUAAGAAAACUUAAAAAGAUAUUUAUUAUACUAUAUUAAUUAAGUUUUUUUGUCAUGCUUCAUAACCCAUUUUUUACCCCCAGUUUUUUUCAUGUAUUUUCAAAUAUAUAAUUUUUUUAAAGAAUUUAUUUUAAAUGAAAUUUAGUCAAUUCCCAACGUUUUAUAUUUUUUUCAUUUUCAUUUAUUUUAUUUUAAGUGACAAAGAAAAAUAAAAAACUUAAAAACAAUAUAUAGUAAAAAGAAAAAUAAAAAAUUUAGGGAGUGAAAUCACAUGCAAAGGAAGAAAAAUGAAAGACUAGCAAAUGAAAAAUAAUAAUAAAUAAAUAGAGAAUCAAGAUGGGAUUGGAAAAACUGUAAAAAACAAAAAAAACCUAAUUCAAUAAGGAGAUAAAAUAGAAUCUUCCAAUAUUAUUAUUUUUUUUUGACAAAAACCCUUAACAAUAUAAAUAAACAUAAAAAAAAACCUAGAUGGAGAAAAAAAAAGAAGAAAAAACAUAAAAGGAGUCAACUUUAGAAACACAUAGACUAAGAGAGAGAUAAAAAAAGAGGAGAAAAGAUACAAAAAAGGGACAAAGAAAACCUUGCCACAUCUUUUUCAUCUUCUCUCCUCUCUCAAUCACAACUGCGAACCAUUGUUCUUUUCUCCCUCUUCACCACCAAUACCUCCACAAACAUCGACCAUGAUAGUUUCUCCCUCCACCACAUCUUUAUCUCUCUACCCGAUCACAAAACAUCCUUGUUAUUAACUAUAACCUUGGAAAUCAUAGCCACCACAUUAACUAAAAUCGCACUUAUCUCUCUUAUCAUUAUAAAACACUCCAUGGUAGCAACCCUUUGGCAUUCAAUAACCAUGAUCAUAACCAAUAAAGAGAAAAUUGACAAAUAAAAUUUAUCUUUUCAUGUCAACCUCCCUUUUCAGAUCACGACAAGCUUUAUCAUCAACGUAGAAAGGAAAAGAAGGAGCAUGAGAACUUGAUCUAGUAGGUUUAAGGUUUUCAACCUUGUCAUUUUGUACAGUUUAUGUGUUACUUCGUUUACAUGCUUGUCUAGCUCCUGCACAUGACUCCCAUCUGCCACGACUACCCGUUUUUUUAGUAUCUUUUGUUCGAUUCCAAUCGCUCUUGAAGGUCAAAUACGAAUCCUAAUACAUUGAUUCACUUGUUUUUAUCAAUUUGCAAUAUGUGGUUGAUUUCCUAUUCGUAGAUGUUGUAUUUGCCUACAAUGAUUUGCUUGUGUUGAGUAAUUUAUAAUACGAGGUUGAUUUUCUAUGUGUGGAUGUAUUUGUUUUUUUUAUUGUGAGAUUUGUGCUUUAAUUUUCUUAAAAUGAAAAGUUAUGUUUUAUUUUUAUUGAAGAAUUGACCUUGAGUAUGGUAAAAUGGUUUUGUCUUCAUAUGACCAUUUAAGUAUGGUAAAAUGGUUUUUAUUGAAGAAUUGACCUUGAGUAUGGUAAAAUGGUUUUUAUUGAAGAAUUUGCACAUCCAUUAAUUAGUCUUACUUUCAAACCCGAUGGUUUUUAUUGAAGAAUUUGCACAUCCAUUAAUUAGUCUUACUUUCAAACCCGAGUUAUGUUUUUUUCUUCAUAACCUUUUCAAUUAUGGACUGAAAAAAUAGAUUUUAAAAUCAAUUUAGGGGAUUUUUUUAUAAGGUUUUGGAAAAGAUAAGAAUAAUUGAUUUAUAACUUGCAAUUUAGGCAAAAUCACAUCACAAGUAAAGAGAAAAUGAAUCGAUUGAAUAUGCAAGACUAGGCUUUAGUUUUUAUGAUAUUUUGUGUUCUUAGAUAGGAGAGAAGAAAGAGAUUAUAUUUUUAAAUUAAUUUGGGAUUUUUUAGGAGCAUAUUUUGGCUAUUUAUGUUAUAUUAUAUAGGAGGGUAGGUUUGGGUUGUUUAUGUUCACAAGUGCCUUUUAAAAAUAUUUUGCUUGUUGGUUUUUUUUUUUGCCCCUUUAGUCUGAUAGUUCUAUGUUUUGAUAUAAAACUUUAUUUAAUUCACAUUCCAAUUCCCGGGUUUGAAAAAUGAGAUUUAUUGGAAAAUUAUGGAGAGAGAAAGUAAUGGAAUGGUGAGAUUUCGUUGAUAAAAGGUUAAAUUUGGUGUCAAUGUGUUUUUCUUGGCAUAAGAAGUGUUAUUGAGGUAUUUUUGAGCUUUUAUGUUGUUAGAAAAAAUAGAUCGAGGUUAAGAGAAUUUUUUUUUUUAUGCUUUUGAGUUAAUUUAGAGGUUUUUAAGUUGAUAAAUAAAUUUAUCGUGAUUUAAAGGGUAUUUUUGGAAGUAAAAAAAUUGAAAUUUAAUUUUUUAAGUCCUAAAAAUCCUAGCUUGAUUUUCCACCAUCUCUCUAAUGGGUGAAAUUUGAACUCACAAAUAACACAUCAUCUACUUUCUUUUUUAACUCAUUAAAAAAGUCUAAAGGCAUGAACAUGGCCUACUUUUAGGUUUCUUUUUAAUUUCUUUUUAAUUGAAAUUUAAUUUUUGUAAUAUUAAAUAAUUUAAAAUAUUUUAGAUAUUAUUUUAUUAAAUGCCUUUAAAUUUUUACCUUGUUUCUGAAAAAAUAUAUCAGUCUUUUUAUAACAUUAAGAAAUGUUUUUUUUACAACUUAUAAUGAUUUUUUAUAAUUUUAUUUGGUUUCUUUUCCAUGUGCAUGUAUUUUUGCCAUCAUAUAAUUAAAUAAAACGAUAAUUUUUAAAAAAUAAAGUUAUUAAAAUCAAUAAGAUGUGUGAGCUUGAAUCAUGAUUUUAGUGAGUUAACUCAAGUCAAUCCAAGAUGUUUUCAUCUCAAUAUUUUUUAAAAAAAUGUCAUCUUUAAUUAAUUUUAAACAAAAUUAAUUUUUUAUUAGUUACCGAGAUUACCUUUGAACCCUUUAGAUUGAGCAGAUCAUAUCAAAUUAAUUUUCACAUGGUUUAAUUUAAAAUUUAGAUAAAAAUUUAAAUUAAAGGUUUUAAAAAUUACUUAACCCUAUUAAAGAAUCCACUAUAACAAUACAAGAACAUUGUUUUUCCAGCUGUGAUGUCUUUUAGUAAGGAAACGUUUCAGAAUGUAAAUGAUAUUUUUUAAAAAAUUAAUUUUUUUUUGUUUAAAUUUAAUUUUUUUAUAUUUUAUUUUUUUUUGAAAUUUUAAUAUUAAAAAUAACUUAAAAAUUAAAAAAUAUUUAAUUUAUUUUUAAACAAAAUUAUUUUUAAAAAAACCACCACUAAUAUAAUCUUAAAUAUUAUAAAAAAUGCAAAAACAAUAUAAAACACAUUGUAUCCAGAAAGAAAAUAAGAAGACGACUCGCACGCGCACACUGAGAGAGUCAGAUAUUUACCUGCAAAAACAGAAUGAUGAACAAAAAAACCCAUUUUUGAUAAGCUAAGAAAGAAUUCAAAUCUCGCUCUCGUUGGGUUUUAAAUCUCAUUUUCGGAGCCAAAUCCAUUUCUAAAACUUUUUCUUUCUUUUGUUGGCUAAUGUAGGUUGCCUUCUGUUAAUGUUGAGGUUUUGUUUUGUCUAGUUUGGUAUCAUAAUUCUCUUAUGAAUCAGUUUCCCAUGGAAUUCCAUUGAUUUGAUUUAUUAGAACAGAUAGGUAAGAAUUGAAUUCCCUUUCGUUAUUUGAAAGGAUAAAUGGGUAUUAGUGCAUUUGGGAUUUGAUUGAAAUUUAAAAACUGGGUUUUGUUUUCAGGAGUAAUUGCUGGUGGGUUUUGCGACUUAGACCCUGAUUUUGAGGAAACAGGGGGUUUCUUUCUUUUGGUUUGGCAUUGCAUAAGGAGAGGGGAAGUAGAGUUGUAGGUAUUAAAAAUCAGGAGAGAAGUGGGUUUUGGCUUUUGACAGAGAAUGAUUUGUAUAGGAGAAAAGGUGACAUGAGAAGUAGAGUUAUUGUUGGUCCAGAGGUACAAUGAAUGGAGGGUCAUUCGGUCAAAGGGGGAGUUAUGGAUCAUUGCCUUGCUACGGAAAAUUAUCAAAUAUUGCACGAAAACAAUCUUCGAAAAUGCCGCCAGUGAGUUCAAGGGACAAGGAGCGGGUUCUCCUGGUUGUUUGCCGGUGCUUGGGGCGUAGAAGAGUUGCAAUGUUGCUCUUGGUUGCACUUGCUCUCCUAGUUUUCAUCUGGGGUUCCCUUACAGUUAGCAAAGGUAUGGUUCAAACAUGUGUCCUUUCCUAUGAUGUAAAAUGUUUGAGUGUUUUAUGUAUUCUUUUGUUCUACCUGUCCUUAUAUUUUGGUACUGUUGCACUGAGUUACAGGAGGAUGAAAGUUUUCUAAUUACAAGGAAAUAAUCACUUAACAAAGGAAUAGUUUAGGCACCUAUUUAUUAGUUCAUGCUGACUAUUCUAUAUUUAACAGAAAAGAUAAAAUGUAGUAGUGUUUUAAUUCUAUGAGCAUCUUUUAAUUUUUCCUGUUGUUUGAAUGGAAAUGUUUAAGUCAUGUAUUAUUCAUGUCUUGAGAGCAGCUGUAGCAUGCAGUGAGGAGGGGGGGUGGGGAACAAGAAAUAAAGAGGUGGAGGUGGUUCUUCAUGAAUUUUGGUUCCCAUAUAGGUGUGGGCCAUGAUUGAAUAAUGGCCUUGUUUCUAUUAGUUCUCAUUCUGUGCUAAAUCCUUGACAGGAAAGCUGACAGCCAGAGAGUCUUCUUCUUUCUCUCUCUCUAUUUUCAAUCUUGAAUGGAAAGCAUACGAAGACAAAGUUGUCUUCUUGAAUUUAAAACAGGAGAUAAUCAAUCGAUUACAAAUAUUGAUCAGAAUGAAAGAUUCUGUUAUCAAGUUAUUUUUCUGCAUUUAAUUGAUGAUGUCAAAGUCCUGAAAUACUUGGGAUUUUUACUGCUAUUUGUUUUGCUUUAGACUGGUUGAGGCAAUAACUAAUGUGCAUUUUGUGUUAUGGAUGCCCCAGAAACCACAAGUCCAACUGUUAGACCAAUGGAUAGUAUACAUUUUGACAACAGUGAUAUAAUAAGCCAUCCUUCUGUUGCCUGUCGUUCUAGAGCUAAUAGCAUAUUGGACCAUCCAUGCCACAAGUUUGCUCUCCCUCCUCCCCCUCCUUCUGGUGGACGACGGUUUGGACCACGCCGUAAGUUUUGGGUUAUUUUGGUUGAAGUGUUCCUUAUUUUCUUGUUUUUCUGAUCAUUCUAUUAAUAUAUUGGAUUGGACCAUAAGUUUGAGUUGCUACAUCUGUGCGUCAUUUGGAAGUAAAAAAUGACUUCUGGCCUGAAUGUUACUAAAAGUCAUGUAUAUAAUUUUUCUUGCACCAAGAAUGUGCUCUCACAUUUCUGUAACAGAGAAAACUGGCAUGUUUUUGCAAUUAAUGUUAUUAUCUUUCUCAUCAGUGUUUGCUACAGAAGACCUCUUGCAUGUUCAAUUGUAAAUUGAUACAAAAUAACCCUCAAUACCUUUGUAUAAAGUAUGCCAAAAUCUACUCUCUUAGUUGAAGCAAAAAAGUGCUCACAUGCAAUUUAUUUCUGUUGGUGUGGUAUUUACUUUGUUGUCACUCAUUUGUUAUGCAGCUUGUCCAGUAUGUUACAUUUCUGCAGAGCAAGCUAGAGCUAGCAUUCCAUGCUCCUCAUCUGCAUCACCAGUGCUCCGCAACUUAACAUACGUUGUUGAUGAAAACCCAAUUAAAAUUGAAUCACAUGGAGGUUCAGAAUUUGGUGGAUAUCCUUCUCUAAAGCAGAGGAAUGAAUCUUUUGAUAUACAAGAGUCGAUGACAGUGCACUGUGGGUAGGAGUCCUUCUCACCUAUCAUCUUUCUGUAAAAUUAUAAGCAUUGAAGACUGUUUUGCAUGGAUCUCAUGAUCUCUGUCCUCCGUUAUUAUACAAUGUCCUGUAACAAAUACGAAUAACUUAUUUCUUAUAAACACAUAUUUUUCUGUUGGCCGUAUUUUUUAUCAGAUUUGUUAAAGGAAAUAGACCUGGCCGCCAGACUGGAUUUGAUAUUGAUGAAGCUGACCUGAUGAAAUUGGAAGAGUUUCACGAGGUCAUUGUUGCAUCAGCCAUAUUUGGUACUGUUUAGCACUGGACAUUCUGCAAAGAUUUCUUGUUUUAUCCAUGUUUUCUACUUUCCUCAUCAUUGCACUUUCCCAGGGAACUAUGACAUAAUACAACAGCCCAAGAACGUUAGUGAAGCAGCUAGGAAAAAUGUUCCUUUUUAUAUGUUUAUUGACGAAGAGACAGAAACAUAUUUGAAGAAUUCCAGCGCCCUAGAUAGCAAUAUGAGGAUCGGACUGUGGAGGAUUAUUGUCGUCCAUAACAUCCCCUACACUGAUGCAAGACGCAAUGGAAAGGUCAGUUUGCAUUUGUUUGGUUGCUUUGCCUGCUUCUUUCAGAUUUCUCUCUUUAAUUUCCUUGGGCAUCCAAACCUGGGCUGGAUUACAUCACUUUCUUCUUAAUUUUUUUUCUUCCCCUUGUUCUCCUGCUUCUCUGUUAACUCAUUGAAAACAAAGCUAUCAGUUUGUUAACAAAUUUCUGUUUAUCUCUUGGUGAGUCUUCAAGUAAUUUCAAUUUUGGUGCUAAUCCUAGCAUGGCAGAAUUUCCUGAAUAAAUUUCUGUUGAUAUAUUAAUCUAAAAGAUUUUCCUUUUUUUUUCCUUUUCAUUUUUGUUUUGGGCUAUGAUAUUCAAUAGUACCUCAUACUUCAAGUCAUUUUCUUUUCAAUUACUGAAAACCUAAAAUGUUGCUGCAAGAAGUGAUGGAUGCUGUCGUUGUGCUAUGUAAAUGGACAGGUUCCAAAGCUUUUAUUGCACAGGCUCUUGCCUAAUGUUAGGUAUUCCAUAUGGAUAGAUGGAAAGCUCCAGCUUGUUGUGGAUCCAUAUCAAGUUCUUGAGAGGUAUAUUGUUUGUGCUUAAAUUAAGUGGUCAUUGAAUGGAGUCAUUCAGAUAUGUAAAAUGGCUUGUGAAUUCAGUGCAUCUUUUUUUUUAAUUUUUCUGGUAUCUUCAAAUUGAGAUGUAUGGAAAUUUUGUUGUACCUGUGUGUGUAUACUCAUUUUCUUCUGUUAUCUGUCACUGUACCAAUUUCUGGUCCCAACAUGGCAUCACUUCAAAAGUUAUGAACCAUCAUAAGUUUCAUUGGUUCAUCAAUAGGCAACUUACGGGAUUCUGGAAAAAUGCAUGGAAAAUAUAAUUAUAGCCGUAUGCUCUUUUUAUCAGCUGUCUUGCAAUGUUAACAUUAUUACACUGUUAUUGAUCCUACAUUUUCAUUUAAAGCAUUCAAAAAAGGAACUGCUUUUCUUGCUUGGGACAUGGGAAUGUCAUCUUUCUGUUGGUUUACAGUAACUCAUGCUUUGGCAAUGUGUUCUGGAUAUGUUGACUCAUGUUAAGACAGUUUUUUUAGUGUUAGCAUUUACCAUAUAGAUCUUCAUGCAUAUUGCAUUUCUGGCCUCUAGAAGAAGGGGAAAUAGGUAGAUAAUUUUAGUAUAAUUGCAUAAUCUAUGUGUUUGAAUCAUACCUGAGCUGUCCUUUGGUUCAGAUUCUUGUGGCAGCAAAAUGCCAGUUUUGCAAUCUCAAGACACUAUCAUCGCUUUGAUGUGUUUGAAGAGGCUGAAGCUAACAAAGCUGCAGGAAAGUGUGACAAUUCAUCCAUUGAUUACCAGAUUGAAUUUUAUAAAAAAGAGGGUUUAUCGCCAUAUUCCAAGGCUAAGCUUCCAAUAACCAGUGGUAGGUGUAUAAUCCUAUGUGUGUGCGCACGCGCUUCAUGUUCUUGAAGAUUUGUAUUUCUUAUGUUUUCUGCUCAAUGACUGACCUUUUGCAGAUGUUCCUGAAGGUUGUGUUAUCAUAAGGGAACAUAUUCCCAUCACAAAUCUGUUUACCUGCCUGUGGUUCAAUGAAGUUGAUCGGUUUACUGCCAGAGAUCAGUUAAGCUUCUCCACUGUGAGGGAUAAAAUAAUGGCUAAAGUUGAUUGGAGCAUCAAUAUGUUUUUGGAUUGUGAGAGGCGUAAUUUUGUGAUUCAGGUACAUGUUUAUGUGUUGUCUUUCUAUUAUCAGGGGAGAUGAAACCAGUGCAUCUAAAACUAAGCAAUUUGUUAUUGUUCUGCUCUAAAUGAACCUUAUAAGUGAACUUUUCUAAUGAAGUUGGCCAAAAAAGCUGAAUGACUUUAAUUUUAUUGUUAUAUUAACUUAUGUAUUUUUUUUCCUUCCAUGUUUAACAUUGAGCAGCACCUCCUUCCUCUGUUGAAAGAGGAAAGUAUGACAAUUUAUUAUUGGUCUGCUCUAUGUUGCCUGUUUGUCUUAUUUAUUAUUGGUCUGAUUUUAGCCGCAAAUGUUCCUUGUUUCCCAAACACAGAGUUCUGGCAACUAAAUGGAUCCUCUGACAACAGUGUAUUGAACAAAGCUGUCCAGCUACUAUAUACAGUGCACGAGACUGAUCUCUAUGGGUGUCUUUGAUCCCUUCUCUAUUUUUUGAUCCUCCAAGUGUUUCUUUGGGUGUUUAAUGUGGUUACUCCAUGCAUUUUAUCAUGUUCUCCAUACAAGUGACAUUUGAGGCUAAAUUCCGUCCUGGGAGUGCAGCUAGUAUGCUUUGACCAAAUGAUGCUAAAAGCAGGAACGAUCAAAUAAAAACAAUCUUUAAUGGGGAUAAUUAACUUGGAUUUAAAAAAUAAAACUCCUAUGCUUUGGGAUGCUAAAUCCUACUACUAUUAGUUUCUCUGUAACAAAAUGCCACUGUUUUAUGGUACUUUUAUGCCACUUGAUUUUUCUUUUGACUUGCAGGCUUACCACAAAGAUUUAUUGGACCACAUGCCACCUCCAGUUGCUCAUGUUAUUCGACAUCCACCACCAUUACAUCGUGAUAGUUCAGCUGGGAGAAACCCAAGUAAAAAUUCAAGGCGUGGAAGAGAUAGGAGAUCUGGUUCAAGGCAACACCGCAAGGCUGCUGCGGGUAACAGGGAGAAGCAAACCUUUUUGUAGGAGAGGUAAAAGUAGGUGUUUUUUAUUUUUUUUCAUUAUACUGCACGGGGAAGAUGGAUUUGGUUAGAAGUAUUUAGAAUGACCCAAAAACAAAAGCAACCGAAAUUUUGUUUGAAAUUAUUGAUAUCUCAUAUUCUUUCAUUGUUGUAAAUACUUCAUACCAAAUAAGUCCACACCAGCUGCAAUCAUUGAAUGCUUCUUGAUUUUCAUUUACUUGGUGCACGAACAUGCAUUGGCCAUCACUUGUGUAUCUUGAAAAUGUCAGCUUUCAUGCUUUAUGCGUUGUCCAGUUAUAGAAAUGGAAGAUAUACUUUCUACAUUGGCCAUCACUUGUGUAUCUUGAAAAUGGCAGCUUUCAGGCUUUUUGCGUUGUCCAGUUAUAGAAAUGGAAGAUAUACUUUCUAUCCUCUAUACAAUAAAUACCGUGCCAUCCUGAGUGCGGAGCGACUAAUCCUUGUUCUUAGGAGUGUUGUUCAUCUUCUCUUUUGAGCUAUUAAGAUGCACUGCUUAUUCUGCUUUUCUAAGCUUGAAUCUGAUCUUUCCUUCAUGUGUUCUUCCAAGGUUUUGGGAAUGAGUUGUUUAAUUCUAGGGCAUUUGUAAGAUGAGAAAAUCUUAGUGUUUUCAGGCCUACGGAAUGUUUCCUAACCUGUGACUGUACAAGUAAAUAGGAAGAUUUCUGAACUGGCCUCGUCCAUGCUCUUACCUCAAUACCCAGAUUGAAAAUUUUGGUACCCUAUAUGUUGAAUCUCAUGUUUCUCCACUCUUAUCAAAUCCUCAACUAAAUUCAAAAGCAGGAAUUGAAAGUGGAAGGAUAGAUUAUCCUUCAACCCUACAGACAGCACAUAACAUGAUCCUUCAACCCUACAGACAGCACAUAACAUGAAAGGGUCUCACAGGAGAGGAGAGGAGAGGCCUAUCAGCAAGAUACAAGUUCCAGUGGUGAGAAUCGACCAUACACUUAAAAUAACAUACAAUGAAGUAUACCUGCAAAAUAUAACAGCUGUAUUGAAUACAAUAAUGGCUUCUUCUCUGUGAUGAUAAUAUAAUAAUGUGGUUUUGUCAUUCGAUUUGCAUACAGAACAGAGCAAUACAGCUUGAGAUAUGUUAAAAGUAUUCUAUGGAUCCAUUUUUUCAAGUGCAUGCCGAAAGCACUUUUGACAAUUAAAAGCAACCUCAAGUUUUAGCAAGUUCGAGUUAAACUAUAAAGGUUCACACUUUUUAGGCAUUGAUUCUCAUUUUCUGUUAAUUAUUUCUUACUCUUACAGUUCAUUUUAUAAACAAUUUUCUUAAUUCGAUGAUAAAAGAAAUAUCUUCCUAGUAUCAGUUAAAAUUUGAUAACACCUGCAGCUCAACUAAUAAGAUGCAUCGAAGAUGAUGUUGAAGUUAACAAAUUGUCAUGACACUUCCUGUUAGCUUUUUUCUCUUGUUUAAAAUUAUUAUUUUGAAAUUAUUUUAAUAAGCUAAUAUUAAAAAUAAAUUUUAAAAAAUAAAAAAAAUAGGACAUGAUAAAAGUUAUAUUUAUUACACCCUCUGUAGAUUUCUCGUGAGGAAGAAAGGUCGUGUGAACUUGAUCCUCCUACAUGACGAUACAUGGAUUCUAACUUCCAAAAAGCAAAAAUAAAAAAUUCCAAAAAGAGCUUUUCUUCUACAUUUAAGAUAAUUAGAAACACAAAGGGUAGAGGGUCGGCCAGUGAACAUGUGACCCACAAAUGUGGGAUUGCUAAGCACAAGAAGCAAAGAAAGGCAUAAAAAAACGAAGGCAUUUUGUGCAUGGGAGGAAGGUAUGGUAUGGGAUUAUUGAGAGCAAGAAAUCUCUAUGGAUUGCCACUUGAAAGGAUAUAAAACACCAAAUUAUUGCUUUCUCUACCACCUCUCUGUCCAAAUCUACAUACCUUAAUUAAAUAAGUCUGAGCCCACAGAAUUAUUAUAUCCAUUAAUUUAGCUCAAUUAUUAUAUCACCCAUAAAUGUCACAUCCAGAUCAGCACCAAUAAUUUUACCUUCCGUUCCAGUUUCAUUUCCCUUCAAUUUGUUUACAGCUUUAGGGUUUUGGGAUGCAAAAGGGUUUCCUGGAUCUGUCUCUCAACAUCUUGAAUUUGAGGUUAGGAUCCUAUAGUCUUUUAUUGGUGGAUUAAAGGGGUCUUAUAUUGAAAUUUGAGGUGGGGUUUAUGUGGGUUUUUCUUGUUUAAUACACUUUGAUUCAAGAUUUGUUUUCUUGGUACAAUUGGUGGGGGAGAUCAAGUUAUGGUCUUGAUUAAUGGGUUUAUCUUGGUUUUUGAGUCUUGGGUUGCUAUCGAAUUCUGGGCUUUAAAUCUUGAUCAAUGAUUCGAUCGUCUUUCUUCAAGAUCACACAUUUAAAAAAGUAGGUUUGAGGGCUCUUUCAAUAGGGUCGAUGUUACUCUUUUCUUGUAUUGUACUUUGGUAGCUAUGGUUUAAAGGCCUUUUCUUGUUGGGUUGAGCCAUUGUUUCUGAUAGAGUUAAAGAAAGGAGAGGGGAGAGUAGUUCUUUUUGGUGCUUGAUUAAAUGGGAUCCUCUGGCUUCUUUCUGAUAUGUAUGCUUCAUUCUGUGAUGGCUCUAACUUGUGGAGCUUUGAUGAUGUUUUACACAAAUGAGGCCACUGUGUUUGGUCAUGGCAUUGAAAUAGCUACAAAGCUUAAAGGUUCAACACCACAUGACCAACUCCUGGUCCAAACCUCUGAUUCCUUUUCUGGGUUGCUAUUGUUUGCCAUUGGGUUCCUUUUGUUCAUGGUGGCAUUUGUUAAGGACAGAGAGUUCCAGAGUUUCUUUGCUAAAGGUUGUGUCUUGCUACAUGUUUCAAUGGCUUUCUGGAGGAUUUACUUUGAGAGGAAGCUUGAAGAUCUGGCUCGUGAUUUGCCUAGACUAGUUGUUGGUGACAUUGCAUUGGCUCUUUCUUGGGUUUUCUUUCUUGUUUAUUCUUGGAGAGAGAAGUAUGAUUAGCAAGCUACAAGAGUCAGAUAGCCAGUCCAUCAUCGAAUAAAUUUGAGCUGUUAUUGUGGUAGCGUUACGGGUUCUGCCAAGUGGGAUCUUUUUUCCUGGCUCUGUUCUGUAAAUUACAGGGUGAAUCUGGAACUUUAAAGAAAUGGACGCAAAGCAUGGAUCGGAUUCUUGGUUAGUGCGCGUUUUAAAUUCUUGAUUGGAUCUUGAACAAGCUUGGAUUCCAAGAAAAGCUGGAGAUGAGAUCUGGGGGCUGCCAUUUUGUUUUUAAUUGAGAAUCUUCAACUUGAGAAGUUUCUUGCACUUACUGUGGUGCCUCUGUGGGCUUCUUGUAUUGAAUUUCAAUGGCAUUUGUAAAUCAACCUUCUUCAAAUAGAUAUUUGAUAAUAAUUAGAAAUGUGAAUCCCAUAAAAGUUUACUCGUUUGCUGCCAUCUCUUACUUUCCUGGCAAUCUUUUCUUGCUAUUUUUCCAGUCUAUUUGAUUUACUGAUAUUGCAAUUUGCACGCAUCCGCAGCUUUGAGUUUGGGACAAAACUAUGCCAAGACAUUUCCAGGAUUUUGUUAAGCAAUCCGAGGGAGGAAUGAUUUGUCUAAUUAAUCAAACGGCAAGAACUGUAAAUGGAGUCACACCAACUUUUAUUUUUUUAUUUUUUGGUUGUAUAUAUUAUAUGAAUUCUCAUCAUAUUAUAUCAUAUUAUUCGAGCUAUUUCCUCUUUGCAUUUCAAGAAUAAUUUGGAAAAAAAAAUAAUUUUAUUUAUUUAUUUUAAAUUAAUAAUUUUUUAAUAUUUUAAUAUUAUUUUGAUAUAUUGAUAUUAUUUAUCAUCAUAUUUUACAAGUUAUUUUGUAUUUGUAUUUUAAAAAUAUUUUUUUAAAAAAAUAUUAUAUUAUUACUAUUUUUAUUUAUUUUAAAUUAAUUAUUUUUUGGUGUUUUCAUAUUUUUUUAAUGUAUUAAUAUUAAAAAUAAAAAAAAUAUUAUUUUAAUAUAUUUUUAAAUAAAAAUUAUUUUAAAAAAUAAUUAUUAUUAUAAAAUCAAACAGAAUUUUAAUCUUUUAAUUUAUUGAAGAUUGACCUUAAUUUUUGUUGCAAACAUAAAAAAAAAAAGUUAUAAAGAAGGGGGAUUAUACGACUUCUUAUCUUUUCCGAUGCUGAAAUUUUAUCAUUCUAAAAAUAAUAAUUAUUAUUCCUAUAAUAAUAUUUUUUAUUUUGAAAAAUAACUCUUAAAUUUAUAUGGAAGGAAAACUAAAAUUUAUUGAAAAUUAUUUUUAGUUGGUUUGAGAGUGUGAUUAUUUUUUAAAAUAUUUUUAAUUUAAAAAUAUAUUAAAAUAAUAUAUUUUUUAUAUCAUCAAAUCAAAUAAUCUAAGAAAAAUUAAUUUUAUUAAAAAAAAAGAUUUAGCUUCUGUUUCAGCCGCAAUCCGAGUGCUUAUUCUACGUUAAAAAGAAAAGUAUAUGCUGUUAUUGGACCAUGAAGGCUCGGCCCACGGACGCCACAACAUCUUGUCUAGGGACCCGUUUCUUUCUUCUUCUUCUUCUUCUCUCUCUCUGAAGUUUCUAGCAUUCAACCACAACAGAAACCCUGCAGAGCCCCAACUCCUGAAACCUUUGACAAAAUUCUAACGGUAACUUAUUCUUUUCUUUUGCUCUUUCUAUGUUUCCUUGUGUUCAUCUGUUCAUUUAUUGUCUUUUAAGUUGUAGAUGGUCUGUUAUGGUUUAGUGUUUUGCUUUGUUUCUGGUUUUAUUGUUUGAAUAAACUUUUUUCUUUUUCUUUUUUCAGAAUUGUUAUUUGCUUUUGUUUUUUCUUUAAUUCUAAUUGUUAUGAGGAAAGGUCAUCAAAAGCUCAAAUGGUUUUAUCUUGAAGAUGAUUUUUUAGUCAAGAAUGCAAUUUUGUAAUGGCAAAUGAUUAUAAUUGGUAUCAUUAAUUGAUUUUGGUUUCUGGGUAUAUGUUUUGCAUAAAUUUCAAUAUUUAGGUUCCGUUUUAAAGAAGAUACUGUAGUUUUCAAGAUAGUUGAGAAACUGAGAACAUGAUAGACAUGAUCUUUCACUGCUAUGAAAAGGAUGAUCAUGCCGGAGUUCUUAGAGAAAAAGGUCGGAUUUUUACUCGAGGAAAAUGAAUUAUUUAUUUUUUUAAAAAAAAAAGUUUGGUUACUUGAAGUUAUUGAUUGGGAAGCUUUCAUACUGUUGGUUCUGAACUUGGGUGAAGCGCAAUUUUGAACUUUUUAAGUUUCUAUUUUCUGUAUGUUGAUUUUGGGUAUAUAGUUAGUCAGUUGCAUAGAGUACUGCUAUAUAACACAAAAAUAAGUUAGCGAAAAGUUCACAAGCAGAUAAAGUGGCCAGAGAAGUGAUUUCGUUCAACUUUUGGGCUAUUUAUUUUUUGUGCCUGUUCGUGUCCUAUUUGUUACAAAAUAUUCGUGUUAUACAGCUUUCUUCAAUUGGGUAAUUGAGAAGCUUGGUUGAGUUAAGUUGCUUCCUGGAUUUAAAAAGAAAUGGGGUGUCUUUUUUGAGUGGUUGUUUCCUUGAACCCAUAUAUAAGUGCAUUUAUAUUAGGCUUUUGUGAUUGCUUCUCAUGACUGUGUCAGAAUCAGAUUCAUCGGUUUGAUUGAGUAUAAUGUUGACAGAUUUUUGGCCAAAUGUCUAAUUUUUAUGAGGGGAAAUGGGAAUAUGAACAAAAACAAACCUUUCAUGUUGUUGAUUUACCACGCGGAGUACUUAAUCAGGUCUUAAGUUUCUGUCUUAGUAAGCAAAACAGCACUUAAUGGUAUGGCAGUGUUUCAAAUUGUUUGAUGGAGUCGGAUAUCAUACUGAAUUGCUUGUGCUAUGAGCUGCAUUAGAAGGAUGAUUAGUGAUCCCUUUGUAGGAAAACAAAUUGGGAUAUGAGCAAAUCUCAUAUGGUGGAGGACAGUCAUGCAAUGGAACAUCUGAACAAAAAUUUUGAAUUGUUUUAGUGGAGUUGAUUGAUUGGACAAUUUGUAGAACAAGGACUCCAGGUGGCAAAGGCAUUAAUUGGCAAAAAGAGAGAAAAGAAAAGGUGCACUUUUUUCUGAUGAAGAAAAAGAUGUCUCUAUUCACAACAGAAAAAAUCUCCUCUUUUUUUUUUUUCUGAUGAACCAAGCAAUUGCAAGCAGCUAGUAAUGAACAACAAACAAUACAGUAAUGAAGAAAUAGAUGUCUCUCUAUUCACAACAGAAAAACUCUCCUCUAGUGAAUUGUAUAAUCAUUGGAAUUAUAACAACGAAAAAAAACCUAUGUAAUGAGUUUAUAAAUAGAGUAGAGGCUCUUGAAUGAUUUUCUUCAUUCCUUUCUUUAUUUCUUUAUGCCUUACAUGUGUUUUCUGCAGAUUUGUGAUGGGUGGACUGCCUUUGCAAAAUGCUUCCCCUACCCCAGUUGUCAGCCAGGUGUCAGUAAUUACAAAUUCUACUAAAGAAUCAAAGCCCAAGAAGAAGAUCUGCUGUGCUUGCCCUGAAACUAAGAAACUAAGGGACGAAUGCAUUGUGGAGCAUGGUGAAGCUGCAUGCGCAAAAUGGAUUGAGGCUCAUCGACUGUGCCUCCGUGCUGAGGGCUUUAACAUUUGAGUUUGGUAGAUAUGGUUUAGUUCAUAAAUCAAUACCAUUUUGGAAUAUAGAAUACUUGUUUUGGAAUUACACAUACUGAAUAGGAGGAAUAAAGCUAGAAAACACAGGUUUUCUUGACCUUCUGUACUUGCAGUCAUUUUUAUCUUCUUGAAUUAUGAUUUCUUUCCUUCCUCUGUGACAAUUGAAAAUGAUCAGAAUCCUUGGGUGGGGUUGAUAUUGUGUUGUCUCUUCUCUUUGUCAGUGUUAUCUGAUUAUUUUUUGAACCUGUGAUUUUACAGGCAGAGGAAAGUUGUUCCUCUGAUGUAUUGCAUUCCUUACAUGCCAAUAACUCUCCCAUUUGUGAUUCCUUAUUUAAAUUCCAUUACGGUGUUAUGUAUUGUUCUGAACUUCUGAUGAUAGAUUAUAGACUCUCAUCUCGUACUUAUGCAAGCUUAUCCUCACAUGUUGAUUGUUAUCCUUACAAGUAGCAGUUGCUAAGGAUGAAGUGAAAAGUUAUAAUCUGAAGUGUAUUGUCCAGAAUUAGACAUUCUCAUCAACUUUGCUGCAACCUGAAUUAUCCUCUCUGUCACUUUUGAGCCAUUAUAUCUCCCUUGAACUCAAGUGAGCUUGUCGAAGGGCUGAGAAGCAACUCUGAGAGGAUAACUCUGGGUUAGAACGUCUAACUUGGACAAUGCAUCUUCAGACAAUAACAUCUCUUAUCUUCUUAUUUCAUCUUUGCAACUUCUAAUCACUGCAUGCCAGGCCAGUUCUAUCUUCUUUGUCAAUAUCGAGAACAGAUUCUCCUAGUUUUAUAACUCGCGAGUUCUAUCUUUUUUAUUCAUUGCUUCCUAUGCUAAUUGUCAUUUAGUUCAGAGAACAGAUUCUCCUUUUUUUUUUUUCCUUCCUUAUCUGUGUCCAUUGGCUAUAAAAUGGAAAAGGUAAAUAAGAAGAGAAAUCUAGACGUGUGAGUUCAAAGAGUUGGUUGACUGCAAGAAUUUCAAACUGGAAGACAUAUUAGGUCAUCUUUCAUGGUAUUUCAAAGCUUGUACACUACAUUUCAGAUUGUUUGCCAAAACUUCAGUGAUGAAACAGGAAAAUGGAAAAAACCCAGUCUUCUUCUCAUGUUUCUUUUACGUUUUAUGUUUGUAGUCUAGUGAUAAGUUUAUGCCCCUCCUUUAUGGUAUUUGCACUAUUUUGGUCGUUCUACAUGCUGCGGUUAAUUUUCGAUUCUAUUUGGUUUUUACUCAAAAUAAAAAAAUAAUAAUAAUAAUAACUAAACCAAAAGUUUUUAUUAUUUUAAAUUAAUAACCGAAACUGGUUCAAACUAGUUAUUUUAGUUCGGUUCAGUUAAUUGAAGGAAAAAACCGAUUUAAUAAAACUAUCGAGUGUUAAAUCCCCUGCUGCGAAUCACUUCAUUCUAAUCCAGAAAUAGCAUAUUAUCCCGAACGUAAAUAAUAGGAGUAAUAGCAUAAAAAGGAAGGAAAAAAAAACAUAUUUUCUCCCGAUGGAAGCGUAAGUUUCUUCAAUAGGCUUUGUCCAUUGCAGAAGUGUUCCACCAGCGUCCAACAAUAAUGCAUCAUAUGCUUUUUUAACAUACUUUAUUGCUCCUGUAAUGUAAUGAAACAAAGUGAACGAAUCUGAUCUAUUGAAAUAGUGUACGCAUUUAUAUAUAUGUACUAAUAAAUAAAUAAAUAAAUAAAGCACUAAGUAGAAAGGAAAAGUGACCAGACCAGCAGAGUGGAUGGCAAUGGAAGAAGAGCUUGAUAGCUUCAAUUUGAUAGGUUUCAGAGCUUUAAGCAAAUAGUUCCCAUGACAUUGGCCAAACGGGAAAUGGAGAUUUAGGAAUGGAAUUGAGCAAAAUAAAAGAAAGAUAUACCUUUAAAGAUUGCUAGAUACCUUUGUUUUUUCUCGAGACUUUGAACCUUAAAACUGGAGAAGACAAGAAACCAGAGAAGGGGAGAUGCGAGAACUGAGAUAGAGAGAAAACCUGGAGGAGGGCGGCGGCUGGGUUUGACUUGGCCUUUAGAGUUAGAAGAAAAGUUUAUAUUUAUACUGUUUUUCUUUCAGUGGUGGUUUUCUUGCUCACCCCUAAUUACCAUGUCGUGGAACAAAUUAGGAUAAGAGUUGUAUUGAUCUCAAAUAAGCUGAUGCCGUCGUACCAGAGAGCUCAUGAAGAAAAAAAUUGAGGAGUUCCAGUGAAGAUGAUACGCAGAAUAAUCUUGAAUUUAGAACAGUACUAGUUGGCAAAGAAGGAACAAAACUGAAAUGCAUGGUAAAUGAUUUAAAAUUGUGAGAAAGAAAUCGGGAUUCAAUGAUUUUGUUUUGAAUUUGAUGUUCUUAAUUCCUUUCUUCUUCCCCCGUGUCUCCAACCCAACGGUGUCUUGUUUCUGAGUAUGAAAGCAGGAUUCAAUGAUUUUGCUUUGAAUUUGCUGUAAUCAAAGCAAAAGAGGAACUGCUGGCUUGCCCUGAAACUAAGAAACUAAAACACGACAGCAUUUUGGAGAAUGGUGAAGCUGUUUGUGUGAAAUAGGUUAAGACUCAUUGUCCAGUGAGGACUUCAACAUUUGGCAAAUGAAUAUCACUUCGAGGAUAGAACAGAUACGAGGAAUAAAGCUAAAAACCGCAACUUUGCUUGACUUUUUCAUAUCUUCAAUCAUUUUUUCUUGGAACUCCACUAACAAUUGAAAAUGGCCAAAAUGCAUGAAUGAGGCCUUGAUACUGUGUUUGUCUCAUCUCUUUGUCGAUGCUUUAUUCUUGUCUGUACAUGUGAUUUAACAGGUAGACUAAAGCUCCUUUCUCCAAUGUAUUCCAUUCCUUAAGAUGCCAUUGAAGUCUUCCAUUCAUUUAUGAUUCCUUCUUCAUAUUCCUUAAUCAAUGGUGUUAGAUAUUGUUCUCAGCUUUUCUUACGAUGGUUAUUGACAAUUUAUCAUAAGGAGAUCUAAUGGCUGAAAAGCAAGUAACCAAGGAUGGAUAAUUAUUCUACACGCUACUAUAAAUUGAUCUAAAGGUCUUCAGACAGUAACCCUUUCCCCGAUUUCUUCUGUUCAUCUUUUACGACCACUAAUCAUUGCAUGCCUUGCUAGUUGUAUGAUCAAACAAUUGCUGGCCAGGUUACGUACUUUCUUGUGAUCCUUUUGAGUAUUCUCUUUCGCAAUCACUUGAACAUAUUGCUGGCCAUGCCGUUUCUCUUCGAGUUCAGAGAUCUCAGAUUAGAUUCUUCCAAUUUAACUUUCUUUUGCUUUUGGGUUUAUCUUUUAUGACUUCUCAUUGCUGCGUGACAUAUUUCUUGUGGAAUCUUUAAGUGUUGUGUGCAUUAGCAGAAAAUAAAAGGAAAAAAAUAAUCUUGACACGAUCCCAACGAAGAAGAGUUGAUUGCAAGAUUGUGGUCUGGGAAAAAAACUGAUUUCUUAAGCAAUAACGAUCUCAAAUUAACUUGCCUAAUUAUUGUAAUGCUAUCCGAUUGUAAUUCGCUGUGGUGAAGCUAUGCUUUCAUGCAUCAAAUUUUAUGCCAUUUGAUCACAGAGCAUACCGCUUGAUAGGCUAUGAACUCUAGAUUAAUAAAGUUCAGCAAUAUUCUUGCUCUGGUAGUCUAGGUCUACUUUAGCCAUGGAGACAAUAUAGUUGUGAAGUAAAUGAUUAGAAAGAUGAGAGAAGCAGAGUACUACACUAAUUAUAAGACUUCAUUAAAACCACACCAGAGGCCACAGACAUGGCCAAUACAUAACAAUGAAGAAGACACAAAGAUAAAGACACUCACGGACACUUUUGUUUGUUCACUCCACACCCACAAGUACAGAAGAACACAGAUUAUUUAUCAGAAAUUACAUUAUUAAUCCACUCCCAAUCCCACAUCAAACAUGAUAGUUGAUGUGCUUGCUUAAUGACCGCAUGUGCAGGUAGUGCAAGUGCAGCCAGUACCGCAGUUGCACUUGCCAUCGUUCUCAGCUGCUGGCACCUCCAUGACUACGGAGGAGACAUAGCUGCAAAAAGAAUUAGACUCCAUUGUAUUAGCAUCGUGUUCCCAUUUCCUUCAUUAUCAAUCUUAACUGACGAACCAAAAAUGUUUAGGAAUAAAGCAAUAUAUAUUAUUCAUUCUGCUUAUUAAUCAUCAGUGCAUGCUGAAGCUUCAAUCAUGUCUCUCAACGCUAAUUAAGACUACGACAACAGGACUUUAAAGAUAGAGAUGCGAAAGUUACUUCUUCUCAGUCUCGACGAUGCCAGCAGUGUAGCUGCUUCCCUUCUUGCUGCAAAUUAAUCACAAAUUGCAUGGCAUGAGAGAGCAGAUAGCAUAAUGUAUGCACGAAAGCCAUGCAGAAACAUGAACUACCUACUAUACAGCUUGCACAACAUAUAUAAACCAUAAACAAGCAAGAGCUGCUUAAUCAGGUUUGCAAAAGAAGGGGAAAAAAAGAAGAAGAAUUCUUACACACACUGGGUCUUGUCAGCGCAGUCGCAGGUGUCGCAGGUGCUAGACAUGAUGAUUGAUUGAUUAAGCUUAAAUGGAUGAACUAAAAGACUUGGAGUAUGAAUGUGUUCUCUGUGUAGCUUAAUGAGUUGUUAUAUCUUCAAGCCCUGCUCUAUUUAUAGAAGGAGAGAGCGCAUCAGUAAUGGCUGCGAUGAAGAGGAAGGGCAAUUGUGGGACCCUCUUAAGGCAUGAGAGAAGCACACUCUUCUCGAGGAAACGUCCGAAGGAAUCUUGAUAAUGGAGGUAGGGGUUGGCCAUCUUUCCUCCUCUCAUGUCAACCUCAUUUCUCUUUUUCUAUAUAUGUAAAAUUAUCAUGAAUCUUCUGUCAUUUUUCAGGGAAGAUGUUAGCCCCACGCUUAAAAAUCUUCUUUAGCCUAGCAUUGGUUCUAGGCGCUUUAACGGUCCAUUUGACAAUUUCUUCCAUCUUCUUUUCUUUUGUUAACUGAUUUCUCACCUAUCGUUGUAAUUUGCUUGUUUUUUCUUUUCUUUCUGGUUUACAAACUAUAUAGAUAUGGCCUUUGUUACACCGCGUGCAAACAUGAAAAUAAGAUAUUCAAGUGAUAAUAAUUCAAAAUAAAUUAAGUUAAAUUUACUAAAACAUGACCUACAAUAUAUGACCAAAAUAAUUUAAAAAAAAAAGGUCUAAAUAAUGCACCACCGAGUAAUGCUAGCUUAGAGUAUAGUGACUUUGAGUUCAUGCUUUAUUGAAUUAAAAAAAAUAAUGAAUACAAAAACAACUUUAUUUACUAUUAGGGGUGAUUAUUUUCAGUUCGGUUCGGUUUUUAUCAAAAACAAUAACCAAACCGAAAUUUAAAAAAAAAACCGAAACCGGUUCAAACCGACCGGUUUCGGUUCGGCUCGGUUUUUUAGGACAAAAACCGGUUUUGGUCGGUUUUUCGGUUUGGCUCGUUUUUUUCGGUUUGGCUCGGUUUUUUUGGUUUGGAUUUGGUUCGGUUUUUUCAAUUUCAGACUUAUAAAACCGAAACCGAACCAGCUGGUUUUUUCAAAAUUUUAAUCGGUUUAAUCGGUUUUUUUUCACGGUUCGGUUUUUUCGGUUAUUUUUUUCCGGUUUUCUCGGUUUAAUUGAUUUUCCAGUUUUUUUGCUCACCCUUUACCAUGUUUCAUUGUGCCAUUAAAAAAUGGGUUGGAAUUUUUUAUUUUAUUUUCGGUUUCCAUUAAAAAAAAAAAUUACAAAAGCUUAACAUGUAACAUGUAAAAUGAAAUUCAUUACUCGGAUGGUUUUUUUAAAUAUAAAUAAUUCUACAAAUAAAAAUAAGAGUGAGAUGUUUUAACGAAAGAAAAAAAAGAUAAAAGGUACUUAUGAUGAAUGAUAUGUUAACUUCAAAAUAGUUUAAAAUAGCGUUAUAUAAAACACAGAGUAAAAAACCAAAGUUUUAAAUCCCGGCCCGGUUCAAGGCUUGGAUUCUAGGUUUUGACCAGGUCACCGGGUUUUGACCGGGUCGGCCGGGUCAAUUCCUAUUUUAAAAAAAAUUCAAAACGGCGUCGUUUUAGUAAAAAAAAAAAUCAACGGGUUGCAACCGGGUUUUGCUGGGUCAACCGGGUCAACCCGCAGGGUCAGCUGGGUCAUACCGGGUCAUGACUUAUGCAAUUUUUUUAUCAACCCGACCCGGUUCCAGCCCCGGGUCGGGUCGGGUUUCAAACCACUGUAAAAAACACUUCCUCUUUCAUUGCCUUUUUGAAGUCUCCAUAAAAGUUUGUGUAUACUCAAUGUUUCUACUGUAAAUAUAAUUAGCCUUUCUAAAUGUCUAUUAUUACUCAAUAAAAAAGAAAUAAAAAGUCAUCAUUAUAAAUAAACUAUUUAAUGAAAAUUAAAUACUACGUUUUCUUUAUUUGAAUGAUAAAUAGGAAAUCGAAACCUUAAUAAAUAUAUAUUUAUCAGAAAGAACAGUUACGAAUUUUAAAUGAAAUUAGUUUUAUUUUAAAAAAAAAUAUAAAAAUAUCUAAAUAAAAAAAAUAACAAUAAACAUCACAUCACGAAAAAAAGAUUUUCUUUCUUGAGAAAAAAAGAGUCAUUUUCAAGCCUCUCGUUGGGUAGGUGGGGUAUCAUGAUUGAUGCUGUUUGGGACCUUACGCCUCUGCACAAGUGGAUAGAAAGCCACUCUCUUUAGGCAUGUGACUAGCAAGGAGAGAAAAAAUAAUGAAAUUAAAUCAAAGAUUCCCUUAUUUAAUAGAUUUAGGUUAUUUUAUUUAAAAUCGGUUUAAGUUAAGGGUCAUUUAAACAAUAAUUUAAAGUGCUCACUAAACAAAAAUAACUUCAAAAAUAAAUAAGAUAUAUUUAUCAAUUAUAUUUUUAUAAAAUAAAAAUUGCCCCAACAUAACCUAAAAAAACUUCAAGUAAGAAAUAAAGAUUAUUCUAAGCUUCACUUGUUAAAUAUACAUUUUUGAAUACUUUUUUCUUUUUCUUUAAGUUUCAUAUAUUUUCUUUUCCUAAAUAUAAAAAUCGGCACAAACAUCCUCAAAAACUUGUUGAAUAUUUGUUUUUAUACAGGGACUUUUCUCACUCUUUUUUACACGGGGUAUGAUAUGAUUUUUUUAAGGAAAAAGAAAUUUACUGUGAAUUAAACUACAAGUUCAUUAGUAGUGGCAGAGACAUGGGGGCUAGCAGGAGGCCCAAUCCCUGCAAGGAAAUUGUUUUUGCAUCCCUUUCCUUAACAAUAUUUAUAUUUUUAGUUCAAAUAGUAAAACAAUUGAAAUCUUUACCUUGUUUAAUUUUAUUUUUUGGCUCCAUCAUGCUCAUUAGCUAUAAUAUAAUUAGUUAAUUCUAAGUCCACUACAAACAUGGCUAUAUACAUUUUGACUUAUCAUAACCAUAACUUUUCUUGAGAAAUGCAAUAGUUUUACUAUUAUAUAUAUAUAUAUAUAUAUAUAAAAUUCAACUAAAUAUAAAGAAGGACGGGCCAUUGGCUAACACCUGACUAGAGCACAUUAGACCUUGGUUUUUAUAAAAAGUCUAAUAAAAUCUUAAUUAUUUUAGUCUUUCAAAGUUUAACACACAUAUUGAUUAUUUUUUUACAUGAUUUUUCCUUAGUUUUACGUGGGUGUGUUAAAUUCUUACAUGAGAAAAUAUAUAUAUAAAAAAAACAUUUAAAUAUAAAGAACAAUCCAUGUUGAAAAGGAUAUUUAUGAUAAUAGAUAUGGAUACAGAUCACUAGCUUCUCCAGUAUAUAUAUAUAUAUAUAUAUACUUUUGAAGUGACAAGGAAAAGAGAAAAAGACGAGACAAAAACCAAUGGAUUGUCUUGCAAUUGCUUCUCCGGGUUGCCAACUUUAUUCUCUCAAUUUUCUCGGCGAAGAACCACAGCCUUACAUGCAUGUUUCCGAUCUUUUUAUCCACAAGCUGGAAAAGAAAGCAGGCUUGUCCUCUACAUUACCUCUCCAUUUCCUCUCCUGUACGCGUCAAGAUCAAGAUUUUUUGUGAUGGCGUCAAAAUCAUACCACUGGUCAAAUUUGGGAAUUAUAUUUAGGGUCCUUUUCUGUUUUUCAUAUGAUCGAUUGAUUUUUUUUUUUUUAAGGACGAUCUGCCAUGGUUUCUGAUGAAGUCGUACAUCUGGCCUUUUCUUGGUUGUAUCUUAGGCUCAACUAUAUGUGCUUUGAAUGUAGAUUUGAUAUGUUUUUUGAAAAACAAGUUCCUUAGGAUAACAAUGAAACCUCCGAUAUUUAAAUUAAUUAAUUAUAGAAGAAAAAUAAAGUGAACAGGAGGAAGAAGAAGAAGAAUGAAGAGUCAUUGGAGAGAUAGCCAUUAAUGAGAAAGCAAGCACCUUCUAAGAAGACAUGUUAAAGGAGAUAGUCAUUGCUAAGAACAAUAGCGUUGCACUAACAAUUUGUGCGCAAGCAUAGGAGAGUGUGGCGUUGUACUGAAUUUCUUGGACAUAGUAAUUAUGAUUUGUGAUAUGUUGUAACUUAAUUUUUGAACUCUAUUUUUUGUAUGUAUUUUAAAAAAUUAGAAAAAAAAAUCCAAAAAAUACAUCUUUUCAGUAGUUUUAGCUAAUUUUAAUCAUUUUGUUAUUUCUUUUAUUUUUAUUUAUUUUUUAUGUGUAAAAAAAAUCAUAAAAAUCAUAAAAAAAAUACAUAUAACAAUACCUUGUGCAAUCAUCAUUUAUUUUUCAUCUGUAUUUUAUAAUUGAUGAUGAUUACUUGAGAUAGGCUCAAUCAUUCUCUUAAUUGUAUGAUUUUUUUUUAUGGAAACACAUCCUUAAAGAAUUUAGCAUUCAUUGAUUCCAUAUUAGUGUUAAGAUGAAUAUCCUCAAUACUUGACUUGUGUACAAGAAAUCGAUAUGCACUACUAUUGUAUACAUAUGCGACAAAUACACAAUCCACAGUCUUAUAUCAUAUCUUAACCUUUUUAAGAUCAAGUAUUUUUACCUUUACAAGACACCCCCACACUUUGAGGUAUAUGUUAGAAGGUCUUUUACCUUUACAUAAUUUAUAUGGUGUUUUUUCUAACUUUGUACGAAGUACUUUGUUAAGUAUAUAAUUGUUAGUUAGAUUUGCCUCCUCUAUAAGUUCUAAGGUGCUCCCGAACUUAUCGAUAUGGAAUUCAUCAUUUUUUUUAAUGUUUGCUUUUUUACAUUCUGCAAUGCCAUUUUAUUAUGGUAAAUAAGAAAUAAUAGUUUGUUGGAUAAUACCAUUUUAGAAACAAAAUUUACCAAAUUAUGCUUUGUGUUCUCCACCCCUAUCACUUCUUAUUACCUUUGUCUUUUUGUUAACUUGAUUUUUAACUUCAUUCUUGUAAUGUUUAAAUAUUUCAAGAACUUCAUCAUUUCUCUUAAGCAAAUAGAUAUAACAAUACCUUGUGCAAUCAUCUAUAAAAAUAAUACAAUGCUUUCUUCCAUAUCUAGUUUUCACAAACUUUAAAUCACUAAUGUUUGUGUGAAUUAAGUCUAGAGGUUCACUACUGCUUUUUAAUUGUUUGAAAAUAAGGUUUUGUGAAUUUUGAUUCUACACAAAUUUCACACUUGCGAUUUUUCUCAAAAAUCAUACUUGGUAAUAAUUCAUGAUUUAUUAACAUUUGUAUAGAAUUAUAAUUUACAUGAUCUGACCUACUAUGACACACAUUAUAAAACUCGAGUAAAUAAAAAGAUAAGAGAAUCUUAUUAUUAUUUUUUAUCAUUGGCUAUAAUAUUGAUCAUUACAUUCAUUUUAAGGAGGUCAAGGUCAUUACAAAAGUAUAAUUUUUUUUUAUAAAUAUAUCAAUUUUAAAAAUAUAAAUUUAUCAAUUUUAAACAUAAUUUUAAAAUUAUUUUUUGCUCAAUAAUAAGCCCCACACUAAACUAAGAAUGGUGUGGGUUAGGUUCCAUUAUCAUGGAAGUUAUAUCCAAAUAUAAUCGCAUGGAUCUGACUGUGAUUUAUCGGAAGCACAGGAAGACAUGAAUUUGACAGUAAAAUUGAAAGCACUUAUAUUUUAUGAACACGCCAAAAAAUUGCCAUGUGAGCUUGCAGCUAUGUUGUAAUUAAUCCCCGGCCUUCCCUGUCGACAUAGAUAGGACCAAGCUCCCUUUGUUGAAUUAUACUCCCAUGCGCUAUGGUGAGCGUUGACCACAUAUAGACCAUGGAAUAACCUGUUUUGCAUUCCGAUAACUUUUGUUCUUUUUUUUUUUAAUACUUUUUAUAUUAUUUUCUUAAAAAAAAUAUUAGCUUGAUGUUUUUUAUGUUUAUUUUUAUAGUUUUGAUGUAAAAAAUAAAAGAAAUUUUGAGAAAAAAAUCAUUUUAAUAUAUUUUUAGUUGAAAAUCUCUUUUAAAAAACAAUAUGUAGCCCAAUACUAAACAGAUAUGAAAAAUAAUUAUAAAUGAUAAGGAGAGGCUAGAAAGUUACCCACGUCUGCCUUAUGGAAUUUUUUUUUUUUUUGUAAUGUUAUUAAAUUUAACCUAGCCCAAUGAAUUAACAUGGUGAUAUAUGGACCGAACCAAGUUUCAAAGCAAGUUGGGGGAGGGGGUGGUUAACUAGCAUUGCCCAGCUAACUUUGGGUGCACGCGCGCAUUAAUUGAUCUCAUAAAAAUACUUUUUUUAUAUAAAAAUAUCUAAAAAAUUAAUAUCAAUUGGAUUUUCUUUUUAUAAUUUAAAAACAAACUUAAACGAUGAAAUUUUAGAUUGAUUAGGGUGAAAAUAAAUUAACUUCGCGAAUCAUGACCUAGAUAAUGAUUCUGGCUAGAUUUAAUAACGUUUUGUAAUUCAUUUUUAAUCUAAUAAAAAAACACUAAAAAUACUAAAAAAAUCUAAAAAAAAAAAUCAAAAGUGGCUAGGUCUAGGCACUUGGAGCAACAGAAAAAAGGCAUGUUCUAGCCUUUUUCUUCAAGGAACGGAUAAAUUGUCAUUCAUUCUUUUUUUAAAAAAAUAAACAAACUAGAGGACAAGUCAUUUGUGAGCCCAGAUUUCGACCAUAAAAGAAGUAACUGGAAAAUUAAGCUGGAGUUUUUUGACCUAAAAUACCUUUCUUUGAUCUAUUUUCACUUAAAAAUAUCUAAUAAACACUUUUAUAAACUAAUUUCUCAACUCAAACCACCCCUAAAUAAGUUCAAAAACAAAAAAAAUCAAAUAAAAAAUACUUUACUGACCUCAAUAUGUUAUUUAUAGAAAUAUAAAAGCUAAAAAAUUACCUCAAUAACACUUUUCUCGUCAAACCGAACACAUUAACAUCAAAAUUUGGCUAUUUUAUUAAUAAACUGUUUAUAUGACUUUCUUUCUUCAUUCUCCAAAACUUAAAUGCUAAAAUGGAAAUAAAAUAAAAUCUUAAUGGAAAUAAAAUAAAAUCUUAAUCCAAGAUAUAAAAGUUUCAAACGACUAGCACCCAGUAGUUUCUAUUGAAUUAACGAAUCAAAACAGUGAUAUCAUUUGCAUGACUCGGAGCUGUCGAGUAAAUAUAUAUUGAGCAAUUGGGUCAGAACCUAAGUCUAACUACAUGAAUUUUUUCCUCAGUGUGAUGUUCAAAAAAUAUAAAAAAACAGAGAGAGAGAGAGAAAUCCUUCUUUGUGAGUUGUGAUCAACGGAUUGUUGUGCCAGAAAUCAUAAUUGGGCCAGACCUAUUAAUGGGCUCUCAGCUCUGAGUUCAGGCCCUCUGGCUUGGGAGGGGUUGUCCUCUAAACCCAUACCUGAGGGGUCAUCUUAUUGGUGCUUUCCGAGAGAGAUUUUAUCAGCGGAACAGCAAGCGGCAUUAAGGGAUCGCUCGUAAGGUUAUGGCAGAGAUGCUUGGAGUCUAAAUUUCGGAACCGAAAUUAAACUCUAAACCACCGGUGAACACAGUUGCAUUCAAACCAAAGAUUAUAAUCCAAAUCGAGUACAUUAUUUCUUACAAUUCUAAACAUCUUUUCUUUUUGUUUAGACCUGAAUUUGGCAGCCGGAUCGCAUUCCCAGAAAUCCACCGGAGAGUUUGUUUGUGAGGUGUGCCGUCUGCCUCAUGAAUAGUAUGUGAUACAAUGUCAUUUCAUGAGAUAAGCGAUUACAUUCUUUUCAUGAGGUGAGGUGUGGUGUACUUCUUAAACAAAUACAAUGAGACUUGUCAAAUAAUAAAUUUUAAUGGAUUUAGAAUUUGUUUGUUUUUAUAUUUAAGAGUGUUUUUAAAAAAAUUAAAAUUUUUUAUUUUUUUCUUUGCUUUAAUUUUUUUUUGUGUUUUCAAAUGAUUUUAAUGUAUUGAUGUCAAAGAUAAUUUUUUUAAAAUAAAAAAUAUAUUAUUUUGAUGUAUUUCCGAGUAAAAAACACUUCGAAAAAUAAUCACUGUCACUCUCCUGAAAACCCCCUAAGGGUUGAUUUAUUAUCGUGCUCCUACCACCUUUGAUAAUAUUUAGCAAUAUUCAAAUUGAGAUCCUUUUAUGUUUUAUAUUGGAUUGUUUUCGCACGCAUUUAAACAGUGUAUUUUUAAAAAUAUUUAGGGGAUGUUUGAGACAUUGAUAGAUGUUGCUUUUUAAAGUGAUUUUAACUUAUAAAUACAUCAAAAUAAUAUUUUUUUAAUUUUUAAAAAUUUAUUUUUGAUAUCAACACAAAAAAAUAAUCUAAAAAUAAAAAAAAAAUUAAUUUUAAAAAAAUUGUUUUAAAAAGCGUAGUUAGACCAUGCCCGGGAGUGUUUAACCCAUCUUCUACUUUUGCUUUUAAAUACUUUUUAAAAGUUUUUUUGAUGUAAAAAUAUUAAAUUUAUAUAUGUUUUUAGUGUUUUUUUAAUAAUUUUAAUGUAUUGAAAUUAAAAAUUAAAAAAAUAUUUUAAUUAUUCUUAAAUAAAAACUAUUUUAAAAAGCUUUCUCCACUGUAAUUUCGAACAUCCGCUCGCUGAUGAUAAUACCUUUGACCAAACCUCCCCUAAGGAAGAGGACGGGCUACGCAAAACAUCCUCGGUUGCCGUGUCAUCAUGAUACAUUAUUACUGGCAAUAUUUUCACAGGAAUCUUAUGGGAUCCCACAAAUAUAUUUUUUAUAUUAUUUUUUACUGAAUUCAAUUUAAACUUUGAUUUAAUAUUUAUUGUAUCCCACCAUUAUAUAUGAAUUUUAUGGUUUUUCCUUCCAUGACUUGAAAAAUACUUCAUUCAAAUUUUAUUUUUAUUUUUUUUAACUGAAUUACAUGUGCAGCUUUAAAUUACUUUUUCGUAAAGCAAUCACCAAUUUUUAUAUAUUAACAUAUAUCUUUAAUACUUUAGCCUUCAAUUAUUAUUUUUUUAUACCUUUCAUACUUCAUCUUUUAACACUUUAUUGUGAUUAAAAUAAUUUAAUUUAUGAUAGAAUAAAAUAAAAUUAUGAACACAAAAUUUCAAAACAGUUAACACUGACCACUCGAGAUUACCAUAGUUUUGUGUCGGGAAUUUCUACUAUUUGUAGCAUGAAAAGCUUGUUUGAUAUUGUGGUAGCGGUUGCUUUUCAAAGUGUUUUUCGUUUGAAAAUACAUCAAAAUAUUUUUUUUAUAUCGAUACAACAAAACAAUUUGAAAAAAAAAACUUAAAAUAAAAAAAUAUAUAAACAAUUUCUAUUUUUUUAAAAAAAUUCUUGAAACACAAAAUCAAUCUAUCUCAAAAGCAUUUGUGAAUGGGUUUUAUGGCCAUAUGGAUUCCACAUCUUACAAAAUUAUGGGCGGAACUAGAGGGGACACAACUCCCCCAAAGUUAAGAGAAAAAAACUCAUUAAAUUAAGUGAUGGUUCCAAAACAAAUCUAAAUUUUCUUAUGCAAAAUUAUACUUACAAAUAUAAAAACUUCCAAUUUAAUCUUUAAUAUAUAACUUUCAAAUAUAUUUUUAAUAUUUUUUUUAUUAUGAACAUGUUAUUAGACGAUUCAAUCUACGAGAGCAGUUAUUUUCAAGAAUUAAAUCAUAAAAAAACCUCUUUAACUUGAAAUUCCUAGUUGAUUUUAUAUUUACAUGAAUAUUAUCCCUUUCUAGUCGAUUCUUUACAAAUUUAUUUUUAACAUGUUUGAAUACAUUUCUUAAUUUUAAUAUAUUCAUUGACCCUCCCAAAAUUCAAAAUUUAUUGUCAGGCGAUAAGAGGUAUCACUAUCGAAUGACAGGGGGGAAUUAUCUAGUUAAACCACGUGUAAACAAGCCAUUGGCCUAUUAUUCAAUAACUCUCUGACAAGAAUUUGGGCACUAGGCAGCAGGUUAGUACGGACCUUCGAAAACGUCAGUAGAGUGGCUCCCGUCUUUCCUAACUUAUGAAUUCCAUGUCUCAUUUAAAUAAGAUUUUAUGUGCAUUACGUGAACAAUACGUCACAGACUCUGUAUAUCUCUUCCACGACAACCGUCGAUGCAUGCAUCAGCUGCCUUCUCUUCUGUUUCAUUAUUUUUUAAAAUAUUUUUUAUUUAAAAAUAUAUUAAAAUAAUAUUUUUAAAAAAUAAAUAUUAAAACAAUUCAAAAAUAUUUAAAAAAUAAUUUUAAUAAAUUUUUAAUGUUGAUAUAUCUAACACCAUCCAGCAAUUAUUUUACCUAAAAUAAUAGAAUUUACACAAAUCAAGUCAUUUUAUAUUUGCAUGGUUUCGAGUUUUUCUUUUAAUUAAAAUAAAUAAAUAAAUUGAAGUCUAAUGCAAAAUUUGAAAUUCGCAAUGUGAAUGGCCAGAAAGAGAUAUUUUUACAUCUUUCUAAUUUUAUAGCAUUUUAUUUGAUAUUUUAUUACAAGCAUAAAAAGAAAAAAGGAAAUAAUAUUCAUAUUUUAGCGUUAUGUAAUAAUUUCCAUAAAUAAUAUUUAAUUUUAAUUAAUCAACAUAUAGAAUGGUCCAAAAACAAUUCAGAAAAAAACAGUAGAAAGUAAAGGUACUAUAUCUGACGUGGAGUCCAUGAAGAAGUGGGUCCCAUAACCAGACUUUCCACUAGUACAUGUGGAAAAUCCUCGUAUCAUUCCAUGAAAAAUAGCAAAAGUCUACGGAGAAAGACAGAGGGUCCAACUCUUGUGUCAGUACUCUACUACUACCUCAACGAACUUUUUUCUUCGAUCUCAGCCAUUGAUGGAAUUGUUACAGGUAAUCCAUCGGUUGAGAGGUUUUCCAUUGAAACUCUUAAAAUGACACAAUAAUCAGUAUGGUAGCUGAGAAGAUAAUCCAACAAAAAUUACAAUUAAAUACUAAAAAAAUAAAAUUAAAAAAUAUUUUAAGACAUAAAUUAGAAGACACAUAACAAGAAGCAACUCUAGACUCGUGCUAAUCAUCCAUCUCUGUCUUACCCAUUUGCUAGGCGCGAAGCCUUGAAAACACCGAAACUGAACCACUUCUCUCUGUCUUCUCACCAAGCCGAGCCGAGCCGAGCCGCGUUUCAUUCUUUCUUGAUUCUUCCACAAGCCGAUCAUCAUCAUCAUCUUCAUCAAUGAAGCCGCCGCCGCCGCUACACAUCCCUUUGAAUUCCAAGUCUCUCUUCUCUUUCAAUACCUUCUUUACCUUUCCUUUUCUUGAAUUGGAAUUCCUCUUUGUUUCUUUAUUUUUCCUCUCACUUUCUCACUAACGAAACAGGAAAAAAAGAGUGUUCAUGGACCCUGACGUGAUCGAAGUCCCACCUCCUCCAGCUCCGAUUGUUUCUCGCUCUCACACUAAACAGCCAAAAAACAAACAGGUUCUUGUAAAAAAAGUUGUUGUCUUUGUUCAAUUUCGAGCCUUUCUUUUCUUUUUAUUCAUUUAUUCCGAUCAUGAAUUUAUCUUGAUUUUUUUACUGAUUAAUUCUUUUUUCCUGGGGAUUUAAUGUCUCUGUGAUUGUCAAAGUUGGUGGCUUUUUGUUGAUUGCUUGAAUAAUUGAGUUGGUUAUAAUGGGGAAAGGGCUGAGAUUUCGGAGAGGUUUACUGAUAGGUGGUACCCCUUUUGAGCCUUUACUAGUGAGAAUGGCUGUGUUUGAAUGAAAUUAUAAUGCUAACAGUAAGCUAUUUUCGGAGAGAAGGAAUGAUCAACAUAUUUUAGAAACUUGCAUUUGUAGGAAAAGUGGGCUGCUUUGCUUUCUAUUGUUUGGAUUUUUUUUUUUCUCAAAAUGUUUUGUGUUGCAUUUGGCCUAUUCUAAGGGUGUCAGGACUUGGGAUCAUUAAGUAGCCCUCUCAAGCACACUACUUUUGUGGUAAUGUAAUGGUUUUGGAGUUAAAAUGGUUAGUUGUAGGAUGGGUUUGAUAGAUGAAACUAGGUUGGGGAUUAUGUUAGAAUUAAUGAGCGCGAUUUGGAAAGUUUUUAAAGCUAAUUAGGAUUAAAAAUGCUCAGAUACAAGUUUGACUUAUUACUAACAUCUGAACAAUUUUACAUUCUACAUUGAAAGAUGGAUUCGGAGUGGGCUUUAGCUAUUCCAACACUCCGUAAACCAACCUAGUUGGUUGGGUAAUCCGAUCUCACUUUUGACGGAAUAGGGAGCUGUUCUGCGGCGUCGGAGGGAUGAGUGCUACUUUUGGACUUUGCACCUUGGCCUAUGAAGAGGUUGGGAGCGCGCUGCACACUUGCUAUAUCCAGCCAUGGGCAUGGUCAAACCAACUUUACUUGGACUUGGAACCGAUAAAAAGCUAUCCACCAAUUCAUUCUAUUCCUUGUUUUAAUUUAGUAUGAACCUGGUUUGCCACAAGCAAAGCCUUGUGGAGGGCAUCUUCCCCCUUCAUGAAGUGAAGGAGGGAGAGCGCUAAGGGAGGAAAUGUUAGCCAUUUGGUACUAGUGUUCCAAAGCCCUGGCUAUAGCUGCAGAAUUGGGAAUGAAGACAUGUCUUCAGCAGUUCUUGUCUUUGCACUUGUGCAUAGGCCCUCGGACAGCUGCCCAAAAUCAAGGAAAUACUAAAAACUCUCAGUCCUGGAUCUUGUAAGCCCCAGAUUUCAAACUAAGAAAGACUACUUUCUUACUCACUACUAGAGAGAGAAGGGAAAAGAGAGACCAACUAGUUGAACUUGAUAAAUUGACCUGUAAUAUCUUAAGGUUGGGACUAUAUCGGAGUUUGGUGCUCUUUUAUGGUGUUUGGUCAUGGUUCUCUUUCAUCCAAUCUCAUUUCCUUUUCCAUCCUAUAGAUUAAUUUAUUGUUGCAAACAACCUCAGACUUUGCAGCUGCUAUUAACAAUUGGUCUAGUUUCAAUGGGAGACUGUUUCAAACAAAUUUCUAUGAUUCAAGGGUGUUUUGAAAGGCUUAGAUAAGUACGAGCUUCUAGUUUAUGUUGUUUCUGGUGCAAUCACAGCAAUUUUGUUCUUUAUUCUCUUCAACUUGUGUGAUCUUGUAUGGUGCAGAGUUAUGAAUUGUCUUUGGCUCCAACACCAAUUGCUGUGUAUGGGAACACAAUGAGGCAUGGAGCCAUGGAUAUAUUUUGGUACUCCAUUGAGACUUAAGGUUGCAGAGGGAAACAAAUAUAAUACCUCUUUCCUUGUUAAACACUUUAAUUAUCAAAAUUCUAAGUUCAUGAUAGACUUGAAAAGCCAACCUUUUCUAUAUAUAUGGCUUUGAGACGGUAACUACUUGUAAGAGGCUAAAUCCUAGUAACUCAAGAACACAUGUAAUCUUCAUUUUACCUGAUUUGUGCUGUACAAACAAUCAUGAACAAAUUAAAUAAAUGCAAAGACUAGAUACUCUUAAUCCUUACAACAAUGCUGGAAAUUUUACUGGAAUGCUGCUGCUACAGUACCAUAUCCAGCCAGUUUUAGCCCUGCAUCAUUGGAUUUAUCUACUCCAUGGCAGGAAUAGAAUGACUACUCCCUUAAAUGCUUCGAGAUAAAUGGUUUAAGUAGCAGGAAUAUAACACCUACCUAUUUGGUAUUCAGCUUAUUUUGCUGUCAGGUUCUUGUUGUAAUUAUAGUGUUGUAUUUAUUUUUUUUCCAGUUUCUUAAGUUUUGUGCAAGAAAUAUAUCAAAAAUUCACUUUGUAUUGUUAACGUUGCUUUCUUAAUAACUGUUUACUAAAUGAUGUUGAUCUCUUUCCAUGGUUCCUCUUUUUUUUUUUUUUUUUUUUUUUUUUAUCCUUGAACAGAUAUUCUAAAACUAUUUAGGAUAUCUAUAUCUGCAAAGGGAAACAAGUGAAAUAAUGCAAAGAAAAUGAGAGGAAAAGAAAAGAAAAGAAUCAAACUUCUUCAUUAAAAAUUUCUCUUGCUGCGUAGCAUGAGUGGAAAAGAAAGUGAAAUCAAUAAAUUAUAUCUUUUUCCAUUUCAUUCUCAUCAAUAUAUAAUUUUUUUUUUUCUAAUCUCUUCAGGAUAACAUUAGGAAAGUUUCCUUUUCUCAUCUUGACUCUCAAAGAAAAGGCAUUAACCUUUAAUUUCUUUCACUUUCCUUUCACUCCCAUCAGUUCAUGCACUGUAUUUGUAAAAAAAAUAUUUUUUGUAGGUUAUUCUUCAUGAAAUAAUUGAUGUUGACAAGGAUGAAGAUGCCAUUGAUGUGAUGAUUCUUGACAAGAAAAAUGACUUGAAGAACAAAGGAAAAUCCAUAAAAGAUAACUCUGAUGGCUACAGUCAAGCUAAGGUACAUAUUAGUUUAUACACUGUACCCCUGUCAGAGCUAAUAUAUUGUGUUUCUUUUCUUUUCUUAUUGAUAUUUUUAAUUUUUUCUCUAGGACGGUAUUUCCAGUUGUCUUCUCAGUCCUUCCUCUGGAGAAAAUAAUAUAAUUAACAUGGAUGGUCUUGAUUAUGAUGAUGGCACACAUAUGGAUCUUUAUCCUGAUGACUUCAUGGAUUUUGAUGAGUAUUCAUUUUUACAAUCCCAUUUUGACAAGGUGGAUAUUCCUCCUGGAGUUGAGGCCCCCAUUCCUUGGUUGCCAAAUUCUGAUAAUAAUGCUAAGAAAUCUGAUAAUGGAACUAAUUCUUUCAAUACAAACAAUCAAAUGCAAUCUAAUGGUGGUGGUUCAUGGUCAUUGAAGCCGGGCCAUGUAAGCAAGAAGCUGAGUUCAGUGAGUGGUUUAAGUUUUCAUAACCCAAUGGAUUCCAUGAGCCAUGAUUCUGGAGUGAACCUGUCCCCUCCUUGGCCACUUCCCCAAACUGCCCAAGGUAAGGAAGAACAAAAUGUUUCACAACAUGGGGGGAGUGCCUUGAAUUUUGCACCUUUCCAGAGUAAAAUAGAGCUGGUUUCUUCAAGUAGUUUGACUGAUUAUGGUUAUGCAAAGCACUUAGACGGUGUUAUGCUCCCUCAUGGAGUUGGCCCAGCACAUUUGGGACAUACCAAUCCUGCUCCUCCAUUUGUUGGUGGAUUGGAUCAUUUUCCUAUUAUUAGCCCUUCCAUCUCUUCUUUGGUGUCAAAAUUAAAUUACUCAUUUCCUAACCAUACAAGUCAUCCAAAUGUCUAUGAUCCAUUUGAUGCUUUACAUAUCCCUCCUGAAGACAGUGCAGCUGGAACUCCAAAAAAUGUAGAUAAAGAUGAUAUCCUCAGAAAGUUUCAACAAUUUAAACAAUUUGAUACAGUCGAAGAUCAUUCAGAUCAUCACUAUACUAAUAGUUCUUCGAUGAAGCAGGUGAGUAUUUUAGAAGAUGCAACCAUGCUAACUUUUCUUUUAUUUUUCUAUCAAUGAUUUGAUUGCAUAAUGCUAUAGCAUCCUCUUUCUGGCAGUCACCAAAGACCUGGGCAAAGAGAAUUCAGGACGAGUGGAGAAUCCUGGAAAAUGAUUUGCCAGGUAAGCUUUAACCUUUCUGAUUCAGAUCAUUAAUUACUAUUGCAAGUUUGAGUGGAUGUUGGGUCCCAUUUUUUUCUUCUCCCAAGGACCUCCUACCCACCGCUCCCUUCAUGUUGUUCAUAAUGUUUACCUGUUCAGAAUCACAAGGGGGAAACUGGUGAAGGUGUACCGAUGUUUAUGUGUAUGCUAACAAUAAAUGUCAGAAGGACUUUUUAUUUAUUUAUCUCAUCCUCUAUUUCAUUAAUGCUCUUAAGCAUGUUGCCUUUUUUUCCCUUUACUAUCGAGAGAAACUUUAUGAUUUUAAUAGGUUAUAAAUUUUCAAUAUUUGCAUAAUUCAUUCUCACGUUUUGUUUGUCCUACUAUUAUUAUGUCAACAGAUUCUAUAUUUGUUAGGGUUUAUGAAACAAGGAUGGACCUAUUGCGGGCUGUAAUUAUUGGAGCAGAGGGUACUCCCUACCACGAUGGUCUCUUUUUCUUUGAUGUUUUUUUCCCUGCUGGCUACCCCAAAGUACCACCGGUAUGUGAUAGAGGUUGUGUGUGUAUUAUUUUUUCAUCUUCUGUUGAACUGUUUUCCAUCUCAUAAUUUUGGAUUUGUCUGUGCUAGCUUGUCUACUACCAUUCUGGUGGUCUUCGACUCAACCCAAACUUGUACAGUUGUGGUAAAGUAUGCCUCAGCCUUCUUGGGACCUGGCAGGGUAACAAGAAUGAGAUGUGGCAGCCUGGAGUCUCGACUGUGCUACAAGUUCUGGUAUCUAUACAGGCAUUGAUAUUGAAUCAGAAGCCCUUCUUUAAUGAGCCUGGAUAUGAACGAUUGAAUGGUUCGGCAAAUGGUGAAAAGCGAUCUCAGGAGUACAGUGAGAGUACCUUUUGCUUUUCGCUGAAAACAAUGGCUUACACGAUGAGGAGGCCGCCUAAGGUAAGUUUCUUUCACUGCUUAUUUGCUUCAUGAAUUAUUGCUGGUUUAAAUAUUGAUCUGAAUUCAUAGCAAUCCCAGGAGAAGCUUAAAUUAUUGAAAAUAUGGGUAACUUUCCUAUGUUCCAGCACUAAAAUGCCAAUUGGAGAAGUUUUUAGUACAUUUAAAAUAUGUUAAAAGUGAGAACCAGUGGAAGUUUAGGCAGAUAAGGGUACUUGCCAUGAAUAACCGGAACAGUCUGAAUGGUAAUUGUUUCUUGUGCAUAGACCCAGUGAGCACAGACCAGGCUUGGAUUAAUACUAGCAAACUGUGCAUGAGAUUUCCAAGUUGGUGAAAAGGCUUGCUUAUCUUUAGAUUUUAAAACUAAUCAAUUCAAAUCAUGGUUGGCCGCAGCAUUUCGAGGACUUUGUACUGGGUCAUUUCCACAAGCGUGCUAAUGAUAUUCUGGUGGCAUGUAAAGCCUACAUGGAUGGUGCUCAGGUAGGGUGUCUGGUCAACGGUGGGGUUCAGGAUGUUGACGAGGGUGAUAAGAGCUGCUCCAAGAGUUUUAAGGACUGCUUACCUGCCUAUAUUGAUAUACUAAUGAAGCAGUUUUCACAAAUUGGAGUCCAGGACACUGAAAAAUUCCGAACAUCAGGAAACGGGGGUGAUAACUUAUCAGGCAAUGGACCCAUGGCCGCAAUAUAAAUGAGUUAUCGACGAGUAAUCAAUUUUGAGAAGUGACGGAAAGGAUCUUUACAUACCUGACAUGCAAUGCAGGUCUCCUAAUUCAUAUUGAGAAGUACAAAAUUUUAUUAUGGACAAUUAGAUGUUUAUUUCUAUAUGAUUUUUAUUUUCCCAAAUUGUACCUGUACAUGGAUGUAGAUAAGGAUGAGAUCAUAAAGUUUUAUGUACUUGUUCAGUUGCAAUGUAAAAAUGGUGUCGGCAACCUGCAAUCAUGUUGAAAUGCUAGGUACUGGCUGCAACUGUGUUCGAAGUUUUGUUCAUAGAUACAUAACCGAAGCGACAGCUUUCAGUAUUUAUUUUGAAAUUGGUUGUUGUUGAAUUUAGACAUUGUUUUUAGUGAUUAAUGAUUUACUUGGAGUUUCUGGAUGAGUUCUUUUGGGAACUUCUGAAAGUGGAAACAUGUUAGAGAACUUGAUCAACGAUUCAUUCGAAGAUUACACUGCUUGCUUGCUGGCUGUUCAUAUCUCCUGGUAAUCUCGGAAGGUGAUGCUGAUUUUGGGAGAGCUCAUCACAAGAAAUCUAGUUCGGUUCUAAUAAGCCCGUUCCUGCCUUGGGAUCUCUUUUUCUCUUGGACACUCCUCACGGGUUUCACUUUGAAGAUGCCUAUUUAGCACAUAACCAAUAUAAAACUUCUUGUUGUUGUCGGAUUUUAUUGUUCUUUACUUGCCAUAAAAUAACUAACUUCAAAAGUAUUCCAAUAACUCUUUAUUUAAGUGUAUUCAUAAACAAGGUUUAACGAAUUUAAGAGAAUAUAGAUUUAAAUAUCUCUUUAUAAGAAAUAAUCUUUAACUCUAGAAUAAAAAGAAAAUAAAGAGGAAAAAUAGAGCUUGAAAUAGAGGAGUAAAACUGGAAAUAUAGGUGAAAAAGAGUGUAAAAAACUAUAUAGAAUUUGUGCAGAAAAACCAACCCUUAAAACACUCUUUCUUCACCUUGCCUUUUUGACAUGAAGAACUUUUUUUUUAUUAUUUUUAGUAUAAUUAUUUUUACUAUAUUAUUUCCUUAAUAGUUAAGAUUUUUCAGGUCUUAAAGGAGUUCUAGAAGAGUCCAUCACAUAAUCAAGUAAAAUAAGUAUAACUUUUAAUCAUUUGACCAUUAGAUCAAGUUAAAAUUUUGAUAGAAAAUUUUAAAGGCUAUUUUUUAUAUAGGGUUAAGAUUCCAUUGUCAUAUGAGGUCAAUAAAGCUUUUAAAUAAUAUCUGGAAGUUACCAUAAGACUUUUUUUCCCCUUGUAUUUAGAUUGUUUUUUUCUAUUUAGAUUAAGGCUUUAAAUUUAAUUAUAAUUUUACUAAUUAUGAUAUUUUUCUUGUAUUUAAAAACUAUCCUAGGAUAUUUUUUUAUUUGAAGAUUAUUGAAUUAAAUAAUUUUCUGAAUUAAUCAGAGUUUUAUUUACAGUUAAAAGCUGUAACAUGAGGGCUUGAGAACCCUAGUUUCUUUCUCUAUAGUCUAGGGCUAUAAAAAUUUAGAGGGGGGGUGUCAAAGAAUCAUAGUUUUUAUCCAUAUUAUACAUUGCUUCAAUUAGUAUUACAAUAAGUUGGUCUAUUUGAUAGACGAAGCUGAUAACAACCUAUUUCACAAUGUAGAAAUGGAGGUCAUCUAGGAUACUAUGAGGGCUUGAAAGGCAACACGAAAAACCCUAUAAAAAAAACUUGGUUGACGGGAGCAUUCUGUAACAAACUUAACUAAGCAGAUAAAUCAAUUAAGAUGGGUAAGCGCAAAUAAGAAUAAUAAAAAGGAGAGUAAUGCAUCUAGAGUCUUACUUCGGGGCAAGCCUAACCCUAAAUCUAUUUUUGAAAAUUCACCUAGACAACUAGGGCUUUGUUAGAUCAAGGGCAAGCCUAACCCUAGGUCUAUGUAAAGGGUGAAGAUGAAUUUUAUAAGGGUCAUAGGGCUUUGUCAGAUCAAGGUAGAUCAACCUAAGAGACAAAAAUCAAUCCAUAUGAUCGAAGGUCUAUAUGAGUUAUAACCUUUAAUUUAAUUAGGAUUUUACUAAUUAAAAUGUCUUUCUUAUAUUUAGACAUUUUUGUAAUUUAUUUUUAUUUAUUUAUUUAAAAAUUUUUUCUGAAUAUAUCAUAAUACAGUUAAGGGCUCUAACAUUAGGACUUUAGAAUUCUAAUUUGUUUCUAUGUGAUUAAGGGCUUUAAACCUUUAAGAAUUGAGGAACCCUAGUUUCUAUCCAUGCUAUACAUUGUGUCACUUUUAUAGAGAAUAUUAGGAAGCAAAAUCGACAGAAAACCCUCUAUUAUUAGCUUUGGUUACCCUCUAAAAAACUAGAAUUAAACUAGAAUGAUUUAGCUUUAAGUCGGUUGUCUUUUAAGGUGACAAAGCCUUUCAAGUUCUGAGAAUUUUUUUUUGGAAAAAAAAACUAAUCAUAUUCUAUCAUUCAUAGGUUGGAUUAGGCAAAACAAUAGGCCGACAAAAAUUAAUUCUUUAUUGGCCAAAAAAUUAUAAACCCAAGCUCAAGUUUAAAAUAGGUUGCCAAAAAAUAGCCUUUUAUAGCCCAAGAAAAUAUUUUACAUUAAACCCGAGCUCGAGCUGAAACACAUGUGAGUUUAAGCUAAAAACUCAAUUUGCUUAGAUCUACCCUCUAAAAGCUUAAGUGCUUUUUGGGUCCAAUUUUAAUUUUUCAAAUCUCUACAAAAUAAACUACUAGGAAAGCUUGUUUAUCUUCUAUGGAGGAUAAAACUUUUAAAGAGUUAUGAGUUUCUAAAAAAAUGUCUACCAAGGGUAGAGUUUUUUUAGACUAAUUUUUUAUUCACCAUAAUUUAUUUAAGUCAUGUUAAUGUUUUAUGUUAAAGAACUUAUAUUGAAGAUUAAAUUCUAACAAAUUUCUAGCCUAAAAGUGAGUUGAACCCUUAAUCUUGUCUCAAAUGUGUUUAUUGACAAUGAUUUUAAAUGAAAUUCCAAUAAAUUUAGUAAUAACAAAACCAUGAAUAAUUCAAAUUUACUGAAAUUCUAAGAAUAAUGAUGCAGGAGUUAGGAUUUAGAUUGAAACCCAAAUAGCAAUAGCAACAUCCCAAUGAGUUGUUGAAUAAAGUGGCCAAAUAACCCUCAUAAAGGACUAGCCAAAUAAAUGUAAUGGUAAAAAUUAAUUUGAGAACCUUGCAAUAAUAUCUCCAUAUUAUUUGUCUUGGUCAAGUUGACUUUGUGGAGUUUGACGACUAUUUUAUGGUUGCACUUAACUAGAAUUUUAUAAGUAAAUAUGAACUUUAUAGGAGAUAAAAACAUUAACAUUAAAAAUAAUAAUAUUUAUCUAGAUAUUUUGCAUACUAGGAUAACAAACUCCUCCAUAAAUAUAAAUAAAAGCUACCAGAUAAAGAAAAAAAAAACCACACAAAAAUCAUUUUUCUAGAUAAAACCUAAAGUCACUCACCUAUUAAUCUGGAACAAAUUCUUUUUUUUUGUUUAGAUUAAUUUUUUUUUCUUGCAUAAAUUAUAAAAACUAUCAUUGGUAUCAAAGCCUAAGGUUUUUAUUGUGGUUCUUGUAAUUUUUUACUUGCUUCAUAAAAUACUACUUGGUACAUCUUUUUUCUUCCCUCUCAGACCAUCAUUGUGGUUAUAAUUUCACUUUUUUUUCCAAGGCAGAUAAGCAUCAAUGUUAGUCAAUAUGAAGUAAGGUAUACAUAAUUAUAUCAAGGUCCUCCAUUAUUGGUUAGUUGUCUAAUAAUUUUUUUUUAAUUGUUAUAAUUUUGGUUAGGAAGGUUGUUAGUCAGGAAUUAAAAAAAAUUGAGAAAUUGAAUGGUACCAAUUUUCCUAUGUAAAAGCGUUGAAUUUGUCAUAAUCUUUUUCAAGACAAAGUUUAUUGCAUAAUUGAUAUUGGUGUUCCACUUCUAUCACUUGAAAAUGCUAGCUCUUCUAUUAUAAGAGUACUAGAAAAAUCAUGCUUAUUUUUAUGGAACUUGACAUAGAAAUUUUGUUUGAGGAGCAUGAUUUUGCUAAAAAUAUAUUUGUUACCAUCAUUAAUGCUAUUAUUAAAUAUGGUUUUAUAGCUAAUGACUUUGAUCAUUGUGCUUAUUAUUGGAAUAGUAUGGAUACUUUUAUAUUUACAUGUUGAUGAUAAUUUGAUUGUUGGUAAUGAUGUUACAUUGAAAUGUUUUUUAAAAUCUCAUUUUGAGAUGAAAGAUUUAUGUGAAGCAUUAUAUGUAUGGUGCAUCCAAGUUAUUAGAGAUAGAAAAUGUAGAACUCUUUAUAUAUCUUAAUAUAUAGAUAAAUAAAAGAUAAAAAAAGAUUCCAUCUGGAUAAUUCUAAUGCAAUGGAUACUCUCAUUUAUAAACAAAUAAAAUUAUAUAAGAAAAUAUGUCAUGUUAAUGAAGAUGUUGGAGAAAAAUGUUAAAUACUCCAUAUGCUUAAGUUGUAGUAGUAUAAUGUAUGUUAUGCUUUGUUCAGGAUCUGAUAUUAGUUUUGUUGUAAGUCUUGUAAGUAGGUUUCAAAGUAAUCCUAGAGAAGUUUAUUGGUUGGUUGUUAAAAGAAUACUUAGAUAUAUUAAAGGCACAAAAGAUUAUAAUUUGACAUAUGAUAAUAAAGGUAAAAACUCGAAAGUUAUUAGAUACUCUGAUGUUGAUUUCUCAGGUGUAGCAAAAAAAAAAAAAAAAACAAACAAACAAAGUUGUGUAGUUAAAGUACCAUGAAAACUGAAUACAUCGCAUGUAUCAACUUAACUUUUGAAAUUAUAUAAAUAAAAAGAUUUCUUGCAGAUCUAAAAGAAAUUAAUGAUAAUCCAAUCAAAAUUAUGUGUGAUAAUCAAGUUGCUAUAUCUAUCAUAAAAAAUGGUGAGAUUAGUACUAGAGGUAAACAUAUUUAUCGUCAAUAUUAUCACACAAUUGAUGUCUAACAUGUUUAUAUUUAAGCAAUUGAUUUAAUUUAAUUCAAAAUGAAAAUUUAUUUUUUAAAAAACUAAAUUUAACAAAAAAUGAUAAAUAAAAAACCUAAGUUAACUCGAGUCGUUUUCAAAAUUAGUGAAAAACCCUAUAGAAAGCAAAUAAAAAAAUAAUAAAGUUUAAUAUCUAAUUAAAUCAAAUAUUGAAUGAUGAAACUGAAAAAACAAAAGCUUAAAAAAAGAGAAAAAAAAAAAGAAAAUGGGUGAAUCUUUUAAAACUGGGUCAAUCUCUCAAAUUCACAAUUCAUUAAAUUGUAGACCAAGACUCAAUCAAGAAGCUCAAUUCAAUGUUAAAAGAUAAAAUAAAAAAAUAUCAAUCUAAAAAAACUGCCAAAGUAAAAAAAAAAAAAACUUAAGGAGAAUGAAAUCAUAAAAAAAACUAUAAAUGAUAAUAGAAAUUAAAAAAAAUAGAGAAAGAAUUUAACAAAUUAAAAAAUUAAAGGAGGAUGAAAUUGAAAACAAAAUUUAAUUUUAUAAAAUUCAAAUAAAAGAAUAUCAAUUGAAAGAACAUAGAUUAAAUCCAAAGAAUGAAUAAAUUGAAGGGUUGCUUUGAAAUAUUUAGAAAGUCAAGCAUAAAAAUCAAGGAGGAGAGAGGAAAAAAAAAGAAAAAAAAAACAAAUCAGUGUUAAACUAGAGGGAAUUAAGCCACAUGCACCACUUAUAGAGGUAAGCCCUAUCUUGACGAAUCAAAAAACACCAAAGAAAGCUUUUUUGGCAACCAUAAGCCACUGUAUGUACCACUUAAACACAACGAGGCAGCUUAAUUGCUAGCGUGUAUAUGAACCAUUAUAUAUAUAUAUAUAUAUAUAUCAAAUCGCUCUUAGAACUACAUGAUAAUCAUAAGAAAUGAAAGUACGAAUAAUCCUAUGGAAGCAAGGUAAGGAGUUUUUUUAAUUUAAAAUGCAAUACAUUCAUUUUAUUGUGUUGUGAAAAGUAAAAUAUUGAAAAAAUCCCUUCACCUUAGGUAAAUAAUUUUUUUCUUUUAAGAGCAAUUAAAUAAUUAUACUAUUAAAAAAAUACAAAGACCUAGCUGAAUAAAUUGAAGGGUUGCUUUGAAAUAUUUAGAAAGUCAAGAAUAAAAAUCAAGGACGAGAGAGGGAAAAAAAUGAAAAAAAACACAAAUCAAUGUUAAACUAGAGGGAAUUAAGCCACAUGCACCACCUAUAGAGGUAAGCCCUGCCAUGACGAAUCAAAAAACACCAAAGAAAGCUUUUUUGGCAAUCAUAAGUCACUCUAUGUACCACUUAAACACAACGAGGCAGCUUAAUUGCUAGUGUGUUCAAUGCAUAUAUGAACCAUUAUAUAUAUCAAAUUGCUCUUAGAACUACAUGAUAAUCACAAGAAAACCAAAAUGAAAGUACGAAUAAUCCAUGGAAGCAAGGUAAGGAGUUUUUUUUUUAAUUUAAAAUGCAAUCAUUUUAUUGUGUUGUGAAAAUUAAAAUAUUGAAAAAAUCCCUUCACCUUAGGUAAAUAAUUUUUUUUCUUUUAAGAGCAAUUAAAUAAUUAUACUAUUAAAAAAAUGCAAAGACCUAGCUGCCCCCGAUCCAUUAGAUAAUCACCAAUAGAGCUUGUGAAAAUACUCAAUUACUCCUAAUAGAUAGUUAAGUUUUUUAGAAGGGCAAAAUAAUAAUUUUAUUAUUCCAAUCCACAAUGAAUCAAGGCAUUUAUAUUAUAUUUUUCUCAUAAAAAUUUAUCGAUCCAUUAGAUAAUCACCAAUAGAGCUUGUGAAAAUACUCAAUUACCCCUAAUAGAUAGUUAAGUUUUUUAGAAGGGCAAAAUAAUAAUUUUAUUAUUUCAAUCCACAAUGAAUCAAUGCAUUUCUAUUAUAUUUUUUUCAUAAACAUUUAUGAGAAAAAUAUAAUAGAAAUGCCUUGAUUAAUUGUGAUUGGAAUAAUAAAAUUAUUUUAUGAGAAAAAUAUAAUAGAAAUGCUUUUAUUCAUUGUGGAUUGGAAUAAUAAAAUUACUAUUUUACCUUUUCAAAAAACUUAACUAUCUAUAUAUUCAUGAGAGGAGGAUUGCACGCUUGCAAUCAAGCAAUCUUUUAUUCAUCUACUAUUUUCUCACGUUCGUUACAAUCAGUUUACAUGUUUUUCGAGACAAAGUGACAAUAUUAUAGGUUGCUUUAUACAUUUAUAAAAAUUACAAUUUUUUUAGAUAUUAUUAUCAAGAUUUGAAAUUCUUUCUUAGAAAAAUCUUUUUAAACGUCAAGCGAACCCUUCAAGGUUGAUAAGUUUUAAUUUAAUAAUAACAAUUAUCAAAUUAUUUGUUUGGGGUGCCCUUCAUGGAGUCUUGAAACAAUAAAACAUAGGGAUAUUUGUUUAGCGUAAAAUAAUUUAUUAAUAAAAAAUAUAAGAAAUUAAUAUAUUUUUUUACCAUAUAAUUUUGUAAAAUACUUUACACGAAAAAUAUUUGAAAAUAUAAUUAUAAUACAACAAUAAAGACUAGUGAUAUUAAUUAUUGUAGUAACGUGAAGUUGGAGGUGGAGGUUGUUAUAGAGGUUGUAAUGAUAGUGAUGCUAGAGUAGUAUCAAUGAUGAAAAUGAUGAUGAUAAUUAUUGUAAAGUGAUGUAGAUGACGGUAGUAAUAUUUAGAGUAACAUAAACGAUAAAGAUGGUGAUAAUAAUUGUUGUAAAAUGAUAGAGAUGACGGUGGUAAUUUUGAAAUAGUGAUUGUGGUGAAGAUAGUAACAAUAAUAAGGUAAUUGUUAUGAGGUGUAUGGUGAUAAUGAUGAUAAUGAUAAUAUGGUGAUGAUGGCAAUGAUAUAGAUAUUUCGGUAGUUGAAAUAGUUGAAUAAUAAUAUAAGUGAAUUAGAUUGUAAAAUACUUAUAAAAGAUAAAUAAAAAAACAGAAUAUAUAUAUAUUGCUUGAGUUUUUUCAUUAUUUAUUAAGGAGCAUUAUAGGGAAGGAGAUUAAAAUUUAAAAUCUUCCUAGCAAAGCAACUUGGCCUCGACAAAUCAUCACGAACACGGUCUCUAGAAACUUCCUUCAACCUUCCCUACUGCCACGUGUUCAUGCCCUCCACCGUCGUAAAACCCUAAACCCUCCCUAUAUAAAGCCCCUGGACAAGAUCACUACCCGCCUCCAAAACAGAGCAAGCAAAACACUUCUCUAGUCUCUCCUCUCAAAUGGCAACCCCAGCAACAAGGAUGAUGCUGUUCAAGAACGGCAAGUCGUUCCCUCUCAAUCUCCUACCCGGCUCUCUUUUAGGUGGGUCCAAUAACAUCACCAGCCAGUUCAUGAUUUCUGACCCUGCACUAUUCCAACCACAGCAAAAGCCCAUCUUCAAUUUACUUGGGGGUCUGUCUAAUGCUGGUCUUGUGAGUGACAUUAACGGGGCUUUGAAUUGGAGAUUUGGUCGGUUCGGAGAGAUGGGUCGUGUGGAGGCACGUGUGAAGAGCGAGAGAGUGAUCAGUGAUGAGGAUGAAGAAGAUGAUGAGGACGUUGAUGAUGAUGAUGAGGAGAUUGAGGAUUUCGAUGAAGAUGUGGAGUAUGAGGAUGGAGGUGAUUUUGAUGAUGAUGAUGACGACGACGAAGACGAUAGGAAAUGAAAGUAGAGUUUUUUAUUUGUUUAAACAAUGUUUGCCAUUUCUCUUCUGAGGUUUUUGUAAGGGGAUAUUAUCAGUCUAUUCGAUGAACUCUCUUUUCUUGAUUACAGCUUCUUUGCACUUUUACUUUCCACAAGUAUUAUACGUGUUUACCUUACUGAUCUUUCUUUCUUUUUCCUUUUCUUUUCAAUUUAUGAUUUUCUUUCGAGUAAUACACUCGUCUAUUCAAGACUUCGAAGUCCUGCUGCCUCCUGCAGGGCUUUUCAGGUAGGGAAAUGGCACUGCUCGUUCGGUGGCCAGUCAUCUUUUAGCCAUUAUGCAUCAACUUUCUUGCCAUUGGUAGGCGAAACUAUGCAAUCAGCUAGCCCUGGGCAUGGAGAUGCUGCUCUACAGCGCGUCAGUGGGAUACAAGCCAUCAGUGUUGGCUUUUUAGGUGAAUCGAUUGAACGUGCUUAAAACUAAACCGCCAUGUAUGCCUUAUUUGCAGAUGAAAACACUUGAAUCUAACUCAGCAAAGUGCAGGGACUGCAAACAACAGAACGUUUACUUGUUCAUUCUUGAUAACUCUGUACAUCUAAAGUUGAGCCUUCGUGUAGACCCGUGUUAUUUGGAAGUGUCGGGCUUGUCAAAUUCUGAACUUUAGAUACGGUGACACCAUUAAUGAGUUUCAAGAUUUUAUACAGGGAUACGGAGAUGCUCCAAUUGAUAUCUUUAUACGCCCACUUUUGCUAUUUGGCUCCGCCUAAUGAAUUGAUGUCAAGCCCAAUACUUAAAUAGCUUCAGCACUGUACCCAUUGGAAAUUGCAUAAUUAGGCUAAAUUAUAAGUUGAAAAACUGAGGCUAAUGUGGAAUGGAGGUCCAAAACCACCUCCUUCUUCUUCUUCUUCUUCAUUUUUUUUUUUUGUCUUUUAGGUUAAGUUAACAGGGAGUUUUCGUUUUUGUGAUUAACCUACUUUUUAAAAUGUUUUUAAAUUUUUUUUGUCUAAAAAAAAUAAAUUAUUAUUUUUUUAGGUGCUUGUUGAUAGUUCUAGAUGUAAAAAAUAAUAAUAUUUUAGUUUAUUUUAAAUUAAAAAAUAAUUUUUAAAAAGACUAUCACAUUAUUAAACAUACAUUUAGUUCUUUACCUCAAAAUUCAAAAUUCAAAAAAAAAAAAGACAAGUGAAAAAUAAAAAGAAGGGUAAUUUAUUAUUUUUUUGGUUAUUGCAUCCGCCAAAUAUUUCUGGUUAUUGCUUUUCUUAUUUUUUUUUAGUUUUUUUUUCAAAAGAAAGGUAAUUUAAAAACUCAUUUCCCUAAACAGGGUUUUUUAAGACUUAAUUUACUAAAAUCAAAAGAAUUUUUGCCACAGUUAUUAAGCUUGUUCCAUUCAGGCGGGAACUAGCCUUGGGAUUGGGUGAGCAUCCACAUUCUUACUCACUGCCAUGGCUCUUUAGCUAUAAUAGCUGCAAGAUAGAAGUUUUUGCAGAGCAUCCUUGUUCUCUAAAUAACUCGUUAUUUUGUGUCUGUGAACAUUACUGGCUACGCAUAGCGAGUACUGUAGCACUCUUCAAUUUGUAGCAGGAGACGAAAGGAAUUUGCAGGAAAAGGAAGAAGGAGGGCUUCACAUUAGCUUACCAGAUAAUCACAAUCUUAUUUCUGCUUUUCUUCUCUCUUUGGAUGUUUGUUUCUAGUUUCAUUGUUGAUUUUAUUUUUCACCACUGCUUUUAUGAGUGCUUCUUCAUUAUUAUAGAAGGUUCCAAAAGGAAGGAAAGAGGGUGUUGGAGUGAGUUCCUUGGUAAUUCCUUUGCCUACUGCCACUUUUUUUUUAAAAUUAAUAUAGAUGUUCGGACCAGUUUGCGCAUACCUCGACUGAUUUUACAGGCCCUGAAGUUAAUAAUCAUGUAAACUUCCAGUGGCAACCACACCACAGGGGGAGCAAACCCUCUAAUUCCAAGUUCUUACCACUAGGCCACCUACUAAAUAGUUGACCUAAUGCUACUCUUUUUUUUUUUUUUUUAGUUUAACAUGGGUGUCCGGGCCAGCUUGCGCGCACCUCGACUAAUCUCACGGGCCCUGAAGUUAACGACCAUGUAAGCCUCCAGUGGCCAUCAUAUGAGCAACCACAGGGCUCGAACUUGAGACCACAGAGGAAGCAAACCUCUUGAUCCCAAACUCUUAUCACUGGACCACCACCUAGAUACUCUUUAAUCUACCAUGUAGUAGUCUUGAAACUUUUUCUUGUUUCUUUCUUGAUUUGCCUCUCAUCCUCAAAGUGCAUGGACAUUUCUCAUGUUUGUAUGAUUUACACGUGCCAAUUAUAUUUUUUAUUUAAUUAAUGAUUAAUUUGUAUAAAAAAAUUAAAUUGCUUCAAUAAAACUGGUAAUAACAGAAUAGUCAGAGUGAAAAGACAAAAAAAUCUUUAGAAAAAUGGUUUAAUUUUUUUAUAUGAUAAACCUGUCAUUUUACUUUAUUUAAAAAAAAUAAAAGGAAAAGAGUAUCCAUCUUAACUAGUUUUAAAAAAUAUAACUUAGAGGGUAAUUAGAUUAUUUUACAAUUGAAAAAACAUAUAUAUUCCUAGCAAAUUCAUUAAUGAUUAAUGGGCCGAAAUCAAAACUACCCCAACGCAAGAUAAUUAUUUAAAAAAGCAAAAAUAUAAUUACAAUACUAUAGUGAAUAAUAAAUUGUGUUUGUAUAUAGUGAAAAUGCCUUCAAUUUUAGCCUAGUUUUUAUUUUCAGUUAAACAUUACUCAUAUUACUAAAUUAAAAUUAAGAUAAACAUGAGUUGUAGUUGCGUUGAUAAGUUAAAAUAUAUAUAUAUAUAUCAAGUUGACUAGACUAGCAGGGAGAAUCGAGCGAAAUUUUCAUUUGGUGGGCAAAGCUCGGGGAAGAAAAAUACUGAAACUUUAAGUAAUGAGGUCGAGGUUCAAGUUCCAUUCUAGAUUUUCUCGACUUUGUGUUGGGAGAUCUAUAUUCCAUUAAUUAAUAUUAAUAUAAAAAGCUGAAUUAUAUGAAAAAAAAUAUUAUAAUUAUUCUCACAAACCACUGUAAUUGCUAUAAUAUUUUUCCAGCAUUGAUUAUGCUGACAGCAGUUGCAAUGGAGGGUUAUAUGGCUUAUUAGCCACCAAUUAACCCAAAAAAAAAAGAAGCUAAUUUAUAUGAAAAAAAUAUUAUAUUCUGUGGAUUGCUAAUCUGAUAUAUGACUGAUACUUUUGGUCAAUGGAGCAAAUUUUCAGAUUGAACGAAGCUGGCUUUAAGUCUGAUGCAUGAAUGACUGGACUGCUGAACGGGAGAGGGAUGGGACACUUAUAACGUGGAAGACGGACUCGACAUUUCCAAGUUCUUGCUGGACCUUAUGUUUAAGGAAUGGACUCUUGUUCUCGAAAAGAAAUGGAUCAACUUUAGAAAUUUCCAAGUUCUUGUUGGACAUUCUGUACAUUUAGGAGAACAUACGUUUAAGCAAAUCCUUGUAUCAAUCAAGGUGUUAUUAAUGUAUUUUUUAGUAGAAUUUUUUUUUUCUUCUAAACUAUAUAAGAGUUGACUUGAUGUGAUUUGAUCAGGUUGGUAGAUUCAAAGAUAACUCGGAUAACUGAUAAAAUUAUAGUUUGACUAAAAUAACCAAGAUAAUAUUUUUUAAAAUAUUAAAAUAAUAACAUAUUAAAUUAACAUGGUUCCACUUAGAUUCAUCUAUUGAAUUCGUUAUCCAGGUCAUGAGACCCUGAUGAUCCUAUAGAAAACAAAUAAUUUUUUUUAAUUAAACUCAAUUCUCAAUCAACCUAAAGUUUUAGGAUGAAAUUGAAAACAACUUUAAUAAAAAAAUAAGUUGAGUCAACUCGGGUUAAACUAACAAACCUAGAUCAUGAGAUCGGGAUAACCCCAUAGAAAGUAAAUCAAAACAAAUAAUGAAACUCAAUUCCUAAUCAAUUCAAUGUUGAAGAUACAAAAAGCCAUCUUAUUCAACCCGAGUCAACCGACCAAAUCCGUGAUUCAGGUCAUGACACCAGGAUAACCUCAUAAAAUAAAAACCAAAAAAAAUUAUGAGGUCUAAUUUCCAAUCAAUUCAAUAUUAAAGAAUGAGAUUGAAAAAAUAUAAACUAAAAAAUAAUAAGAAAAAACCAAAGGUCACCGGCCUAAACCGCGACCCAGGUCAUUAGAAUGUGAUGACCUCAUGGAAAGAAAAUGAAAAUAAAAUUAUGAAACUUAAAUUCUAACCAACUCAAUAUUGAAGGAUUAAAUUGAUAAUAAAUAAAUAAAUGAUUUAGGUCAACCUAUCAAACCUUGAUCAAGAGAUUGAGAUAAAUGGAUAGAAAGAAAAUAAAACAAAUAUAAAAGUCAAUACUCAAUCAACCCAAUGUUGAAAAAUAAAAUUAAAAAAAAUAUUCAAUAAAAAAAGAACAUAAAAACCUAAGUUAAUCUGGCUAACUCAUAAGACUCGCGACCCGAGUAAUGAGAUCAUGAUAAUCCCAUAGAAAAAAAAUUAAAAAACAAUUCUGAAGCUUAAUUUCUAAUCAAUUUAAUGUUAAAGGAUGAAGUUGAUGAAAAUAUAAUUAAAAAAAAAAGACAAAAGAAUAACCCAAGUAAUAUGGGUAACAUGUAAAACUCUUGAUCCGAGUUAUGAAACCAAGAUAACUUUAUAAUAAGAAAUCAAAAUAAAUUAUGAAGUUCAAUACCCAGUAAAUUCAAUAUUAGAGAAUGAAAUUAAAAAAAAAUAAGCUUGAAAUUAUAAAAAUAAAAAUAAAAAUCCUCUAAAAUUUUGAGGAUCAAAUUAAAAAAGAUCUUGACAUUUCACUAUUUAUUUCUAUAUUUAAAUUCUAAGACUUUUUUAACAUAUGUUAAUUUGGACUUUGAAUUUUUAUUAAGACAUUAGUUUGACAAGAAGGUGUGUCUCUAGAAUCUUUUAAAAAAUAAUAAAUAUCUUGCUUGAUACUAAGUUGCCUUAAAGAUAACUCUUAUUAUUGAACUAAAAAAGAAAAACUUUGAAAAAUUCUUUCGUAGUUUUCCCAUUAUUGAUUAUUGAUUAUUUUUAAAUUUUUAUUACUUAAUAUUUAGUAAAUAACUGUAGUUGAAAAUUCUUGAGAAAUUCUAAAACUUGAUAAAGCAUUAGACCUUACAUUAUAAUAUUUAUAUUUCGAUAUUAUAAAACUAAAAUUUCAUCUUUUACCAAGAUCACUAUUAUAUUAAAAUAUUUUUGAAUUAUUUCCUAAGGAGUUUUGUUUUAGAAAUAUAUUAAAAUAUUUUUGAAUUAUAUUUAAGGAGUCUUUUUAGAAAACAAUUUAUAGUAAUUUUGGUAAAAUAUGAAUUUUUAUUUAUUUAUGGCUCUAUUAACUUUUCACUUGAAAAUAUUAGAAUUGUAAUUUUUAUGAAUCAUUUUAUUUUAUAAAAGUUCAUUUUUAUCAUAUUUGAGAAAAAUAUUAUAGCACGAAUAAAAUUUUAUACUACCUUUUAAGAAGUCUUUUUUUAAUAUUUAGUAGAGUUUAUCAAAAGCUAUAAUUUUUUUUCAUCUAUAUAAGUCAAAAAUAAUAUAAGACAUCAAUAAAGCCCCUUACAAAAUAAUAACCGUGUUCAAAUAUUAUUAUUUUUCUAAACUUUAAUAUAAUUUUAUUAUGUUUUGAUUUUAAUUAUAUAUGAGUGAAUAAAAAUUAGAAAGUUGAAUUUACAUAUUGACUUUAAUAUCAUAUAUAGAAAAAUAAAUCAUUAAUUCCUUAUAUGGAGUGGAAGUAUUUUUAAUUUUUGCAUAUAGCAACUUUAUUUAAGAUAAGAACACUAAUUAUUUUUUUUAAAAAAAAAUCAUGUGAUGUUUUUUACAAUUUAAGAACAUUUUUAUCAAACUAAAUGUCAUCCCUACCUAAUUUUUUAUAUACUAGAUACUUGACUCGCGUUUUGCCACGAGUUAGAUGUUUUGCUUCUAAACAAAACAUUUUCUAUACAAGCUUUUUUAACAUAUUUUUGUAAUUUAAAAAAUUCUAAGUGAAAAUUAAAAAGUUUAUGCAUAUAUUUAAUCAAAAAAAUCAAGAACUAUAUAUGUUAAUAAAAAAAACUUGUAUCGUGUCAUCCUCUCUAGUUUUUUUUUUUAAAUAAAUUAGAUGACGCACCUGUGGGCCAUAAAUUUUUUUCUCUUACAAAAAAUUUGUACAUGUAGGCUUUUUUGAUGCAUUUUUGUACUUACAAAAAUCUAAAAUGUAAAUUGAAAAGCUUAUGCAUAUAUGUAAUCAAAUAAAUUAAGAACCAUGUAUGAUAAUAAAUGGGAAAAAAAGUUAUUAACAAUAACUAAAAAUCAAAUAGAAAAAUCAAAUGUGUUAAUAAACAGAACAUUUAUCCGGUUGUGUUUACUGAUUUUAUUUAUUAAAAUUAAUUUUUUAUUCAAUCAAAUGAUAUUAAAAAUAGACACACAGAUUAAAAAAAUAUUGAUGAAUCAGAAUAAUUUUUUUAAAAAUUAAAUACGCUAACCACCAUAAAAAAACAAUCUCUAUCUAAAAAAGGUUAAAUAAGAAAACAAAUUCACCGAUGAGAGAUAUUAAUCGAAACAUAAAUUUUUCAAUUAUUUUAAUAAAAGAUAUAAAAAAAACACUACUAAAAAAAGCAAUAUUAGAAAAAAAAUAAUAGCCCAGUUCUUGUGGCUUAACUCGUUAGAUUCGUGAUCUAAAUCACGAACUUAUUCAGGUUUAAUAUUUUUUUCUUUACGGGCCUAAGCUAAUUUUUAUUUUAAUUUUUUUAAUGGGUCCACCUCUAUUUUUUUGAAAAAAAUUAGCAGGCAACAUGUUGGCUGCAAUCCCAGAUUCCUGCGCCACACAAUGGUGGCUGGAAAAUCAGGCGAACUUGUCUUUUGUCCAAAAAACUCAAUUUCUAAGCUAUUUCAACUGAAAAACACCUCACCAAUACCCAAAAAUCAUUUCGUCAACUCCAAAUACCCAAAAAACAAUCCAAAAAUCUGAAGUCAAACUAAUUUAGUUUUGGCUGUCUCGGCUCAAAUCUGGUUUUUCAUGUAACAUCGAGGCUAUAAACAACCAUUAUGAAGUCUCUCUCAUUUCAUGAAACCUGUGGACACCAAGAAAACUCGUUUUGGUGGCCGAAAUUUUUCUCUUUUCGUCGAAUUCCAGCAACCCUCUUUCUUUUCCCUCUUUAACCAAGAACUGACAAAUAACACAAAAAAAAUUGUGUAUGAAAAUUGAUUUUUAAAAAAAUUAAAGGGAUCUAAAUAGUAUAUAUUGCGUUAUUUUUAAAGAUCGAGUAUCUAAGUGGAUUUUUCAUUCAAUCUUUGGCACGCCACUUAUGUUUGGUGCCUGUUUCAAUUCGUAAUUUUGUAAGUUUUUUAUUUUUUUAUUUUAAAUUAAUUUUUUAUAUUUUUAAAUCAUUUUAACGUGAUGAAAUCAACUAUAAAUUUUAAAAAAUAUAUUUUAAAAAUCAACGUUACUAUGGUAAGAAACACCCGGAUGUACCAUGGUCUUCAUCAGGAAUAAUCGAAUUAAUUUGAAGACACAGAAGUCGUCAUUUCUAUUCCUGUGGAAUCGAACCUCCUAGCGUAUUGGUUGGUCCCAUAAGUAGAAUUGAAUUAAAGUCGUCGUAUGGGACAAUGUACCAAAUUUAUUUCUUCUGAUUUUGUAUUCUUCACAGACACAAUCAAUGCCGUUGGUUUGCUAUAAAAGGCUCUCAACUCCAACUUCUGAGUUAACAACAAAAAAUUAUCGACAGGAGCAUCAUUAUGGCUUCACCAUCGUAUGGGCCUUUGUCAUUCGUGUGCUUUUUGACACUAUUGUUUCUUUUAAUAAACACUGUGCAACCACUCUGUCAUGGCGUUGAGAGAUCUGCCUUGUUGCAUUUCAUGCAAAGCUUUUCCAUCAGCAACAACGCUUCCAUUAGUUCUUACGCUUAUCCAAAGACUGCAUCAUGGAAGAUCAGAGGAGAAAGCAGUGAUUGUUGCUUAUGGGAUGGCGUCGAGUGUGAUGAGGACACUGGCUAUGUUAUUGGCCUUGACCUCGGAGGUAGUUCUCUCCAUGGUUCUAUCAACUCCACAAGCAGCCUUUUUCAACUUGUUCACCUUCGAAGGCUUAACCUGGGGGGUAAUGACUUCAAUUAUUCUCAAGUUCCAUCUCGACUUGCCCUUCUCUCAAGUCUAACAUACCUCAACCUUUCCAAUUCUAUGUUCUACGGCGAAGUUCCCUUAGAAAUCACAGAAUUGUCUCACUUGACUUCUCUUGAUCUUGGUCGAAAUGUUGACUCAUCUGCAAGAAAGUUGUUAGAACUCGGAAGCUUCGACUUGAGAAGGCUAGCUCAAAACUUCACCGGGCUUGAGCAACUUGAUCUCAGCUCGGUUAACAUUUCUUCUACCGUGCCUGAUGCCCUCGCAAAUUUGUCUUCAUUGACAUUUCUCAAUCUCGAGGACUGCAAUUUACAGGGUCUAAUUCCAUCCUCCUUCGGUGAUCUCACCAAACUAGGCUAUCUAAAUCUUGGACACAACAAUUUUUCAGGUCAGGUUCCUCUUUCGUUGGCAAACCUAACCCAACUUGAAGUGUUAUCUUUGUCUCAAAACAGUUUCAUCUCCCCAGGUUUGUCUUGGCUAGGAAACCUAAACAAAAUUAGAGCUUUACAUCUUUCAGACAUCAAUUUAGUUGGUGAAAUCCCUUUAUCUCUUAGGAACAUGACCCGAAUUAUUCAAUUACAUCUCUCCAAUAAUCGAUUAACAGGGAAAAUUCCAUUAUGGAUCUCGAACCUUACCCAGCUCACUCUCGUGCAUCUUAGACACAAUGAGUUGCAAGGUCCAAUUCCAGAGUCUAUGUCCAAACUUGUGAAUCUAGAAGAGCUCAAAUUGGAGUACAACCACUUGAGUGGCACUAUAGAAUUCAGCAUGUUUGCUAGUCUCAAACACCUAACAAUGCUCCAAAUACGCCGUAACAAUUUGACUGUGCUCACUAAUAUCAGUGAUAACACUACACUUCCAAAGUUUAAGUAUUUGGCAUUAGGUGACUGCAACUUAAGUGAGUUUCCAGAUUUCCUCAGGAGCCAAGAUGAGUUGAUCUACUUGCAUCUAGGUCGCAACAGGAUUCAAGGCCAAAUACCGAAAUGGCUAGGGGACAUAGGUCACAAAACUCUCUCGAUUUUGAUUCUCCGAAACAAUCUUUUCAGUGGCUUUGAGCAAUCAUGGGAGCUUUCUCUUUUGACGAAGCUACAGUGGCUAGAACUCGAUUCUAACAAGCUUGAAGGUCAACUCCCGAUUCCACCACCUUCCCUCAUCGGUUAUAGUAUUUCAAAUAACUCUCUGACAGGAGAAAUUUUACCAUCUCUGUGUAAUUUGCGAUCUCUUGGUUUCCUUGAUUUGUCUUACAACAAAUUGAGUGGCAUGUUUCCAAACUGCUUAGGCGACUUCAGUGAUUCGCUGCUUGUAUUGAAUCUAUCAAACAAUUUCUUCCAUGGAAGAAUUCCUCAAGCGUUCAGAGAUGAAAGCAACUUGAGAAUGAUUGAUCUAAGUCACAAUCAACUGGAGGGUCAGCUGCCAAGAUCAUUAACAAAUUGCAGGAUGAUGGAGAUUUUGGAUUUGAGUUACAAUAGAAUUAGCGACAAAUUCCCAUUUUGGUUGGCAAACCUUCCUGAGCUGCAGGUACUCAUUUUGCGAUCUAACCAAUUCUUUGGAUCAAUAAAAAGCCCUGGUGCCAUGUUAGAGUUUCGCAAGUUGCAAAUCAUUGACCUCUCCUACAACAAUUUUACGGGUAUCUUGCCAUCAGAGUUCUUUCAGACCCUGAGAAGUAUGAGAUUCUCUGAUCUUAAGGAGUUCACGUAUAUGCAGACAAUCCAUACUUUCCAGUUGCCCGUUUAUUCCAGGGAUUUUACUUACAGAUACGAAAUUAACUUGGCAAACAAAGGUGUGUAUAUGAAAUAUUGGCAGAUCCCAAAUGUGAUUGCAGCCAUUGACCUCUCAAGCAAUGCAUUCCAAGGGGAUAUUCCACAAUCCAUUGGGACACUUGAGAAGGUUAAUGCGCUUAACCUUUCAAAUAACCAUCUCUCAGGUGACAUCCCGUCAGUGUUGGGGAACCUCGCAAAUCUUGAAUCAUUAGACCUUUCACAAAACAUGCUCUCUGGAGAGAUCCCUCAGUAUUUGACGCAGCUCACAUUCCUUGCAUACUUCAAUGUCUCUCAUAAUCAAUUGGAGGGUCCUAUACCACAAGGAAAACAAUUUAAUACUUUCGAUAACAGUUCAUACGAAGGUAACUCAGGACUGUACAUGAAACAUUUGCCAAAGAAAUCCGAAUGUUCUGAACCUCCACAGCAUCCAAACUUGCCAAAACAUCAAGGCUUCAAUAAUAUUCUUCCAAAAGAUAUUGAAUGGAUAGCAGUUGUGAUCGGAUAUGGAAGUGGACUUGUGGUAGGAGUGGUUGUUGGAUUGAGAGUUUCCGCAAGAAUACCUGAAUGGUUUGUGAAGACGUUUGGAAGGACGCAAGGCAACCGAAGGAGAAGAGAGGUUAGGGGCGUGCGCCGUUGAUUGGUUUUUCUUGUUUCUUUUUCCCUCUCCCUUUCCUUUCAGUUGGUGAAGGAAUAUAUUUAUGUACUUGUUCAUUAAGAAUUUAGCUUUGUUUUUCCUUUUUUGAAACUCCAUUUAAAAGGGGAGCUGUCUGGAACUUCAGUUUUUAUAUCAUUCCUCUUUGUAUACACUCAUUGUUAGAGUAUUGACACUUUUCCUACGUACUCGAUAAGGAAGGUCUGGUGUAUGCCUAUAGAGAUAUGCUUGUAAUCUCAGUUGUGAAAUCAAGAAAAAAAACAUCAGUUUACAGAAACAAAAAUGUACAAUUUCCAUCAAGGGGUCUUCAGACGAGCCCUUCCUUAAUACAAAAUAAUAAUAAUAAUACUGAAAUAGAAUUUCUUAUGAUUGAGAAAAUGCAUUAUGUUUUCGACGUAUCUUUCUUUUCUUCCCCUCUCCUCGAUAGGAUGAUGAUUCAGUGUUUACCUCGAUAUAAGCCAGAGUCUGUCAAGAGAGCCGAGACUAGUUCUGAAAGAAUGAAAUAUGUAAACUGCCAUGCUGAGGAAGGUGGUGGUGCGUACUAGUUGCAUGGUGACAUGCGCAUCAUCUAGUAAAGAAAGCCACUGUCGAUGCCACAAAAUAUCCAUGGGGUCCAUUGACCUCGCUAGAUUAGGAAGAAAUUCUUACCUUUGCCAUAUAUAUAUUUUGUGGAUAUAUGGAUGACUACUACGUUGUGGGCGAAUUUAUUUAUUUUUUAAUUAUAGAAAAGAUAUCAAGAUAAUACAAAUAUUUUUUUUAAAAAAAUUAAAAUUUAAUUCAUUGAUUUGAAUGAAUUUAAUACUAAGUUAAUUUAAUAAUAAUAUUAAAAAAAUGUCAACAAAAAAUAAAACAAAAAAAAUGAUUCAAUGCAAAAAUAGAAUGAUUGCCAAUAUUAUGGAAAUAUAUCUUUAUAAUAUUCUUAAAAUAUCUCAAUGAUUUUAUUUGUUAACAAAGUAAAAAUAAAAUAAGAAUAGGAUAAUUGCAUAGAAAAAAAAAUGAAAAACAAAAUGAAUCUCAAUUCUCAGCAAAUAAAAUGUCGAAUUAUAAAUUAAAAAAAAAAGAAAAAAGAAAUUAACUCAAUUCUAUUUGAGUCAUCACAAAGGUGAAUUUUUAAAAAUACUUUCUUCGAAAGAACCGGACAUGAUAAUUUUUUUAUCAUCUGGCUUGAGAAAAUAUCAAAUCAAAUCUAUAACCUAGUCGUGAGACCGAGAUAACUCCGUGGAAAGUAGACUAAAUAAAAUCAUGAAGUUUUAUUCUUAAACCAACCUAAUAUUGAAGGGAAAAAAUAAAAAAAUAAAAAGAAAAAGAAAAAAAGAUCGGAGUCAAACCUGGUGAACUUACUGAAUCCACGAUUCAAGACAUGAUAUCGAGAUAACUCUACAGAAAGAAAAUGUAAAAAAAAACAAAGAAUACCAAUUUUCAAUAACAAAUUCAAUGAUAAUGGAUGAAAUUAAAAAAAAAUAUGACUAAAGCCAACCUGGUCUAACCAUCAGAGCUUAUAACACAAAUCACAGCAUAAAAGGCAAAACAAAAAAAAAACAACAUAAAAUUCCCAACCAACUAAAAUAAUUAGGAAUAAGCUUAAAAAAAGAUUUAAAAAAGGGAUAAAAAAAGAAAAAGAUAUAUAAAUUUUUAAAAAAAAUGAGAACCAAAUUAGAUAAAAAAAAUCAAAUCAAAUCAUAAAUGAUGAAAUUGAAAAACAAUUUCAUUUAAGAAAAGGGUAAGAAAAACUAAAAAAUAACAAUAAAAAAAUAAGGACCAUAUUUAAUAUAAAAAUUAAAUAUCAAUGGAUAAAAUUGCAAAAAAAUAACUCGAUAAAUGAAUCAAAACCAAAUAUAUUGUAAUCAAAAGAAUAAUGAUGUAAUUUGACUCAAUAAACAAAUAACUAGACUUCUUUGUUUUUUUGCAAUGACUACCAUAUUUUUCUAGGAGGAGAGAGAUAAAAGAGAGAGGAAAUAAAGAAUGUUUGGUCAAAGCUCCAUCGUCGGUCCUAUGACAGCACGCACCUCACUACUGUGAUGGGAGCGAUGAGGUGCAUUGAAUGUCGUCCUAGAUGGUGGCGUUCAGAGCUAUUUUGACACUACACACACCACUCAAAUAACAUAGGUCGCCAACCACUAAAAUAUAUAUAAUAUUUUAUAUAUAUUAAAAGAUCAUAUUACUGUUGUAUAAAAAUAACAAAAAAUUCAUAAUAAAAUAACUAAAAUAUAUUUCUAUCUAAUGCUAAAAAAGCUAUUUUUGUUAGGGUUGUUUUAAUUUUGUUUUUAUGUCACAAAAAGAUUUGAAAACCCUGAAAAGCCAGGACAAACAUAAGAAGAUUCUGUUUAUUAUACAUGAAAAUUUCAUUUGGUAAGAAAAAUAAGAAUACGAUGCCAUAGCCUUCAAUCAAGUAUAGCUCCUUUUGAACAAAAGAAAACAAUUCAUUAAAAUUCUGGCAUUAAUUUCCAAAUUCGCAUGUUUGAUCAUGAACUUUGUAAUUAAGAUGUUAGUACGUGGAUUAAUUAAUAUUUGAGGUUGUUCGUGUUUUCUUCUACCAUCAUUAAUUAUUAAUAGAGACAUAAUUAUUAUUUAAAAUUUUCCUUUUAGGACUUUCUGUUUGUAUAUUAUUGUUUUAAAAAAUAAAUAAAAAUUAACCAAUAAUGAGUUUUGAAAACUAUAUACCUCAACUCCCAAGAACCCCACUACCAGGCCCAACUAUGUGUUACUCGAUUGUAUCUAGAGGUCUGAAAUAUGUAGGCUCGAUGUUUGAUGGUCAAUGACUCAAUUGCUUAGGGCAACAAAGAGUAGAGCUAGUUCCGUGUCAUGGAAAUUCUAGAUUGAGCCUAGUUUAGUUUGCAUGUAAAAGGUUAUUUGGUAUUGAAAUGAAUUAAAAUAAUAUUUUUUAUUAUUUAAAAUUUAUUUUUAAUAUUAAUAUAUUAAAAUGAUUUAAAAAUAUCAAAAAUAAUUAUUUAAAGAAAAUAAAAAAAGUUAAUUUUUUUCAAAAAACAACUUCACCGCAAAAACAAAGUGCACAUUACAUAUGAUGGAUUACAAUAAUUUAUAAUCUGCUAUAGCUUCUUCUUUUUUUUUUAAUUCUCCCCAAACAUUUUUUUUCCUAACUAGUUUGAUUCUCUAUGCACUACAAUGUGGGAUGGAGCAGAUUGUUUUCAACACUAAACAGGCGCAAGUGUUAUUAUAAAAUUUUUUACGAUUAAGAAAAAAUUUAAUUAUAAGCUAAAAAGUUUGUACGUGUAUUUAAAAAAAUAAAUUUAAAAAUAUAUGUGCUAAAAAAUAUAUCAAAUAUGUUGAUUCCAAUCAUUAUUUCUUAAAAAAAAAAAGGUUGAAUAUUUGUUUCGACUUGAAAUUAGGUUUCAAUUUUAUUUUUUCAAAUUAAGCAUUAAUUCAAUAUCAAAACUUAUUUUUAAUAUCACAAAAACCUCGUAUAAAGCCAACCAAAUAAUAAAUGAAACUCAAUCACAAGUCAUCAACUUAAGGUAAAAUGGUUAAAUUAAAAAUAAAAAAAAGUCAAAUGAAAAGGAAAAAGAAAGAAAAAAAAAGAACACACAAUUCAUAAUUAGAUUGUAUAUUUAUUCUAAUUAUGAAUUGUUUUUUUAAUGUUUUUUUUUUUAUCUUGCAUUACCUUGCAUGUUCAUAAUUCCAAAUAUUACUUCAUUGUUUACCGAGUGUCAAUUUUACUAUAAUUGUUAAAUGAGAAACAAAAAGACUCAAUUAAAAAAAGGGUGUGAAUGAAAAAAAAAGACUCAAUUAUAAAAAUAUGAAUAAAAGAAAGUUUAAAAUGGUUCAAUAUUCAUAAUUCAAAUAUUAUUUCAUGAUUUAUAAAGCAUUAUUUUUUGCAGAAUUGAAUUACAAUUGUUAAAUAAAAAAUAAAAUUACUUAAUAAAAAAAAGAUGUAAAUAAAAUAAAUAGACCUAGUAAAAGAAAAGGAGGAGGAGGGUGUGAAUGGAAAAAAAAAUUACGAUUAUUUACUAUGAAAAAUGUUUUCAUCUCAAAUCUCAAAUCUUUUAAUGUUUUUGUUAAUUUCAUUGUACAUUAAUUGAAUGUUAUAUAGUGUCCAAAUACUAGCCAAAAACCCCUUAAUUGAUCCAAAAAAAUAAUCAUAAACAUGCCCUAAAAUUCCCAACAGUUCCCAAAUUCAAAUUCGUCUUCUUAUAGGCAAUAAUUAAUCAAUUAUUGAAAGCUUUUGAAGUUGAUUUGACUGAUUAUUAUGGUAAUCUAGAUGAGUUAAAGAGAGCUGUUAACUAUCAUUAACAUUAGCUGAUUAUUUAUUGAAUCAAAUUUGUUCACAAGGACAAGAUUGAAAGGAGAAUUGGAAAAUAUAUAAAAAAUAGAUGAUGGGUUUAAAGUUAUCAUAAAAAAUUAUUUUAGUUUUUAAACUUUAUAAAUUACACCUAUUUGGUUUUUUUAUAUUUUUUCAAUUUAAUUUUAGUAUAAAAAUUUAUGUUUUAAAUUUUUGGUCUCUGGUUUGAAAUAGAAGAGGGAGCUUACUAGAUUGCAACGGUAAAGAAAGAAAAUCAAUAUUAACACAAAUUUCAACUACCAAAAUGGUCGAUUUUGAUGUCAAUAGAUUUCAUUUCAUGAGGGGAGUUCCACUUAAAUGUUUUUUUACCUUCAAAUUGCCUAAAAAAUCAGAUUUAAGCUCAGGAAGAUUUUUUUAUUUUGGGUUAAUUUCAGGUUAUUGUGUGAUUUUUUUGGUUUUUUAAGAUCAUUUAUGGGUUUGUCAAGAUGUUUAGGCUUUUUUUUUCUUGGUGUGUAGAUAAAAAAACACAAACUCUAUUUUUUUGUUCACCACAGUAGCUGGGAUUUAUCGAAACCAGACGAUGCAUCGUCUUGAAUUUUUCUUUUUCAAAAAAUAUUAAGGUAGGCGACAUGUAGUCUACCCUAAUUGAGUUUUUUUUUUUAAAAGGAGCUCAUGCGCUGACACUUUCUCUCUUAUUUUUUACUUUUAGCUUUUUUUAAAUAGUUUUUUUUAUAUUAGUUUGAAUAUGUUUAUUUUUUGAAGAGAUUAUUCUAAUUCAUGUAUAAUGUUUUUUUAUGUUUUAUAAUAUAAUUGAACUUUAUUUUUAAAAAUAAAAAAUAUUUAUUUUUCUAUAGUAUUUCUAAUAAGCGCAAUAUUGUGUGAUAUUUUUUUUCUAUUUAAUUUUAUUAAUUCAAAUGUGUGUGUAUCUUUUUUAUUAUCAUUUAAUUAAAAAAUAAUAAUUUUAAUAAAUAAAAUUAUUAAACACAAGAGUAAAUAAUAUAUUAUAAGAUCAAAUAUUUUUAUUUAUAUCCGUUUCUCAACCCGAACAAGUGAAUAGUGGUUUCUGCUGUAAUUUAAGAAGAAGAGGAGAGAAUUUGUUUACGAGGAGACAUAGACGUAUGAUUCAGGAUUGAUUGUUAGUGUCAUUGACAACAUAUUUAUAAAGUUUUUUAUGCUCAAAGGAACAAUUAAACUAAAGAAUUUAAAGGGCCAAUCUCGCUUCAUGUUAAUUUUAACAAUUAACUUUCAUCUAGAAAUUGCAUUCAUAAGAAGAAAAAAUACAUUAAUUAAUCCAUCAAGAAACAAGGAAAAUUCUUCUGCUGACAAUUGAGAGUUAACAAAGAAGCAUGUCGUUGCUUUUUCUUUCUGUUUGCUCUACUUCUUGCUCGCCAUCUUCGUGAUGGUGUUUCUCUAAUCUUUUAGCUUAGACUGAGAUCGAUUUUCAUCAAGAAAACAAGGAAUCAUGUCAUCAUACAGGAUCUCGACAGAGAGGGCAGCUCUGAUUCUUAUCCAGCCAUUGCAUAAAACAUCCUGAAUGGAAAACAUGUUUGCACGAGGAAAGAACGCAGCAGUUCUCCCCUUUCUGAAAAUCAUCCAAGCAUAUCACACAUCCACUGCUAAAAUUGACUGAGCUUUCAUCGAUUUGAACAUAAUAUAAUUUCAACAUGGAAAGAGGAGCAGGUUCGAGUCUUCCAGUUACCUGCCCACUUUCAACAUCAUGAGGAUGAUGACGAGGAUCUUGGUUACGGAGAGCAUGGCGCCGAUAUUCUAAAUGCCUCAAACAAAAUUCUAACAGUAAAUAAAAUAUCACGAUCAAUAUCGCUGCAACAAGAACCAUAAUUAUAAAUAGUAGAGUAGGGAAGUGUUCAUUGUUGCCAGAAGCAGAAGUAAAAGGAGCUUCUGUCAUGGAUAUGAAACUGGUUAGUUUGUAUAUGAUUCAGCAUAAAAUAUUGUUAACUGUUUUGUACUGCUAUAUAAAUAUUGGUUAUUUCAAUAGCUGUAAGCCUUUUCCUCUCGGAAAACCACUCUCCUUGUCCUCCUCGGUUUACGACCUAGUUUGGGAUUGCAGCUAGUGACAAUGGCAACUUGACGAGAGAAUUUUUGGCACACUUUUAUACUGUUAAAAGGGAGAUUAAAAGAAUAUGCCCCAUGAAUAUAUAUAUAUAUAUAUAUAUAUAUAUAUAUAUAUAUAUAUAUAGAAGUUGUCUGUGACUCUGUGUAUUGUUUUGUGUUGAUUAUGAGAGAAAGCGAGGUUGUGAUGACCCAGAAUCAAGCCCGUGAUCCGUAUGUAAAUCAAGGCAAAUCUAAGUUCAUCUUGCGCAAGCUAAGCCUUGAUUAGACCUGUAGAAAUUCUAACAAAAUCCAAAAUAUAAAACAAAACAAUAAUUAUUUAAAAAUCAAUAUAAAAAUAUUUGUGUAUCUCAUCCCAUCGGUAAAUAAAAAUGCAUUCGAAUUUAUAUUCAAAAUUGAAAAAGAUAGAAAAUUGUUUGGGGACCAUUACCGAAACUUAUUUUACAUUCAAUAAAAAAUAUUUUUUUUAUAUCAUUUCACAGUAAAUAAAAAAACUCGUUUUCGGUAGACUCUACCAAGUUAAUUAAUACAGUUAGAGAAUAUAAAGAAAAAAAAUGCAAGUUUGAAAAAAAAAGUCAAGUUUUAAUUGAAAUUUACCUAUCACUUGUUAGACAGACAUGAUGUAAAAUCAUCUCUGAUGUAUUUCACACUUUGUGGAUCCAUAUAAAACAUAUAAGAAUCAAUGUCAUAUUUUGUUAUUUUCACACUCGACAAUAACAAUAGUAUAAGCAAUAAAAAAACAGUAUAUUAUUUCCACCCAAACCAAUUAUUAAUAACAAUACAUUUUUAUAUAGACUCUUGAGAUGGUAUAUAUCAAUUCUAAUGAAAGGCCUACAUAAAAAAAAUAAAGGCUUCCUUUAUCGUUUUCAAAUAAACAUACACAUGUUUAAAUUUUUAUGGUGAAUGCAUAUUUAUUUUGUUUUAUAUGUUAAACCCUAAAAAUAUAUUAAAACCCGGAUUAUAUUGCUUCAAUAGUUAAAUGUACCUAAAGAGUCUUUUAAAAGACUCAUUUUGACUUCCAUCCAGAAACUCUUUAGCCUUUGUCCUAGCUCUCAAUCAUUGCAUUUUAUAUGGUUAAAUCCUAAAUUUAUCAUCUAAAAUUGUUUCAAGUGAUUGGAGAUGUUUGGGUCAAUACUAAUUAUUGGUAGCAAUUGACUUUGUUAUCAAUGUUGAAUUUACAAUUUUUAUACUUGUAGGUCAAAUUCACUUAUGCUUGUCCCUUAAAGACUUAAUCAUGAAUGUUUUACUACCAAGAACGAGACAACCUUAUAUUCGUCAAUUAAAACCAUAAGCCAUAUGUAUGGUUUCAACCUUCUUUUUAUGAUUAAUAUAUCUUUUAACAUGACAUUCAUGCUUCACCUCAUACUUUCACAAAAUAUCUUUAAAGUGUGUUUAUAUUACUAAAAAUUUGAUAUUCUUCAAAAUUUAUUGAACAAUCAACUGCAACUUUAAAUCUCUUACAUUUGAAAUCAGUAAUUGGAUCCAUUAAUAAUCUUUUUCCCCUCUUCUUGCCACUUUCCUCCUCAUCAAUACUAUCAGAUUGUUCACUGACUUAUACGUCAAUAUCAUCUUCAUCACUACUUAUCCUUCUUUCGUUAUCAGAAUCAGAGGCACCAUACAAGAUUUGACCAAUAGAAAAAUCAACUUGUAAGUUAUCAAUCCAUUCAUCCGUAGCUACAUUAUAAAAUUCAAAUCCUUUAUCGGAAUGAAUAUAAUAAUUGUCUACUUCAUUAUCAUCAUUAGAAUCCAUGUAAACUCUAACAUUAACAUAACAUCAGUAUCAAUGCUCAUUUAGAAUUCAUUCCUUCUUUCAUCCCAACACUCAUUUAAGUGCCCAUUUCAGCACCAACUUUAGCACCACACCUAUUUCAACACUCAUAUUAGAUCAAUACCAGAACAUCAAACAUCACUACCACUAACAUCAUCACCUAUUUCAAUACCCAUUUUAGCACCCAUAUUAAGAUUUUUCUCUCCAUCACCACCAACAUCUAAAUUAGAACUUUCUUCCCCCAAUAAGCAUACCACUUUAUCAACAUCAUCAUCAUGUGCAUCAAAAUAUUUGGUUCUGGGUGGCCUGUUAUUUUCAGGAUUGUCUAAAUAGCACCUCGACAUUUUCAUUAUUAGAGAUUAGCUGUUAGAUCAACAUCAUCAUAUAAAUGCACCUUAUCUUUACCUUUAUGCAUAUAAAAUACCUGUAAGGUCGAAGCAUCAUCUAAUAUUUUGUUGCCUUUGCCAUUCCUUGUGCAAAUCUAUGCACUAUAUCAAAUAUUUUCUUACAUGUGAAUAAUAUGUCUAUGCAAGAAAUGUAGUUAGAGUUGUAAUUUUUUUUUUGACAUAUGAUGAAUUCUUAUCAUACACAAAUAUAUUAGGCAUUUUGUAUCUUGCAUGAUUUAUAGAAGUUAUAGAAAAGUAACACAUAAAUAAUAGUAAAAAAUAUAAAACAAUGACUAAUAAGAGAAGAUUAUAGCCACUAGAUUUUACUAAUUAAUGCAUAUUGGUUUAUGAAUGCAUUUUUUAUUACUUUAUAAUUAGGCAUUUCACUGUGAAGUAGGAAGUUUAACAAUAAUAUUAAAAAAGAUUCAGAAGACUGUUGUAAAUAUAAAUAAAGAGGUUAGAGAAAUAUGUUAUUUUCUUAUCCACUAUAUAAUUCUCUAAACUAUGUAGUUAGUGUUUAUUUUUGUAGUGUACCAUAUCCUUUAAAGAAUUAUUAUUAUUAUUAUUAUUUAUUUUUUUAUAUCAUUUUAGCAUAGUAAUAUUAAAAAUAAUUUUUAUUAAAAUUUUUAUUUUAAUAUAUUUAAAAAAAAAAAAAACAAUAUUUCAGUCUAAAACACUGGAUCAGUGCCUACGAACAAAAAUUGCUCAUUAACUAGAAAAAGGAAAGAAGUAAAAUUCAGAUGACUACUACUACUUCAUGCACGGUAAAACCCUAGUUAGUUCCAGAACAAGAACAGCACCCAUGUUGGUGUCCAUCUCUACUUUCUACCUUCCCCAUAUAUAACCCUACAAAACUAUUCAAAACCCCAGCAAACAAAAACCCUAUCAUUGUUUUCCCUUUCACUGCCACAACAAAACCCAACUCCAAAACUCUUCUCCCCUGUUUUUAUUUUUCAAUAAAGUUAUUCCCAGCUAUGGAAUCCCCAGUUCAAGCCCAAGCAAUUCCUCUUUACGAAACCCUAACCCUAACCCCACUUUCUCCUUCACCCACUGCCACUCCAAUUCGAUCGCCGCUGUCCGAUCCUCUCCAACCCUACUCUGUAUUCCGCAAUGAGAUUUCUCUCUCCGCCUUCAAUUCUGCUGCUGCUGCGGAAUCUGCUGCACCUGAUUUCUUCUCUCUUGAUGUUGGAAGCGGUGAUGAGGAGGAGUUGGAGCUGAAGACGCCUGUUAAUGGAGAGGCUAAGGGGAAGAGGAAAGCGGAGGUGGAGACGGAGAACUUGCCGGAACCAAUGACGGAGAGCGUGUGGUUUAGAGGGGAUAGUAAAUUUAGGAGUCCGAUGUUACAGUUACAUAAAGGUAUACCUUGAUGAUAUUGGACAAAGGAGUGCUUUUUAGUUUUUUCUUUCUUUUUGUUGAUUUAAUUUGUGGGUUCGUCCUACUAAUUCUUGUUAUUGUGUGUGAAAAGUUGAUUUCUUGCACAUUAAUUCUUUAGAUAUAUUGUGGUUAUGGAGGAAAUAUGAGUACUUUUCAUAUUCAUUGAUUUAAUUUGACUCUAGUAGUAUCUUAAAAUCUGGAUGGUACCACAAUAUUGGUUAAUUUCGAUUCCCUCUUGAGCAAAAAAUAAAAUAAAAUAAAACAGAGCGAAAACUAUAAUCUCUUCAAGAAUUUGUUGGCCUUAAUUAUGGAAGUCCAGUGUGGGUGACAAUGUGGGUAUGCUAAAUUUUUAUGUGUAGCUUACUUGGAAUGUUUAAAUUUGUGAACUUUUCAUGUGAUGUUUGGAAUAUGUUUUAGCUUCUUUUUAGUUUUUUGAGAAAUUCUGGUCAACGAGCAUUUAUAGUGAGCUCAUAUCUGAUGGUGGGUGAUGCAGAGAUAGUGGAUUUCUGUGAUUUUCUGUCACCAACUCAGGAGGAACAAGCUUCACGUGCUGAAGCUGUACGAUGUGUUUUUGAUGUUAUUAAAUAUAUAUGGCCCAAUUGUAAGGUAAUUCUUAGUUCCCCUCUCUCUUUCUCACUCACCCACACAAUUUCUUUAUAGAAGCAUAAAAGCUAGUAAAAUUGCGUUGCUGUGUUUGCUUUGUAGGUGGAAGUUUUUGGUUCGUUUAGGACAGGACUUUAUCUUCCAACCAGUGACAUUGAUGUACGUAUAAUGUGACAUUUGUUAAGAAUUUACUGUGGAAUACUGCUGACUAAUCAACUGAAACAAAAGCUUUUGUUAAAUGCUAUUGAUUGUAGGUUGUGAUUCUGGGUUCAGGACUAAAAAGCCCACAGAUUGGUUUAAACGCUCUUUCCAGGGCCUUGUCUCAGAAGGGCGUUGCAAAGAAGAUACAGGUAUGCCUCCAUCAACAGUUGGAGUACUAUUGCUGCCAAAAAAACAAAGGUCUAUUGUGCUCUCUUUUAUUGUCUUAGGUGAUAGCGAGGGCUCGUGUGCCCAUUGUUAAAUUCGUUGAAAAGAGAAGUGGUGUUUCCUUUGAUAUAAGGUCUGUCUAUUUAUCAUUUGUAUUUCCAUUUCCUAGUUUGAUUUUCUCCUUGCAAUGUUUUGAGAUUAAUUUUUUUUCUCAAGGUUUGUAGUCCAUUUCAAUCCUUAUUGAAUUGAUUCCUCUGAAUAAUUGUCCAAAUGCAUUUCAAAGAAAAAAAGGAGAUGAGAUGUAAAGGGGGGAUUGCUUAUACUGUGUUCUAGUAGUUACAAUGUAGUUAUUUUUUUAGUGUGGGUUUGGUAAAUUAGCUUUCUUAUUGGUUCAAUUAUUGGGUGAUUUUAUAAAUAAAUAAAUAAAGGAAAUCCAAUACUGAACUAUGAUUGAGAGACUUGGUCUAGAUAGAAUUUUAGUCAGUAGCUUUGGGUUUAAACUUGCAUGACACAUGGGGGGAAGCCAAAUGAGAAACUGAAAUUAUGAGAUGCUCUAUGAAGGCUGAUCAUUAUAAGAUGCUUAAUUUGUAGCCCGGGUAAGUGCAUAUAGAGAUUGUCAUAAAGAAAUUCUACAUACUUUAGCUAAUAAAUGUUUUAAGGAAUAUUUUAUACUACACUUAAUUAAGCAAAGAUGCCCUUCUUUUUUUCUCCGAACUUUUUAUUUGACAUAUCAAUUUUGUAAAAUCUUUGUAUUUUGUGUUUCAUUUAUAUUAUGGUUCGGGAGCUGUAUAUACAAUCUGUAGGUUUUAUCUCUUUGUCAGCUAAAUUUCUGACUACAUUCUGCAUUGCUUGUUUUGGAAACUGAUCAAUGUUUUUUGUGGAUCUCAGUUUUGAUGUGAACGGUGGACCCAUAGCUGCUGAGUUUAUCAAGGUUUGUUGUCUGUGUUCUUCCUUUCUGAUAUUUCGUUCUUUAUGAUGUGAGUAACAAGUAUAACAAUCAUCUCACUUUCUCUUAACAUGUACACACGCACCCUUUUUUUAAUUGCUGGUGUGUAUAAAAGUAGUUUGAAGUCAAAGCUAAAUGUUGUUUCUUUCAGAAUGCAAUAUCCAAGUGGCCUGAACUACGACCAUUAUGUUUGAUUUUGAAAGUAUUCCUACAACAAAGAGAACUCAACGAGGUAUAUAUCUGUAUACCAGCCAUCUAAUAGCAUUCUCAUAGAUGUCAACACUUUAUUCUCAAUCAUUGUUUUUUUUUGUUUGCCUGAUUCAAGUUUUCUUUAAAACAUGCAGGUAUACUCUGGCGGCAUAAGUUCUUAUGCUCUGCUUGCCAUGCUUAUGGCAAUGUUGCAGGUAAUGAAUUAAACCUUUGAAUGAAUUCUUCAUCUGCAUUCUAGCUUGCAUGCAUGCGCACAUUGUUGCCAGUUAAUCCGUUAAUUCCCUACUAUUCAUAUGCUGUAAGAUGCCAAAACAAUGGUGAGUUUAUCAAAGCUAUUGAAAUGAUGGCGAUCAGGAAGAUCUUGUAUUUGGUCAAGCUGUGAAUGUAAAAUGAAGAGAUUACAUAUUGUAUUUCUAAUAAGACAGAAAAUAUACCUCAAAUGCUACCAUGUUUCAUCUCAGCUGAGGUUUGGAUGCUUGACAGACCACUUUCUGGAGUUUAUUUCAGAUAAGAUAGGACAUUUCUUCCUUCUUGUUAGAGCUUUCUUGCAUUUGACCUCUAGAGAGCUUUCUACUUGUAUGAGGGCAAAUGAGUUUUUCUAUGGUUUAUUGAUAUGAUAGAAUCAUGCUUCUUACAAACAAUUUAAAGUAUCUCGAUGUUUCCCUUGGCAUGUUACCAUUUCCUUUUCUCAUCAAACAAUAUUGCCACUGCCUCAUGACAUUUUUGAUGCUACAGAAUCAUAGGGAGUGCCAGGCUUCUCUAGAACGUAAUUUGGGGCUUCUCUUGGUACGUUUUUUCAAGCCCUUGUUCAGCACAAUGUAACUUCAAGAUAGCAUGGUGUUCAUGAUGCAGUUGAUAUGUUCUUUGUUUUAUUUUUAUUCUUGUAAACUUAAUUGGAGAAUAUAUGAACCCUUUAAUUUUGGGGGGUAACAGUUUGUAGACUUCUAUAUUCUUACUAGUCUGUUUUUGGAAAGCAGAUACACUUUUUUGAUUUUUAUGGACGCAAAUUGAACACCACAAAUGUUGGUGUAUCUUGCAAGGGGACUGGGACAUUCUUUUCAAAGCGUACCAAAGGGUAAAGGAAAAGCAAGGCUUUUAGGAUUGAAAAUUUUUAUUUUUUCUUUUAGCUUGCAGUUAUUAAAAAUAUUACGUUUGAUCUUACCUCAUUUUCUGUUUUAGGUUUAUGAACAAUGGACGGCCAUUUCUCAUUGCAAUUGAAGACCCACAGGUUGACUUUCUUUACUAAGAUGUGACAUUUCCAUAUAUUAAUUGACUAUUAAGCAAAUCAAAGAGUGGGAUUGAUUUGUUGCCUCAAAAAAUUAUUGAUAUGAUUUUUUAAUUACAUCUUUUACUGCUUUCUGUGGGUGUUGGAUGCAUCUCUAGAGCUAAAUAUAGGAUUCCCAAGCAUUCCCCAGGAAAGACCGGGUCCUGUCUUAGCUAUUACAAGUUCACACUUGGUUUUGCCUUUGUAUUCUGGUUUAUGGGCAUGCAUUUCUGAACCCUUUUCCAGAAUAUUGAGAUUGGGAUCAGACUGUACAAUUAAAAAAAAUAAAAAUUGGAGACCUUUUCCCAAAAAGCGGUCAUUAUUUUGUUUCUGUUUGAUGAACUAAAACUGUUUAUUUAUGAUGAAUAGGCACCAGAGAAUGACAUUGGCAAGAAUUCAUUCAAUUAUUUCCAGGUUUGUUCACUGUUAUAAUAUUAUUUUUGCUUGCUUUUCAUCACUUUCACUGCACUAGGAAUAAAGGUUUUUGACGGAAAGGUUCAUUUUAGUUUAAAUGUGGGGGCAGCAUUCCAAAAUCUUGUUUGUAUUUAAUAUAUUUCAUAACAUUUUGAGUUCUAACUUACCUAUUUUUUAUAUCCUCAGUUUGAUUUACCAAGUACCCUAGAUGAAUUGCUUUAGCUUUGAGUUAUGCUGGGUGGGUCGUAGCACUUCACCUCUCUUAACAAGUUUCAACUAAUCGGGUUGUUGCAUUAGAUGGGAUGAGAAACUUGUGUGACUCAUACCAUCCUUUUGCUUCCAUCAAAUGAAUCAAAUUGAUAAUAUAAAAAGCUUUGAAUUUCUUUUGCUAUUCUAAAUUUUACUGAAAGUCCUUUUACCAUCCAUAUUGCAGAUUAGAUCUGCUUUUGCAAUGGCUUUUACAACCUUGACAAAUCCGAAGACCAUCCUAAGCUUAGGACCCAACAGGAGCAUUCUUGGUACCAUAAUUAGACCUGACCCAGUUUUGCUGGAACGCAAAGGAGGGAAAAAUGGAGAGGUAACUUUUAGCAGCUUGCUGCCUGGAGCUGGGGAGCCCUUGCAGUCAAAUUAUGGACAACAGGAAAUUUUGUGCAAUUGGCAGUUGGAUGAUGAAGAAGAAGCAUUACCACGAGGAGGCGGGGAUGCUGGAGAUGGUAGUGCACAUUCCUCUGGAAAGAAGAGGAAAGCUUCUUCUAAAGAGAAGUCUCGGAAGAAAAAGUCGAAAGAAAAUGGUGACAUUGGGAAGGUGAGACAUGAUGAAAGUGGUUCAAAGAAAGAGAAGUCAACAAAGAAGAAACAGCGAUGGAGAAAAAAUGAUAGCUCCAAGGGUUUUGGCAGUCACGCUGCUGGGUCUUCAUAGAUUUGUUAAAAACAUAAACAUAUCUUUGGCAGGCUGGAUGAACGAGUCAGGCAUGGCUGAUGCAGUUCCUUCUCACCUAUGAAUGGUUUACUGCAACUACAACAAUCAUCUAACAUUCUGCCUCAAGACUGCUAAAGACUGCUUGGGAUGGCAUGCUGUCUGAUUGAAAGUAGCAUCUGAAGCAAAUUACUGGCUUUAAGGUGGUUGCGGCUCCUCCCAUCUCUGAAACAUUGUGUCUUGUGAUUGGCCAGUAUUUGACUUUUGUACUAUACUAAUACAGAAGUAUAGAGCCAAGUUCAACGAACAGGAAUAGUGGAUGUGUAAUUGAAUCCAAUUUCCUGAGUCGUACAACAUCAAAGUCUCAGAACUUGAAAACAGGCCAGAUGGAUCUAAUAAUUUUGACACCGUUUGGAGCCUCCAUGUUUGCUAUGAAGGGAGGAGCUGCUUGUGGCGUUUAAGUUUGAAUGCCGAGCACCCAUGCCGUCUGAUAAAUGACAAUAGGGCUGCUUGUAUUUUUUUAUUUUUGUUUUUAUUUAACAGAGUAGUGGUUAAUUGUAUCCCUAUUAAUUGAUUGAUUUAUGAGCUCCAGCCUUGUUUUCUGCUACAUUCCCGCAUAGUGACCCAUGAUUCGCUGGUUCAAAUCCAAACUCUGCAGCAGCGAUACCAGGUUGGCUGUUCACUAUCGGCUAUGAAAUGCGAAGGUAUCUCUUUGCCUAUAAAACCUUUUCUUACACUACUAUUUCCACAUCAAUAAUAGAAGAGAAGAUUGAGAGGCUGUCUUUGUUUGCGUUUAAUAUUAUGUUACUGAGCAUUUUAAAAGUGUUUGAUAUAUAUAAAAAAUUAAAUUAGUGUUUUUUCAGUGUUUUUUUGAUAAUUUUGAUGUGUCAAUAUCAAAAAUAAAAAAAAUUAUUUUGAUAUAUUUUUAAAUAAAAAAUAGUUUUAUUUAUACCAUGAAUUAGAUGUAAUAACUUACAAUAUCAUCCUUUUAGCCAUUAUAGUUGUAGAAAACACUAAAGGGCGUCGACAUAUCACUAUGCUCCUCGCCACACCAUUGUUCGCCAAUAUAUAAUUCAUCAUGAAUUGCUAUAGUGAAUUUUUUUUUUCAUUUUAGUUAUUAAUAGUUUUUCUCUCCUUGAUUAAGUUCUUUUUAUGGUUAUGGUCAACUGACUCUCAAUUGAUGUCAAUUUAGCCCACUAUUCAUGGAUUUUUUUCGAUAAAAGGAGUUUUUUUUAGAUGUUAUUUUGGUUUUUUCAUCAAUUGAGAUAAUAAAUCUCAGCUCAAGAAAGUUUUGGUUUUAGAUUGAUUUUGAAUUUUUGUAUUGAUUUUUUCAAUGGUAGAUAAAGAUGUUUUGGGUAAAAAAAAUGAAAAAAUUCACUGCAUAUUGAAAGGAGCAAGUGAUGUGUCAUUUAUUUUUUUAUUAUCAUAUUAUCUCUUAACUAAAAAAAAAUUAAGUUUAAGCCUAUAUGUUUUUGGCCAUCCAGGCUAGGCCAGAGUGUCCGGGUUGGUGGUUUUUUUGUCCUUUGAUUUUUUUUAUUGGUUUAUUUUUUUUUUACUAAUUUUAUCCUUUAAUGUUUGUUUUUUAUUGAAUUUUUGUAUUGGCUUUUUUCUUUUCAAUUUUAACUCUAACACAUUUUUUUUAAUGUAAUUCAAUUUAAUUUAAUACCAUUUAGUUUUUACUUAAUUUACAAAUAAAAUUUCAAUGUUUUUUUUAUGUUUUUUAUGAUAUUAUGAGGCAUUGUUAUUUAUGUAUAGCUCUAUUUAAUUUUUUUUCUUUAAUUUUUAUUCAAUCUCUUUCUUAAGUGUGUUUUUUAUUAUCAUUUUAUUAAAUAAAUAUUAAUUUCAAGAAAUAAAAUUAUUAAACACAAUCGAGGACCUAUCUAUAUUGUGAGAUUAAAUUUCUUGAUUUAUAACAAUCUCUUGAUUUUUUCAGUUUGGGUUUUAGUUAUUGUUGAUUUUUGUAUGUUUAUAGGCACAAAUGAUUUCUUAUUUAUUUAAUUAAAUGCAUGCAUCAACUUUUUAAUUUACGGUUAUGAUUUUUUAUGUCAAAAAUAUACUUCUAAAAAAAACAGGGUCUUUAAUGGUCAUUGCUCAUAUGAAAGUGAAACAAUUUUUUUUUUGGUUUUAAUUGUACCUUUCAAUUGCCUAAUUAGAUGGAAUUAGUGUUGCAAUUAUUGUAGAAGUACUAAAUAAAAAAAAAGGGACUAAACUUUAAAACAUGGAGAACAAUAAGUCUAAUUUGAAAUCUAUGCCAAUGUUUAUUUCGAUCCAUAAGUUUUUUUUUUGUCCCUAGUAAUAGAGAGACUCGAUGAAAAUGAUAAUAAAAAGAGAAAGUGGUUGGUUGUCGUGACUCAAGCCAUAAAAGUGAUCAAGUUUGGUGCUUAAAUGUUUCAUUCGACGAAGGAGUGGGGAAUUAAAUGGUGGUGGUUAUUGGCUGUCACAUUGCUCAAAAAAAUAGAUCGGAGCUUGGAAAGAUUUGGGAUCUUAGGUUGAUUUUUCAUUUUUUGAUGAAUUUUUGGCAACUUUAGGAGCAUAAGUUUGUUGAGUUGUGUAUUGUAACAUCCUCGUUAGCAAAAUCAUUAUAUCAUCAUUUUCUUUCACAUUUAAACAUGCAUAAUUUAAUAAGUGAAGGGAGCAUGCAAACGUCAGGAAUUCAAACACAAAAUAGUACAAUCUUGUAUUACGACAUCUAAUAUAAAUAGAAUAUUAUUACAAUUUAAGUUACAUAAUUACCCAAAAAAAAACCAAAAUACAUAGAUGUUUUCUUAAAUUCAUGAUUCAUACAAAAGGGAACGACCUAAAUACUACUCCUGAUGUGGGUGGGAAGGACAUAUAAUUUCAUAGUUUUUUAAAUAAUAUAGUAAGGAUAAAUAUAGCUGAGAAGGAAAAAUUAUACAAUACUAGCACAUAUAAUUAAAUAAAUAUAUUCAACAGUAUCCCAUCAUACUUCUUUGAAAAUUAUCAUUUAACUUUACAUCAAUACAUUCCUAUUCAUCAUUCUCGAAACCGUUCAACAUUUUCAUUUUAUAAACAUUCAUAAAUGUAUCUCCCCUUCUCUUUUUCAUAAAAGAUACCAACAAUACUGCUUCUUUCCAAACCUGAAAAGGUCAUUGCUAACACUAAUAACUCUUAUCAUAACCUAAUUUUUAAAUAAAUAAUAAAAAUUGAAUAUAGUUGACAAUAAGAUUAUUAAAUUUAAGAGUUAAUUGAUCGAUAAUUGAAGAAUUAAAAGUUGAAAAGUUAAUUAAGGAUCAAAUUGAACAAUCCAGGAAUUAAGGACUGUUUUGUAAAUAGUGCUAUAAUUUAGGGAUUUAGGUGAAAUUAAUCCAGUGGCAAAAUUAAAAGAAUUUUUUUAUUAUUAUUAUUUGGGAUCCAAUUGUUAGAUUUCCAGAAGCAGGGGUCAAAUUGAAAAUUUCCAUUUCUGCCGAAACGGCACCGUUGCUGGGGAACAGUCGUGCGUCUUCUUCAUCCCGAUUCAACAGGGAAGCUGGAAAAUCAGCAGCAAAGCCGACCCAAUCGUGACCACGUUCUCUGCCCACAAUCCCGUUCGUGGAGGGAUAACAGUCCUGCAAAGGCAGGACUGGUUUAGGGGCAAGCUCUCUGGGCCUUAUAAAAGGCAGAGCAGAGCAGAGGCUAGGGAGACAGAAAAAAAACAGAGGAAAAACCCAGAGAAGAAAAGGGAGCAGAAGGAGACAGACAGGGGAGACGGAAAAUCAGAGCAAAAACAGAGGAAGAUCCAGAGCUAAAAAAAAACAGAGCAUAAACCCAGAAAAAAAAAUACACAGAGAGAAGGAGAGAAUAAGAGAGUAGCACAGAGAGGAGAAUUAUCCCUGCAAUUGUCUUAGUCCCUGCAGAAAAAGAGCAACCCGGAAUCAGUAAAAAAUUCAGAGAAAACAGACAUACCCAUUACCUUCUCAUCUUCUUCAUCUCAAGAACUGAGAAAUCAAAAGAAGGGAAGACAGUGGGCACAACGAGGAGAGAGAGGAAAGCAGUCGAACGAAAGUAGCCACUAGUGUUGCAGCCUUCUUCGCCAUCUCCAGAAACAGGUGCGCCCAUUCCCUUUCAUUUGCUGUGAUUCAAUAACAUUUGAGCAGUGCGCAGGUAAUUUAAAUACCUUCGCACUGUUGAUGCACGCGUGAAAUUGCUUCACGCGUGCAUCUGCCAUCUGCCCAGCCGAUCACUGGCUUGCGCCAGUGACCGGGCUGGCUGGCCCAGCCCAGCCUAAAAAAAUAAAAAUAAUAAAAAUUGUGUAAAAAAUAUAAAUAUGAAUUUAUUAUUUUUUAUUCAUUGAUGCCAGAGUCAGAAUAAAAAUACUGAUUCAAAUUUAUUUCAUUUCAUUGUAUUUUAUUUAGUUACAUAAAAAUAAAAGUGUGCAUGCAAAAAAAAAAGAUAAGAUAAAAUAAAAUAAAUUUAUUGGUUUAUUCACUGACGCCAGAGUCAGAAAUAAAAAUACUAAUGCAAAUUUAUUUUAUUUUAUUGUAUUUUACUUUUUAGCUACAUAAAUAUUUUUUGUAUGUGUAAAAAUAAAUUUAUUUUGUUUAUUCACUGACGCCAGAGUCAGGAAUAAAAAAUAUUGAUUUAAAUUUAUUUUUAUUUUAUAGCUACGUAAUAUUUAUCAACGCCAGAGUUGGAAGUAUCCGUAGUUGAAUAUUCACUAGCGCCAGAGUCAGGAAUAUUAGACGCAAACCAUCGUAGUAUAAACCAACAAAAUGUUAAUAAUCUAUGACAAAAAAAAAUCAGCAAUGCAGCCUGCCUCAAGCAGGAUGUUUAAGGGGUGAUAAUAUCUUUCCUUUUACAUAACCAAUCUCGUACCAUAGAAUCUAUGUUGACCAGUUAGGAUUCUUAGUGACCAUAAUACUAGGUGGUGACUCCUUAAACAAGACCAUUCUCAUCAAAGAAUAGGAUGCCAGAAAUCCAUUCUUUUCCAAAAACAUAAUUUUAAGGCCGCCGCGAUGUCGGGUGCGACAACUCUCAUCAGUUCCUUUAGUCGCCCAUUCCAGGAUCGAUUAAUCAAAUCCUUGGGAAUGUCAACAUCAACGUAACUUGUUGAUGUCAUUGACUAUUUCUAAACUGAAAUAAUCAAUCAAUGUUCCAUACCACCUUGGAGUAUCCUCGAAAAUACUGAUGUUAAGGAUCCUUGAUAUCAUUAGCUUUCACCUCAGGAAAGCUAAUCAAGUUUCAUGAAUUUGCCGAUAUCAAUGUCACCCGUCGAUAUCAUUAAUUAUUCUCAACCCGAAUAGUUAAUCAAGCUCAGCAUUCCUCAUCCUCUGUAAUGGUCAUGCCGAUGUUAGCAAAUCUUACUAACAUCAUUAGCCUUUUAUAUUCAGGACCGACUAAUCAAAUCCAAUGAGCGGUUAUUCGUGAAAUUCAUUAACACCAUUCAUCAUCCCCGAUCAGAUCCAUAACUCAAAUCUAAUUUUUCAUUUCCCAUUCAUUCCAUUUUAUCUUUUCUCUCGUUGGUCUCUUUUACAGGCACAAGAUUCACAAUUUAAAACAAACUACUAAAAUUACCAUUAUUUAGGGAUGGUAUACCUGCCACGGAAGCUCAGUUUGCACUCGCUUGUUGUUGUUGUACUCCUCUUGCAAUUCCUCCUGAAUCCACAAGUACAACCCAUUUUUCUAUAUUCAAAUCACAUUUUGAAAAAUAACAAUAACAAUAACAAUAACGACAACGUUUACUCUUCUUUUAUAAUUGUUUCUCUUACAUUUACGUUCCCGAUACACCUCUUAAGAUUAUGGUUCAUUAUCAAAUCCUAACGAACAAUCACAAAAUUCCAUUCCGAGUAUGGUUUAUUUCUUUACGAAUAUCAAGGCAAGACGCUAUAAAUUUAUGAAAGGAAGGAAACCGGUUUCUACCUUUGACGUGGGUAAAUUUCCCCAUUUUUGCUGAAUCUGCCAGCAGAGAUGGCAACUUGACCUCCCCUCAGAUUUUUACCUAUAUCCGGGGCUCUAGAGCUCUAAAUUAAAUAAGGUCAAACCCGUUGGAAAGCUAACAUCUCAGACUACAACUUCUAUGAAGAAGCUUUUCCAGAAUUCUAUUGUCUCCAGGCUCGAAUCCUUUUGGGAAUCAAGAUAACGAAUCUAUCUAGUUUUCAUCAAUGAGUGAAAUGUAUCUCCAAUUAUCUCCAAUACCCCUUUCCUCCUCCGAUAGAGCCCUACCCACACUAUACAUGGUAAACUUUUGUUAUGUUUUUGGUCUCUCCUUCUCUCAAUUUUGAUAGAAAAUCUAGAAUUCUCCCUCCUUUUUUUAGUGUUGCCAGGUUCUAAAGGAGGAAGAAAUGGGGUAUUUAUAAUCCCCAUUUCUUUUUAAUUAUACUUUGGCCCCAAUUCUAUCAUUUUUCAUAAUUUGGACCACCCUUUUAUGGCUUUCAAAAUUAAUAAAUUUUUUUGUAAUUAUAUUAUUUAUAUAUUCUAUCAAUUUUUUUUUGUAUGAUUUGUUCUCAGGGUUUCACAUGUAUGUUGUUUUUCAUGGGUUUUCAGGUCAAAAACUGGUUGAAAAUGGGUUAUUUGGUCCAAAUAACAAAAACCAGGUUUCUAGGUAGUUGGGCUACUGGAAACUAGGUAAGUGAAUGAUACGUCGUCUAUCUCAACAUUACAUUAAUAAAAUGACGUGUUGUUUGUUAUACUUUAUUUUUAAAAAUAAAAGACAGAUGACAUGUCGUCUGUCACUUUAAUAAAAAAAACAAAACAAAGACCAGAUGCAUGGACCUGGCCUCCAAGCACGUGGGCUUAGACUCUAGGCUUGCAUGCACAUGCUACUAGAGGGCCAGACACUAGAACUGUUUCUUUUAUGUCCUUUUUUUCCCCUAUCACGCAAAAAACUAAAAUUACUAACUGAGUUUUUUGCAGUUUUCUCUUUACACACAAAAAAAAAAUAUUGCUUUCUAACUCAAAUUUUAUAUGUAAAUCCUUAAAAUAAACAUUAUGAUAAAUUAUUUAUUUCUUAGUGAAUUUACUUUUUCUAUUUUGAUUGAAUUUCAUAUUUAUUAUUUUUUAUGUUAAUUUGAAUUCAAUCUGCUUUGAGAAUUAAACUACAUAUAAAUCUUUUAGAUGUUUUACAUAAAACAUUUUCUGAAGAGUUAAUUAAUAAACUUUUUAAGGAAAAAUUGAAAUUUAUAAAAUAUAACGAUUUUUUCAUUUAAUUUUCUUAAAACAAAAAAAAAAACCUUAUUGAUGAACGUAUUAAAUAUUAAAGAAUGUAAUUGAUAAAGAACAAGUAUUUGAGAAGAAAUUGAUAGAAAUUAUACUUCUAGUAGGUAAAAUGAAAUUAAUUCUAAGAAAAUAAUUAAUUAUCUAAUUUAUUUUUUUAUAAAAAAAUAAAAUUAGUAUUUUACUAGUAAACCCUUUUCACACUUUGUAACUUCAUUUUAGCAACUAAACUAAAUAUAUCUGGAGGUUUUACUCUAAACUCACUCGCAUUGUGGAUUGUAAUAUUUCAUUGUAAAUUUUUUUUUUCAUUUCUAUUUUUUAAUCAUUUGACUUUUUUGUUUUUAAUUUGAUCCUUUUAUGUUAGGAUGUUUUAGGGUUAGCCUUAGUGAUUUGUUUUGGUUUGCUUGAUAUUGAGUCCUCACGGUGUUAGGAAACAAAUCCAAUGCUUGGUUGAUACUCGAUUUGAUAAAUUCAAAUUCAAAUUAAAUUUUUGUUAAUUCAAAAUAAUCUAAACUUUAGGGACAAAAUUAAACCUUACACAAAUUUCCAGCCCCCCGUUUAGACUAAUUAGGGGCUAAAAGGAAAACUUAGUUGGUGCAUGAAACACAUAAGCCAAUGUGUGAGGGAAGGCCACCACGUUAUGGUGGCGUGUGUGCCGUCCUCCAAACUCUAAAGGGAUUCCCAUCAGAAUCGUCUCGAUAAUGCAUGCCUUAUAAGGUGGCACAUGUUAGCGAAAGAGCUUCGGUGUAGUUUUGACGACUCAUAAUUUUUUUCUUCUUUCUCUCCCUCUCUCUUCUCUAUUCUCUCAUUGAUUUUGUGUCUGACUCUCUCCAAAAUAUAAAAAAGGGGUUGUUGAUUGUUUUUUUUUGCCAAAUUUAAUCAUCAUUAUUUUAAUUGCUAAUUGUUUUGUUUUGAAUUCUUUUUUUGAAACGAUUUUUUUUAAAUUUUAUUCUUCAAUAUCGGAUUGGUUGAGAAUUGGACUUUGUAUAUUUUUUUAAUCCAUCUUAUACGGGGUAAUCUUGGUUUCAUGACCCGGGUUCUAGGUUAAAAAGGUUAAUCCAUGUUGAGUGGAGUCUUUUUUUUUGUCCUUUUUUUCAUUGAGUUUUUUUUCUUUAACAUUUGAUUAAUUGAGAUUUGAGUUUCGUAAUUGUUUUUUUGAUUUUUUUUCUAUAAGUUUAUCCCAGUUUCAUGACCCGGUCGUGGGUUUGGUGGGUUAACCUGAGUUGACUUGAAUCUUUUUUUAUCGUUUCUUUUAAACUAGAUUUUUUUUUAUUUUUGUCCUUUAAUAAUUGAUUGGUUAGAAAAUGAAUUUCAAAAUUUUUUCAGUUUGAUUUUUACUAGGUUAUCCGGUUCUUAUGAUCUGAGUCACGAGUUUGACAGGUUUAUCAAUGUUGACUUGAAUCGGUAUUUUUAUACUUUUUAAAAAUUGAAUGUUUUUUUUUUAUAAUUUUUUUUUUAUCUUGGGUUGAUUGAGAAUUGAAUUUCAUAAUUUGUUUUGAUGUGCUUAUUAUAAAAUUAUUAAAAUCUAAUGUCUGAAUUAUAAAUUUUAUAGAUUAAAUUAUAUUGAUUAAAAUCAAUUUAAUAUAUUAUUAUCUUAUAAGUUUUUUUAAAAUAAUAUUAUUUUCUCAAUCUUUAAAAAAAAAUGUCGCUCAUUUUUUAUUAGAUUUUGAAUUUAUAAUUAUUAUUUUUUAUAUAAAAAGCACGUUAGCAACAUUUUUAUGUAUUUAUUUAUUUUAGAAAGAAAAAUUGAUCCGACCUGGCCAAGGAUAUAGUGAUUUGAUAUGAGAUCUACAAGUGCCAGAGAAGAGCAGUCAGGACAACCAUAGACAAAAAUGUCGAUGUGUUCUUCUGAGUCUUCAUCGAGCAAAUUUUGGAUCGUGCACAGCAUUGUAGCCGGGGCUGCAAUUGCUGCUGCCAUUGGCGCUGGUGCAUAUCUGGGUCGAUACAGAAAGUUCAGGAGCCGAGUUGUUGGUAUCAUACCCGCCCGUUAUGCUUCUUCUCGGUUUGAAGGCAAACCACUUGUUAAUAUCCUUGGUAAACCCAUGAUCCAGGUACCCUUUUGCCUCCCUUUCUUUUAUUUCAUUCAUUACUUCUUUUAAAGUUUUUUCAUUUCUUGAUUUUUAGUUUUGCAUGUGAUUUUUUUGAGGUGUUAAUUCAGUGAUUUGAUAUGAGAUCUGAUAUGGGUUUUGUAUAUUUGGAUUCCUUCAGUGAUUGGUAAUUUGUUUUAUAGCAAAAGCUUACUAAAGUGCCCAUCUAACCCUUUUUUUUGGUCAACUUUCUUGUACCUUUUCUUAAGAUCUUUUUACAACCAAAAACUUUUUCAAGGGCUGUUUUGUGCGGAAUCGAGCUUGUGUGAAAUUAUUUUAAAUUAGUGUUAUCCCUUUUUACAACAUAGUUGUUGGGGCACUAUAUGUUAAGUGAUCCAGUACUGAAACAAGGAGUAAAGAUUAGCAAACAAAGGUGUUUUCAUUGAUUGAUCUUCUGUACUCAAUUUCUCAUCUUUAGAAUUAACGUGUUUAUCUUGUGCUAAAUCUUUUGAAGUGAGAUUAUUUACUUUAUCUUGUACUAAGUUUUUUGAAUUAUAGUGUACUGUUUGAUAUGGGGAAAGAAAUGGUUCUUUUAAUUUAUAAUUAAUUAAAAAUUAUAAAGUACCUCGAAAGAGAGUUCCUUUAUACUCACACUUUUAGUUGAUCAUCUACAGAGAACUUGGGAAAGGGCCAAACUAGCAAGUACACUGGAUCAUAUAGGUAAGUAACUAGCCCGAGCUCCACCUUAAUUUGAUGGGGAGCUGUUCUGCUUCGUGUAAUAUUGUCAUUGAGAAUAUCUCUAUAGAGGUGUUCCUGGAUUAAUUUAUGGAUCAAAACUAAAAUGCAUUGAGAAUCUCUAUGUUCGUUUGAUCUGGUUAGACUUUUAAUGCAUUUAGAUGCCUAAAGUCUGGCUUUGAUGUUGUGGUCGCCAUCAAAAGUGAUCUAUUAUGUGCUAGACUUGUUCGAUAACUGCUCGGUGUUAGUAGUCUUUCAUUUAUUUUUCAAUUGUGACCCAUAGAAGGGGAAAAAACUGCUUGCUACAAUAAUUGUAUUGGUGUAGAUUCUUUUCUGUGACUUGAAUGGUGUAAUGUGUUUGUUGAUGAUCUUAACAAUCUCUUUCAUAAACUUUGCCAAUGCAGUUGUGGCUACGGAUGAUGAAAAAAUUGCAGAAUGUUGUCGAGGAUUUGGUGCUGAUGUGAUAAUGACUUCAGAGUCCUGUCGAAAUGGUAGGUAUCUCAGUUAUUGUUCAAUGUAACUCGUAAUUUUUUUUUUUUUUUCCAAAGGCCGGGUAAUGAUCUUUCGUUGUUGUGCAGGUACUGAACGAUGCAACGAAGCACUUCAAAAGCUAGAUAAGAAAUAUGAUGUUGUUGUCAAUAUUCAGGGUGACGAGCCUCUCAUUGAACCUGAGAUAAUAGAUAGAAUUGUUAAAGCACUGCAGGUGAAUUUAUUUAUCUUUGUAAUGAACAUCUCUUGAAUCAUGACCAUGAGAACUGAUGAACAAAAGGUUCAUUUUUUAUCUUUAUAAAUUUUUAUAUUUUCACAAGGUUUGUUUUAAGCAACUUGAAAAAUCCUGUGAAGUGAAGAAAAUGAAUGACCUGUGCAGCUUUAAAAUCGUUUCAGAAGUUAUACUGCAUUGGUUUGAUCGUAUUGCAGUACUUGUCAUUAUUUAAUACCUUUAGUUGAAGUUUAUCAUUAUUCAUAUGGAUGCAGGCAGCCCCAGAUGCAGUGUUUAGCACUGCUGUAACUGCUUUGAAGCCUGAAGAUGCAUUCGAUCCCAAUCGAGUGAAAUGUGUGGUGGAUAAUCAUGGCUAUGCUAUCUAUUUUUCAAGGGGAUUAAUUCCUUACAACAAGUGAGUUUAUCAAGUAUUAGUUGGCUGUCUUAAUUUUCCGCACAACUCUUCAUGUCAGACUGUUAAUGAAUAUAUUUACCCACUUGAUACAGAACGGGAAAGGUCAAUACACAAUUUCCUUAUAUGCUUCAUCUAGGAAUUCAGGUAUGAAGAUGGCAUCUUUUUUGGAAGUUCUCUCCAUGUUUGAGUGAUUGCUGGGUUGUCUGCACGGGUUCUGUUUUUCAGCCACGUUGUUUGCCAUCCUGCACUUUAAUAACACUGCAUAUCAUCUGAUGUUUGAUCAGAGUUAUGAUACAAAGUUUCUGAAGAUAUAUCCUGAGCUUCGAUCUACUCCACUGCAACUAGAAGAGGAUUUGGAACAGCUUAAGGUCCUUGAAAAUGGUUACAAAAUGAAGGUAUUAUAAAGAACUUCUACUGUUACUCUACCCCCUUGACUGGCUUGUUUUAUUUGAAACUUCUUGCAUAAUAGUUUUAACAUUGCAAGGCUUUCUCAAAGCUGUUAUUUGUUUCUCUUACAAUAUGGUCUAGGCCCUAGACUAGGCUGUUUCGGUAAUGAAAGCAAAAUAUUUCUUUUGGGUGUUACCCUUUGAAAUGGAAGAAUCUUUCCCAUUUUUUGUAUUCUUCUCUUGUAAAAACUUUGUUUGGAUAGAAAAUUGAAGCCAAUUUGAUUUUUAAAUCGUAUUGAGCGUUAUUUUCAAAGGAAAAUAGGAAGAGAAAUUUGAAAUAAAACGGUCGAUUAAUUUUCUCUAAUCUUUUUGCUAUUCUACUUAUCCAUUAUCUCAUGUUAGAUGCCUUCUUCUCUUCUCUUUAUUUUUUCAGGACCACUGUAUAUUGUUCACUUCCUAAGAAAACUGCAUGUAUUUUCAAAUGUUAUUAUCUAAAAAUUAGGUUUUUGUUUUCCUUUUCCAUAUGAAUGAAUUAGAUUGUGCUUGCUAAAAUAUCAAAAUUUAGAACUGUACACAAAUUUUGCAGGUGAUAAAAGUUGACCACGAGGCACAUGGUGUCGACAUUCCAGAAGAUGUUGAAAAGUUAGAAACUUUGAUGCGUGAGCAAAGCUUUUCUUAGUUCAAUACUAACUAUGCCAAAGGUUAGUUUUUAAGAUGGAUAGGGUUGUAUGCGUGUUUAAUAAACAGGUCCAAUAUACAGUUCAAUACUAACUAUGCCAAAGGUUAGUUUAGAAGAUGGAUUGGGUUGUAUGCGUGUUUAAUAUACAGGUCCAAUGGAUAGGGAUGUCAAGUAGGAUGCUGAUUAUUGGUUGCACAAGCCAGUUUUUAAUAUUAUAGUUAUAUAGUGCAAUGCUAUUCUUUAUAGGUUCAUUUACUUUUUGAUUAAUUUUUUGUGUUACCAAGUUCAGUGAACUAUUAUGCGGCAACGAGUGCCUGUAGCUAUAACAGAAGAAGUGGGGAUAGCUGAAGUCUUUGUUUUUGUUAACUGUAGCUCGUUCUUUUUUUCUAAAUAUAAACCCUCUCAAUUUAUUCACAUUGUUUAUCUGAGCCUUAUAAAUAAAAAGAAUUAAUGGCUCAAUGAUCCUUCUCAACAUCAUGUGUUGUAGUAAAGUACACACUGGGUUGAGAUUACUAGGUUGCAUUAGAGAUGAAUGGUGGGUUUUCAACUCAUCCUCUGUGUGAUUUAAACCAUUCUCUCUAAAAGUUACUGGUUUUGGACCUAAACGUUGUCUUCAGUAGAAAUAGGGCUCGGGUUGCCUUCUUUAACACUGCUUUUCUACAGUGGAAUCUCUGAUGUUCAUGUUCAUUAAACAAAAUAAAAAAAAGAACCCCAAAUAAACUGUAUCGAAGUUGUUAGUGUCCCAUCAAGAUUUAGUAGGUUAGAUGGGCACCGAGCUGGCUAGAUCUUAAUGCCAUACGGUCCAGACCUGUUACUUUGUGGACAUCGUUUGUCAUCUCAAUGUUUUCCAAAUAGAAAGUUUGACCAGGUAAGAGCACUAGCUAAGGCAAAGUAGAGAUGAAGGGCACAGAAAAUCAAUCUACACUAGUGUCAAUAUCAAUUCAUGCUUUCAGCAACAGAAUAUUUGAGAUGAACUUCGUACAUUAUUUUCUUUUCCUCAACCCUGACAUGGGUAAUCUACAUAAUUUCACAAGAUCAACUUGCUCGAAGGAAAAAGAAAUAAAUAAAAUCAUCAGGCCAGUUUCUGGGCUGACUGCUACUGAGAAGUGGAGUAGCUUUAACGUUAACAUCUGGGAAGAUCAGCUGGUGGAGGAAGCAGUUUCUGAUUGGGAAGCUUUCCAUCCAAGACAAUACAAGCCAUCUUCAAUCACUUGAUUGUCCUGCAUAAUGAGCUCCAAGCUUGGUGUUAAAGGAAGCACAACCAGCCUGGUUCCAUUGCUCACCAUAGUGUUGUUUGGUGGGUUUCCAGUUUAAUUAAAGGGAGUUAGCGAACUGAUUGGAAAACUAGGAUUGUAAACACACUUUAAUUGACCAAAAUGGUGGGUUGGAGCAGAGCUGUAGUUGGCAUUGCAAAUGAAACAUUGUUCACUAAACCUUCAAACAUUGUUCCAUUUGGUCCCUGACAGGUUUGAGUUUGAGGACAUGGGUUUGUACCAAGACGCACUGUGAAGAAAAACUGCCCGUGGGCCUUUUGUGGCACGUUGGCAGGGAAUUCCGCACCAGCUAAGCUACGAAGUUUGCUUGUAAAAUUUGUCGCAAAUGAAGUGUCAUUUAGAGGUGGUAGAUCUGCUUUAUAGAGAGUGAUUUUAUUUUUUAUUUUUUUAACUGAGUAGCUUGUUUGAAGGGUUUUGGAUGACACUUCAUGUUCUAAAAAGCCAGCAACAGUUGAAUUGUCAAAAAUACCUUGUCCUGUCGCAUAAGGUCUAGCAGUCAUAACAGGAGCAUCAAAUGGUUUGACAUAAACAGCAUCAUCUGCAACCACUGUGAGUGUAUGGCUUGCUAUGCUCAUCAUCGAGUGCAGCGCUGAUCAGGCGAAGAAGGCAAGUCUUCCCAGGCUUUACCUUAAGCUUGAAAGCAUCUGUCAAGUGCCAUUUGUAUAACGUAGAUGAGAGAAACAUCCGCACGUAAACGCUUAAUUUUUUUAUAGCCAUAAUUUAGAUACUUGCACGACAAACAUUUGGCAGAGCAGUUAUAUAAUGGCUCUGGAAAUCCGUUGAUAGUAUAAGCAUCAGACAGAUUUGGCCCCCCACCUGUUUGCAUUGCCUGGUUUAACGAUUGCCUCUGGAUCUGCUUUGAACCACUCUCUUGCAAUUUGUAUUGCAUUAUUGUUUGUGUUAGCUGAAAUAGGACUACCUCCACCGGAAAAAAAGAGAGUAAAUUUCAAUUACCAAAGAUGAUUGGAACAUUCAUGUAAGGUUUAGCAAAUGGACUAGUGCCGUGGGACGCGCAUCAAAAGUCUAAGUCCAAACGAGUCAAAUGAGGUUUAGCUUAUUUUUGGAUUAUUAAGAUAUUAUUUAGAACUUUUCAAUUCCGAGUCUCUAUAGUAUAUGAGUGCAAUUAAGAUAUUAUUGGUAAGAGCCUGGGACCAAGAGGUUUGCUCUCUCUGUGGUCUCAGGUUCGAGCUCUGUGGUUGCUCAGAUGAUGGCCACUGAAGGCUUACAGGGUCGUUAACUUUAGGGCCCGUGGGAUUAGUCGAGGUGCGCGCAAACUGGUCCGGACACCCACGUUAAACUAAAAAAAAAAAAUGAGUGCAAUUAUAGUGCUUGAGAAACCCUAACUUUCAAUCUUCCAUUAUAAGUUGCAUUAAUUGGAAUUAGAGCGGGUUGACUUGUUUGAUGGAUAAAGGUGUUGGUAACAUAUUUCCACCUGAAGUGGAGGCCUUCUAGGAUGUUACGAGGGCUCGAGAGGCAACAUGGAAAGUACUGACACAUAAAUUUGAUUGGUUGGACAGGGGGAGGCCCAACAAGGGAAUGUGUUGAGGAGAGGGACGUGCCUAGAUAAUUACCUCAAGAAAGACCAAAGCCCGUAUUUAUUCCUACAAACUCAUAUAGGCAUCAUGUCAAUAAGAAAGUGGUAUUUUAUGAUAGAUGAUACAUUGAAGACUUAACUUGCAGCUAACCUUUUCAUAGAUGUAAAAAAAUCAAUAUUAUUUAAAAGAGGCCCUCUAAACUUUCAGUUUGUUUGUAAGAGUUGAAAGCAUAUUUUCAAUUGAAGAAGAUUCCUAGUUAUCAGAAAGGUAGGAUUUGAUCCCUUAAUUUUUAUAAAUUUUCAGUUUGUUCCCUCAAUGUUUAGAAAUUUUUAGUUUUCAAAUUGAUUUUUAUGAAUAAUUGAGGUUUAUUGACUUGUUUUGUUUUGAAUUAAAAUUUUAGAAACCGUUUGAUUUUUGGUUUUUUUUUGGAAAAAAAUUGUUUGGUUCCUAAAUAUAUAGAGUUAUGAGUUAGACCCUAGGAUGAACGUAUUAAAUUGACUUUAUGUUCCUUUCAAGUUUGUUUUGAGCAUGUCUUCUUUUGUAUUCAAAUAUUCCUGACAUUCCACAUAAGUAUAUUAAUAGAAUUUCUUUCAGCAUCUGCUUAUGUGUUUGUUUUGCUUUUGUGUUAAGCGAGUAGAUAAUAUUUUACAUGUAUGAGAAAUAAUAUAAACUAGCUAUGUGACCCGCGCUUCGCCGCGGGUCAAAUAUUUUUAUUUUUCAUAAAAAAAGAUAUAUGCAGGUUGUUUUCAACGUAUUUUUGUGGUCAAAAAAUGUAACAAAUCAAAAAGUUUAUGCACACAUGUAAUCAAAUAAACUAACAAUUAUGUAAGCUAAUAGAUAAAUAAAAAAUCAUUAAUGACACCUAAAAACAAAACCUGAAAAACUGAGAGACAGAUGUAGAUCAAUAUAUUUAAUCUUGAAAAAUAUGACAUGAAAUUGAUUGAAUAAUAAAAAAAAGAAUAACAUGUAAGGUUACACAUAUUAAAAAUAUUAUCUGAAAAUAAAUAUUUUGUAUUUUCAAAAACAUAGUUUAUCUAUAUAAAAGAUAAAAACAAAACCUUAGAUGAACAAGAAAACCUUUAUGAAAAUUAAACGCAUAAGAAAAAAAUCAAUAUUAUUUAAAAGAGGCCCUCUAAACAAAAUAAAAGAGAGGAGGUUUUUUCUAUUUUUUUAGUUUUUAGUUUUUUAAUCGGUCAUGCCAUUUUAUUUCUUUUCAAUUGCAUUCUUUAAAGUUAUAUUUUUAUGGCAACCAUGUCAGAUCCAAGGUGCUUGGCGCUUGGGUCUGGCAACCAUGCCAGCAACAGCGAUGCGUUGCCUGUUUUGCCUAAAUUCCGGUCAGUGUGGUGACUGAAAAAGCAGGGCCUAUGCUCUUAUGACCCAAAAACCUGUUUUGCAAUAUGUUUUUGACCCAAAACACCUAUAAAACACUAUAGAAAUCAUAAUAAACCCAUUCAUGACCUUUAAAAAAAAAAUCCAAAUAUCCGCCCUAAAACCAAAUUUAACCCAAAAUAAAAAAUUAACCCGAGUUCAAAUCUAUUUUUCACAAACUUUUAAGGUAUAAAACACCUAAUAUGACUCCCCUCAUCAAAUGGAACAAUUUGACACAAAAAUCCCUUAUUUUAGUGGUCUAAAUCGAUGCCAACGACAAGUUUCACUCUCUACCGCUAUAAUUCGACGACUCCCCUCUCCCUUCUCUCUCAACUAGAGACAAAAAAUUAACAAAAAUAAACUUCUGCAUCAAAAUAGAAUUCGAACAAUUUUGAGGGACCGAAAUUGUAUAAUCUGUUUAACUCUUUACCGCUAGAAUCCGACGACUCUCCUCUCGCUCCUCUCUCAACCAGGGAUAAAAAAUUAACAAAAAUAAACCUCUGCAUCAAAAUAGAAUUUGAACAAUUUUGAGGGACUGAAAUUGUAUAAUCUAUGUAAUUGUUUAAGUUGGAGGACCAAAGUGAAUGUUUCUGAAAUUUAUGGUACGUCACCCAUGUUUGCCCCGUGUUUCAUUUCGGUCCCUCCUCUUCGAAUCCUAUCAUUUUAUAAGAAUUUGAAAUCAAUUGCUCCUUAAAUAGGACUUGAUCGCCCAAAAACAAAGUUUGAUGACCAAACUGAAAAAAAAACAAAUUUUUGCAUAGUGACAAAUGUACAGUGAAAAUACACCGCGUUUUGCUUUAUUGCCCGUGUUACGUAACAUGCAUGAUGAAUUAUUUUUAGCAAAUAUAUAAACCAUUCAAACAUAAUAAAUUUCUAAAUAUUUUUGUCAUAUAAAGCUCCAAGUGCAUGUAAACAAAGCAAGCAAUAGCAAUAUUAUAAAACAUUUUUUAAUCCGAGAAUUAAUUGAGACACAACGUUGCAUGAAGGCCAAUCAAACAAAAGACAUAAUAUUUAACAAAAUGACCAUAGUGCAACAAAAAGGUUGCAUGGAGUUUGUUUCAACAAUUAUAGUCCUAGAGUAGGCAAAAAGUUAUAGCAACCAACAUGACAUUUAGCAAAAUGAUCAUUGUGCAGGAUGUUGUCUUCUUGAUCUCUCGCUGUUCCUGCAAUAAAAUGGAGGGUAGAAGAAGUGGGUAAGUAUCAUAUGAUUGAAUAUAUACAUGUAGGGUCAAGCAACAAAAUGGAUGAGAUAAUUAGUUAACAAAAUAAGAACGUGGAUAGAAAAUUAAGAGCAUCACCUUAGCAGGUAUAGAAGAAAUGGGUCGUUGUUUCUUAAAAACCGGUUCCGCUGGAUUGUUAUCUCCUAUGAAAUAAUUAUUUUCUGAAAUGUAUACACAAAAGCUACUCAUCUUUUUUUUUUUUUUUCGUUCAAACCAUUCUUUAACCCUGACACAUGAUCCUUUUGUCAAAUGAUAGCAGUUCUUUUCACUAUACCAUAGCAAAGUGAAAGAUAACAAAUCAAAUAACAACCAUAACAACUAGGAAAACCAACAAGCAAUGACCAAAAGAAUAGAAGGUUGGGAAAAUACAUCAACCAAUUUUAAAAAACACACGACAAACUAAAUUAACAAAAACCAAAUCCAGCAAAACUCAGAGAGAAACAAACAUGGAAAAUCAACGAAGACGAAAUGCAAUGUAACUAUGAAAGCAUGAAAACUGUGGCCAACACAAAGUAAAGGAUGCAAAAACAUGGCAACCCUCGAAACAACAAUACGAAAAUAGAAAAAGAAAGUCAAUCAAAUAGUACAUAAAGUGACAACACAACAAACACACAUUAACAAAAAAGAGCAAAUCAAGCAAGUUAACAAAACCAAACAGUAAGGAAAGGACAAACCUUUUAUAACUCACCAAGAGAGGAUAUAAAGGAUCCAAUACCCCUAUACAGAGGAUCCAAAACCCCCAGAUUAAAUGUCAACACCUCAAGAAAUCAUCUAAUCAGAUUCAGUCUGCUCCUCUAAAGACCAACUACCCAGCCUAGCAUCCACUGCAUUAAAUGUAAAAUCCUCAUCGCAAGCCACAUUUCUCUAAGCCUAGACUCACAACCAAUUGAACGCCAUCCUGGAAAUCAAACCCCACAACUAGAGCUCUUACAAACCGACAGAGCUGACAACGUGUCACGGAUGGAAACAGAGAAGAUAGGAACUAACAAGGGAAAAGAGGGAUGUAAUUCAAAUCAAGCAUAACGAUUAUGUUUUACGAAAGCAGGAUUUAAUUCAAACAUAGUUAAACGAUUGUGUUUCACACAACCCGGUUAAAGUCACAAAUAACAAGAUAGCCACGUGUUGAGGUCAGGCAUCUUGUAGAAGAGAAUAGAUGUUUUUGGGUUCUUUAAAUACCCUAAGAAUUAUAACAGAUGGUUAUGACAUUUUAUAUAAUAGAAAUCCAAUAUUCUCUCAUUCCUUUCUCUGACGUGUUCCUUGGAAAUCCAUGUAGAGUGCAUGAACACAACCUUCUUCUCUUCUUCCCAACUCUUUCCUUCUUCACCAUUAUACUCAGCAUACGCUAGUUAAUCUUACACGCAGCACAACACCCAGCCAACCUGAGCCAACACACACAAACUAACCAAAAUCAAACCUUGCCACAACCAAAUCAAAAGCACACAGAUAAGAAAAAAAAAACAAAAUGAAGGGCAAAGAAAGCUCACCUGACCAACCCCCAAACAAAAAGCAAGAGAAAUAGCUGCCAACACCCCUCUAUUCUAGCUGGACCAAGCUAGAUCUAGCCACCAUGAGGCCUGGGAGAACGAAACAAAACCAUGAGAAUAUAGCCAAGACCAAACCACCCCCAAGCCUUACACAUCAAUAGCCGCGAAGCCAAACCAACCAUGCCCACAACGGAGAGGGUCUAGGUCAAUAGUACAAAAAAGUUCUUUCCCCACACAGUAUACUCUUGCCACACAUAUCAUAAUUGAAAAAUUGGAAAACACUGUGGACCUGAACAGUUUUUUCCCUCACCACAUCAUGUCUUUCCUCGAGAAAGAGGAAAAACAUUGUGGACAUGCACAAUGUUUUUCCCCACCAUACAUAAGGAGAGAAUGGGAAAAACAUUGUGGACUAGUGCAAUGUUUUUCCCAUGCCAUUUAGAUUAUAAGGUAAUAUUUGAAGAGUUAACAUGAACUGGAUCAUGCUUCUUGAUAAUAUAUAUUGAUUAUUAGCCUUUGUUAUAAUAAAACAUGAUCAUUUGUUGAAUCUGAAUUUUGGAUAUGAGAUAUAUAUGUGUACGUUUGAUUUAAUAGCUCCUUAUUUGAUUGAUGUUAUGAGUUGAGCUUGGGAUAUCAUUCUAUUUGUUUGAUUGUGAUAUGAACCCUUGGUAUACCAGUCAUAAUACCAAUAUUUAUAGGGUAGUGUUAGUCUUUGUGCACAUCGUAUCUAAACCCUAGUUGGCCAGGGGAGUCACCAACCUAUGAUGACUAAUUAUCCCACAAUCUGAAGCAUCAUACUCAUUGUAUUUUGACGAGUCUUACGUUAUGACAUUUUUUGUUAUGACGUGUAUGCGAAACUCUUUUGUCAAAGCAUAAGCCAAACUUGUAUAUAUAUUCCCCAUUAAUGUAUUACCUUGUAUGUGUAUAUUGAACAUUAUCUACUCACUAAGUUAUUGAACUCAUUCUCUCGUCAUUUAUCAUUUUCAGGCAUAUAGCUUGGUGGUAGGUCACUUUUUUUGAACUUCAGAACCUGAAUUUUGUUGUUGUUGUUGUUGUUGUUGUUGUUGUUGUUGUAAUUAACAUUAUCCAGUUAUAUCUAGUUAGUGCUCCACAAUUAUAGAAUUUGUAUUAACUUUUGUAUUAUGACGAUCAAUUUAUAUUAUUAAGAUAGUUUUAUUAUUAAUGUUGCAAAGAAAUUUGUUUUGUUUAUAUAGGUGAAAAAGUUUGUAUGUUUGUCUAGGUUCGUAUUGGUAAAGAAAUUUUGAGGGAGUCCUUAUUUAUGUGCCGGUCAUGAAUCCGGGAAUCGAGUCGCGACAAGUUGAGCCAUUAAUAAAAUAGUUUUAUAACUUAUUUUUAGAUUAUUAAGAGAUUAUCCAGCUUGAUUAUUUAAAAGUUUUUUUUUUUGGUAAUUUUUAAGGUUUGAAAAACCCCAUCUUUUUAUCUUUUACUAUACUUUGCGUCAAUAAAGAAAGCCGAGUUUGGGAAGAAUAAUCAAGCGACCAUAGACCGUUGAUCUUAGGCAUGUUAUAUGGCCAUGCCACCAAAAAGUGCCUGUUUGUCCUGCAAUGGUGCAGUUAUAUACAUAGUUCUGUCCACAAUCCACCGGCUUCGAAGCUGCCGAAUUCCAUGUAUCAGUGAAAACAUACAUAGAAAUUUAGAAUUUGCCUUCUC
RNAcentral lists this long non-coding RNA (131278 nucleotides) under Populus trichocarpa (black cottonwood). RNAcentral's name for it is "long non-coding RNA (PTRI_LNC000409)". Lineage: Eukaryota; Viridiplantae; Streptophyta; Magnoliopsida; Malpighiales; Salicaceae. The record is from RNAcentral.